CAAACAAACCCCAACCCACACCAUAUCUCAAUAAGUCAGAAACUUGUAUGACAUUACCUUCACUGUAUAGACUACAAAGACGGAACAGAGAUUUUGCCUCCUCACUUUCCAAGAAGUCAUAACUCAAUUUUAUGGAGGUGUACACAUUUGCUUGCAUGCCAUGAAUUUCUCUAGCAUCCGAUCUUCUUAGCUGAUUCAAUGCAUCUUUCCAAAAGUAACGCUCUUUAGUUUUCAGAGCAUUUGCAACUGUACUCAGUGCAACAGGCAAACCUCCGCAUCUUUCAACGAUCUCAUUUGCUAUACUUUGAAAAGCAGAUAUUUUAGUUGAAUCACCCAAUAUCUUUUCAAAAACUGCAAUGCUUCUUUUGGUGGCAAAGCAUCGAUCGGGAAAUUUUUCUGAGAAUUCAUAUCAAUGCGCAAUAAAUCUCGACUUCUAGACGUCAAUAUUAUUGUGCAUCGUCUCUGAUCAUCCUUUGUAUCUUUCUCAUCAACAUCCCCACAAGGAAUUCCAACUUUUUCGAACUCGAGUUUUUUCCAAAUAUUAUCCAAUAUAACGAGGACCUGCUUCUCGUUCUUCAAUCUUUCACGUAAUCGAUCUGCUCUUUCGAAUUUAUUCUCAUCCGAGCCAAAUUUCAUGCCUAAGUCAAAAGCAAGUUUCUUUUGAAUUUCCUGAUGAUCUGGGGUCUGUGUUACCUCAGCCAUAACGACCUUAUCGAACACCUUAUCUUCCAUAACUUGCCUUGCAACUUGCUUGACUAGCGUGGUUUUACCCACGCCGCCCAUCCCGCAGACCCCAAUUAUCUUGAGCUUAUCAUCCUUCAACGCCUCCACAACAUCUUGAAAUACUUUCAUUCUUGAAUCAAAGGCCUCGAAAUCUUUCACUUGCAUAUGUUCUGCCCGCUUUGGAGCAGGACGGUAGGAAACAUUAGAGAAGUUACCUUUUCCCAUGAGACUAGCAGCAGCUUCUGCGGCCUUUGCUGCUUGUCUACUGAGCUUGUAACGAGAAAUCAAGUUUGGGCACAAUCCUUUGAAACAGAACUUCUUAGCUCUAUCUUCAUCAUCAGUGAUGGAUUUCGCAGCUCCCUGAGUGAAUUCCUUGACGCUAUUAAGCCAGUCUGCAACAUCCUUAUAAAUCUCAUCUCCUUGUUGAGUAGCCUGAUGAACGGGUAUUUCCACCCUUUCUCUUUUAUAUCCCAACUGUUUCACUUGAUCUUUUAGGCCAUCUAUGUAGCUCUGGUACUUGAACACAUAAGAGAUCUGCCGUAUAAUCGGUUUGAACAGUGACUUUGCAUCUUCUGAUACGAUGCUGGAAAAAGCAGCCAGACCCACUUCUACAACCAUUGCCUGUUGCUUAACAAUAUAUGUAUAUAUAUGAAUAAAAUGAAUAAAAAUGUCAAAGAAAGGAAUACAAAUAAAUUAAAAUGAACUAGAGGGAAAGACAGAGAAAGAAAAGACCGCAAACAACAUCGCGAUAUUGAUUUUGAACCAACUGAUACCUAAGUAGAGAAUUUCUUUUUCUAUCUUAAGGAUCAGAGGUUUCGCUAUUAACAGAAAGGUAUCCUUUAAGGAAAGUUGAUGGAAAUUAAGAAAGAAUGGCUAUCAAGAUCAAGUAUUCUGCUACUAAAAAUAAAUGAUAUGACUUAAGAAAAGUAAAUGAUAUGAUUAAGAAAAACCAGAGAAUUUUUUCCUAGGAAAGUUGAUGGAAAUUAAGAAAGAACCGCUAUGAAGAUCAAGUAUCAGAGAUUCUGCUACUAAAAGAAUAUUACAGGUUUUAGAACAAGUGCACCUCUUUACCUGUCUGGGAUCAGAGUCGAUGAGCUGCUGUAUUCACCUUGAAUAUAGAAGAAAUAUUACAGGUUUUGACUAAAGAGGAAUGUGAGGAACGAGUUGAUGAGAGUAAUAACAAUGAAUUUCCAAAAGAAGACGACUUGAGCAUUAAGCAUGCACCCCCUUUAUCAAUCAAAUAUUGGUACGUAUGUACGUAGGGACCAUUAUGCGUAUAUGAAGUCCAUUAGUUGCAAUCAGAAACCCUGGCCCAAUUUAAUUGGCACUCGAUUUUUGAUAAGAAGAAGGCAAGGAUAAGGACAAAGUCAAUCAAUCACCAACAGUAAUUACUUCAAUCUUUGUCAAUCUACUUAAAUUGUCGAUCAACAUGAAAAUUGUUUAAAUUGAUAUUUGUAAAUCAAUCAAUUUUCUAGUUACUAUGAUUAUAACGUUUCACCUUUCAUAUUGGAUUUUAUCUUUUCGAAAGUUUUCAAAUAUGAGUGUCAAUAAUUAUUGAGACUCCAAGCCGUGCUCUCAAGAUCGUGCUGACAAAUCACUAUUGACUUUGUUUAUGCAAAAUUCAAAGAAAAAAAGUUAUGGUUUUGUAUUGCCAGCCCUGCUACUUUUUGUUUUUUUCAUUUGUAUUAUUUACGAAUUAUUUUUUAACAGAAACAUGAGAACUCAUCAUCGUACAAAAUUGCAUGAAAAAAUCUUCAAAUUUAUAAAAGUAAAUUUCGUUGACAGAUUGUGGAUAUGUUAGAAAGAAUAAGGAUAAGAAUGAGUUAAGAAAUAAUAUAUAUAUAUAUAUAGAUAGAGAGAGAGAGAGAGAGUGAAAGUAAACAAUGUUUUGGUACAUUUGGUAUUGUUUUCAAAAUAUUUUGAAAAGAAAAAUUUUCAAUUAUCCACCUAGGAAUUAUCUUAUUAUCCAAAAAGUUAUAAAAAUUUAAAAAUAUUUAAUUUUAUACCCAUUAUUACAAUGUGUAUCAACUGUUUACUAAAAAAAUAAAGUUACUCCUAAAACAUAAUCACCACUACAAUUUUGUGUUCGCUUCUAUUUUGUCACUUUGAACGAAUAACUUUAUAUUUUUAACAGAUGUUUCAUACAAAUUGCAUACAUUGGAUGUAAAAUUAAAUAAAUUUAAAUUUUUAUAAUAAUUUUAAUAAUUGAAUAAACUUUGAGUAAAUGACUGAUAAUUUCUCUUUUAUAAGCUACAAGAAGUUAAAAAGAAAAAAGAAAAAAUAGGAUGAUAAUUUCUCUUUAAUAUGCCUCAGAUGAUUUAUUGUUUCGGGUCUAAGAUUUUAAAUAUUCAACUUAAAAGAUUAAUAUAUUAUAAAUUAAUUAAUUAAAUAAUCAUUAAGCAACUAAAUUGGGUCCCCUGGAUGUCAAUUCCUUUAUUAUUGACGCAACUAUUUUUUUAUGGCAAAUAAUUAUUAAUGCACUUACGGAACUUUUGCAUAUCUACACAGCGAUUUUAAAUAUUACUGGUAACUGCUGAGAAAUGUGCGAGAAAGAAGUUGAUGAGAGUAAUAACAGCGACUUGCAAAAGGAAAAGACAGAAUCAUUCAGACAUUCACCCCUUUUUGUAUCACGUACUUGGUUACUGUUUCCCUGUUGACGCAUGUAUAAAUUUGAGUGAUUUUUCUGCACUUUUUUGGCUGUUGCUUAACAAUGUGUGUGUGUGUGUGUGUGUGUGUAUUUGCUGUUGAAAAAUUUGGAUUCAAAUAAAUUAACUGAAAGAUUAGAGUUUUGACUAUUAACUGAAAGGUUUCAAGGGUAUGAAUGAAAAGCAACAUUCUUUUUUAGAAACUAUUUUAGAGGAGAGAUGCAAAUUAACAAAUGCUAAUAACAAGAACACAGAAGUUAACAAUGAACAGUAACUUAAAUCAAGAAAAUUAAAUGACAAAAUUAAGACAAAUAGGAGAUAUUUUUUCGUGGACGUUAAGAAAUAACUGCUGUCAAGAAUAAGGAGAUUAUGCUAUUAAUAGAAAUUAUCAAAGGAUUUAGGACAAGUUCACCUCUUUAAUUAUCCGGGAUCAGAUAGUUGAUGAGCUUCUCUAUUUGAUCUUGAAUAUUUAAGAAUAAUUUUAAUGAGCAAAAAGAUCACUGGUAACUGCUGAAAAAUAAGUGAGAAAAGAGUUGAUGAGAAUAAUAACAAUGAAUUGAAUAAAAAAAGGACUUAAUCAUGCACCCCCUUUGCAUAUCAUGUAUAGAAUAAUUACAUGUAUUAUUAUAAUUUUGGGUUCGAUAUCCUUGUAUUAGUGUCUAAGAUUUUCAUGAAGAAUUAAACUUGAAAUGACCAAAAGAGGAAGCUGCGGUGUAUUGUUGGACCCAAUUAAGUUGAAGAAAGCACUAGUUCACAACCUUACGUUUGGAUAUAUUCUAAAGAAAUAAUUAAACAGCAAAUGAUCAUCACAUGCACUUUAAUGAUUUGAUCUAUUGUUUUCAAAAGAAAUUGCAAUUAACAGUUUUUGUCAAAAGUUCGCACUGUGUGAAACUAGUGUUAAUAUAAUUUAAAAAAUUACUUUCAAUAGCAUAUGGAAUAAUUAUAAUAUUAUUAAUACCUAAGAUAUAUUUAUAUUUAUUAUAAAAAAUUCAGUUAAAUAUUUGUGUUAACUAGAAUUUAUAAUUAAUAUAAUAUAUCUUAGGUAUUAAUAAUAUUAUAAUUAUUCCAUAUGCUAUUGAAAAUAAUUUAAAUUUUUAGACGUUUAUUUUCAUAUUAAGUUUUUAUUUAUUAUAAAAUUUAGUUUAAUAUAGUAUAAGCUUGUAAAGUAUUAAAAUAUUUUUUUUCAUAUUUUUUAAAAAUAUUAAAAUUAUUUUAAUAUAUAUAUAUUAACAUUGAAGCCAAUUUUUUGAGUUAAUAGAGCUAGUAGGUGUUACACUAAAAAAGAGUAUCUUAGUAUCUCUUAUUGAGUGGGAGAGCCAAAUGAAUCGAAAAAUUCAUGUUUGGUUCGGGAAGGGAUCAUCGAAGUUUUGAGAUGAAUGGAAAGAUAAUCUACUUUCAUUAAGUGAUUUAUUAGAUAAUCGCAAACUGAGGAUUUUGAAUAGUAUUCAAAAUUCAGAAGAAAUGCAGAGAGGGGCCAUUGAACGGCCGGAAAAAGCCCGGCCCGGUUACAAAAAAUCAAAAUAGAAGCAGAUCAAUAUUGAAAAUAUAUAGAUCUAUAUAAUCAUUUUUUCAAAUAUCGAGAUGUAGCUAUAAAAGAAAAAAUAAAUUAAAAAAUUUUAAAUUUUAAAUUUUAAUAUGGCCAUCGUAGGGUUAGAAUCCCCGCUCCAACCCGAUUUGGAGAUGUGCUUGGUCUAUUUAUGUUUUGGAAAAAGAAAAACCAAAGAAAAAAAAUACGCACCCGACCAAAUCAAGUAACUCAUCAAAUAAAAAAUAAAAAAGGAAAGAAAUUUAAUGACUUGCGUGCAAUUUUGGAUCUGAAAUUAAAAUUACAUAAAAAUUCAGGCUUACGUACCUUGAUAUUUACAGCUUAUUUGAUGGCCUCAACAAGUUUAAGCAGCAUCAAAAUGUUGUGGCUCCUUCAAUGACAACAUCGACUUGUUUGACAGCUCCAACAAGGCUACGAUGAUCAGAAAAUGAGCCCUCAAUCAACCAGCGCCUUGCUCUUUGUCAUUUUUCCUCUUGUUAGUUUUCUUCUACAUAUAAUUAUUACACUGGGAAGUAUACACACACCUCUUUUCUUUUUAUAGUACCUUACUAUUAUAUCUUUACAAAACAAUAUCACCCUAAGACAUAUAUGUAUGAAAUAAAUAUAUAAGGAACUGACGAAAUAAAAUUAGAUCUAACACUAGUUUCAUGUGGUGUGUGAACUUUUGACAAUCCUCUCAUACCCCAACAAAAACUUUGUCAUAUUACGAAAGUUAUCACGACCAUAGACUUUUCAAUUGCAUAUUGGAAUUGCAAUGUCAUUUUAUUAUAGUAAUGUCAUUUCCAUUAUUCAUAGUGGCAGACAAUGGACAUCACGGGACACGGCGAGAAGUUAUCACGACCAUAGACUUUUCUAAUUUAUGAAAUAAAUGAAAUUAGAUCUAAUUCUAGUUUUAAGUGGUGUGAACUUUUGACAAUCCUCCCAUAUCCUAACAAAAGCUUUGUCAUAUUGCGAAAAUACCUUUCCAAUGUUUCAAUUGCAAUGUCAUUGCCAUUAUUCAUAGUGGCAGACAAUGGACAUCACGGGACAUGGCUAGAAGUCUAUGUUACGGCUUAUGUAAGUAACAGUAGCCAAUGGGGAACUUCCACAGGGGCUAUAGGAGAGAGAAAGAGGUCCCAAUACAAGUGUUAGAGUGCAAUUUAUACACUAGUUUUGCAUUGUUUACUUCCCUUAAUAUCAAUGUUUUGCAUUUAAUAAUAAUGAUUUACUUGUGUUUUACUUUUGUAGGUGCAAUUCUAUUGAUUUGUUAUAAAAUUGAGGUAUAAGAUGAUGUUUAAAGAUGAUUGUUCUCUUAGAGAAAUUUAGAGCGUCAGAAGAACUUUAUUGAUAAAGCGUGGGCGCGUGCUGUCAACUGCGGACCUGCAGUUUUUAGUUUAAUGUGUUUUGUAUUUUUGGCUAUUUUUGUAAUUACGAAUUUAAUAUUUCAAAUAUUAGUAUUUUAUUUUAAAUAGAACUCUAAAAGAGAAGAGAGAGAGAGUAUUUAAGGGAGGAAUCUAUUGUGAAAAAGGGGGGAUUUUAAUUGGAGAAAAAGAAAGAAACCCUAGAUCUAAUUUUUCUCUUCUCUCUAUGAAGAACUAAACUUAUUUUUUCUGGUGGAAGGUUAAUGAAGCUUUGAUUCAUCAAUACUGUGAGAUCUUUCUUAUGCUUUAAUUGUUUUAUUACUUUUUGGGUAUUUGUUUAUUCUCUGAAUUUGUUUCAUGAUUAUGUUUGUUAAUUAGGUAAUUGGCCACUAUUUAAUUAUCAACUUAAUCUAUUGUCAAUUAAAGAAUUCAUCGUAUGAAGAGUUUAAUGUUUGUGACAAAUAACAUAGCAGUGAGUUGUGUUAUGGGAAUAAACAAUCUAAUUUAAAUGAAUCAUUAUAUGUGUUGAUUAGGAUUUGGGUCUCUAUGGUUUUUCAGGCUGUCAAUUGAUUAAAUCCUAUGAUCGUAUCUAGGGUUGUCUAUUGAUUAGGGAAAUAUCCAACGGUCGUACCUUGGUUAUCGACUAGUUAAGGAGAGAUUGGCUAUUAGAGGGUCUCAAUAGCUAUAACCGGUCUAUUCAUAAGUAAUAAUAAUCUAUUUUUGAAUCAAUGAUUAGUAGUCGAAUCAAGCUGAGUUAAUUCCUUCAACCAGAGCUUUCUCCAAUUUGAAUUACAACUUUAAUUUGCAUUUUUGUUAUUUUAAUUUGAUUUUUUAUUAUUGUCAACAAUUCCCCCAUUUUACGUUUUACGUUUCAAAAGGAUUUAAAUAAUUACCGAUCUCUGUGGACACGACCCUGCUCAAUCACUAUACACAAUUUAUUUAGAGUAGGAAUUUAUUUUUGUUGGCUUCGACAACCAUCAACAAGGUGAUGGAAAUGGGAAAGUUCGAAGCUGUUACUUUCAGCUUCUGCACCGUAGCCAUGUCCCACGGGACAAGGCUAGAAGUUAUCAUGACCAUAGACUUUUCUAAUUUAUUUUUUCCUUUCAAAAAGGGACAAGGAUAAGUUUGGGAGAAUGAUUAUAUUUUUAAUAAAAGAAUUCUUUUUUAUUAUAAUACUUUUUGUCUUUAUUAAUUUAAAAAUAUUAACUCUUAUAUUUUAAUAAAUAUAAAUAUAAUAUUAUAAUAACAUAUAACAAUAUAUACAAAAAUUUAAAAAAAAUUAAGAUUUUAUUAAAAUAAAUUUUAUAAUAAAUACAAAUACAUUAUUAAUAUAAUUUUAAUAAUUUGCAUUUUAAAAAGUAAUACUGAUAUUAAUUUUUUAAAUAUUAAUUUUUUAAAUUAUAUUACUCUACCAAAAAAAAUUAAACUAUUAAAUUAUAUUGAUAUUUAUUACAAAAUUUGCAAUUAAUUCUUAUUAUAUUUUUAAUUGGAAUUUGUUCCUGUGAUAUAACAACAAUUGCUACAGUUUUUUUCCCUAAAUAAAGAUGGAGUUAUAAAUUAUUUGUGUAAGUGUCAUGAAAGUAAUAGUUGAAUAACAAUAAUGGGGCUUUAGGCAAUUUUUUCAUGAGGUCUUCUUGCAAUUUCAACACUUAAACAUACUUGUCCUUGAUCCCAAUUUAUUUACCCCAUUUGGGCCCACGAUGAGAUAAAUAUAUUCCUGUGAGAUGAAAAACAUCAGGAGAAGAAAAUGUUUUAUUAUAAUAAAAAAACAAGUGGUCCAUAAGUCUAUUUAUUACUUUUUUUAUUCAAUACAAAUGGCCAACUUAAAAAAUGAUAAAAAUCACAUAACGCACAAGCAAAAAUUUAGAUUUACAUUUUUUUAGUUCUCUCCGUGUCUCUCUUUCUCUUUUUUUUUUUUAAAAAAAAUAAAUGUCAGUGUAAAAUUAGAAAAAUUUUAGAUAUAAACUUUGGCGAUGACCAAACAAAAAUUGCAAGGGAAAGAAAAUAGAGGACCCUUGAUAUCAUUGAAAUACUGAUCAUAGACACUACAAUAUAAAUAACUUGUUGUGAUCCACUCAACUUGUAACACUUUAAUCCAUAUUCUAAAAUUUGUAUGCUUGUUAGGAAUUUUAUUAUUGACAUUACUGUACCAAUAAAAGUCUAAUUUAUUCAUAUGGAAAGAAAACAUCAAGAAAGGACCUCUGAUUUUUAUUAUAACAGAAAAAAGUGGUCCAUAAGUUUAUUUAUUAUUUUAUUUAUUCAAUACAAAUUGCCAACUUAAAAAAUGGUAAAAAUCACAAAAUGCACAAGUAAAAUUUUAGAAUUACAUUUUUUUAAUUCUCUUUGAGUCUCUCUCUCUCUCUUUAAAAAAUAAACCUCACUGUAAAAUUAGAAAAAUUUUAGACAUAAAAUUUGACAAUCACCAAACAGAAAAUGUAGGGAAAUGAAAAUGGAGGAGCCCUAUUAUCAUUAGAAUAUUGAUCAUAGAUACUAUAAUGUAAAUGAUUUGUUGUGGUUCAUUCAACCUGUCACACUCUAAGCCAUUUUCUAAAAUUUGUAAGGUUUAUAGGAUUUUUAUUAUUGGCAUCAUUGUAUCAAUAAUAUUAUAAAUUAUAUAUUCUAUUGUAAUGAAAAUUUAUGUAAUCUUAGGUAUUUAUUUAUUGUAAUAAUAAAAAAUUUCUAAAUAAAGGUGAUUGCUUCAUUGACAAGUACAUAUUUAUAUUCUCUAUUAGUAUUUGGGUUGUAAACUUUGUUUAUAAAGUGAAUAUAUUGUGGUAAGCGAUGUGGGCAAUAUCGGAUGCAAAAUAUUGAGAGAUCAUUAACGCAUAUAUUUAUUGAAGACGCAUAUAGAGGAAAGAGUGUAGAUCCGGCCGUAACAAUUAUGAAGCUUUCCCCAAGUAUUCUCACGCUUCCUUAACUGUUGCAAAGUAUUUUUCAUAGUGUGCAGAUUUACUUUAUGGUGUCUUAAUUCGUCUAAAAUGAUUACUUUAGUUCUUUUGGGAUGAAAGGUCAUUUAUUGUGUUAGUAUUAAACAAUAGAAAAAAUAAGUAAUGGUAACGAAAGACUAAUUUGUGAUAUUGAAGCAUACAUGCUUAACUCAAUCCAAAACUUAGUAAGUUAGCUCAAGAGUUAAGAGUUGUCCAAAUCUUAUAUGCUGAACCCAAGUUCAAUACUCAAUUGAUGCAGGAUGUUAUUCCUAACACCGCCCCUCAUGCGUAGGAUUGGCAAAAAAACUCGAGUCAGUCCCGCCUAGACCUGCAAGCUUUAUUUAUGGCCAGCAUGAUGAAGUUACAGAUAUUAACCUAAAAAUUUGAAACUUACUAUGAAUGGCCUUGGUUAAAGACUUUUGUAACUUUAAUUUAUAACAAGUAUGUAUACACACACACACACAUGUUUAGAUUGCAUUUGGAUGACUUUUUUAUCAAUGCAAACAAUAUCAAAUUUAUCGGAUUAAUUUGAAUCUGAUCUAUAUCCGAUUUUGCCCGCCAUANNNNNNNNNNNNNNNNNNNNNNNNNNNNNNNNNNNNNNNNNNNNNNNNNNNNNNNNNNNNNNNNNNNNNNNNNNNNNNNNNNNNNNNNNNNNNNNNNNNNNNNNNNNNNNNNNNNNNNNNNNNNNNNNNNNNNNNNNNNNNNNNNNNNNNNNNNNNNNNNNNNNNNNNNNNNNNNNNNNNNNNNNNNNNNNNNNNNNNNNNNNNNNNNNNNNNNNNNNNNNNNNNNNNNNNNNNNNNNNNNNNNNNNNNNNNNNNNNNNNNNNNNNNNNNNNNNNNNNNNNNNNNNNNNNNNNNNNNNNNNNNNNNNNNNNNNNNNNNNNNNNNNNNNNNNNNNNNNNNNNNNNNNNNNNNNNNNNNNNNNNNNNNNNNNNNNNNNNNNNNNNNNNNNNNNNNNNNNNNNNNNNNNNNNNNNNNNNNNNNNNNNNNNNNNNNNNNNNNNNNNNNNNNNNNNNNNNNNNNNNNNNNNNNNNNNNNNNNNNNNNNNNNNNNNNNNNNNNNNNNNNNNNNNNNNNNNNNNNNNNNNNNNNNNNNNNNNNNNNNNNNNNNNNNNNNNNNNNNNNNNNNNNNNNNNNNNNNNNNNNNNNNNNNNNNNNNNNNNNNNNNNNNNNNNNNNNNNNNNNNNNNNNNNNNNNNNNNNNNNNNNNNNNNNNNNNNNNNNNNNNNNNNNNNNNNNNNNNNNNNNNNNNNNNNNNNNNNNNNNNNNNNNNNNNNNNNNNNNNNNNNNNNNNNNNNNNNNNNNNNNNNNNNNNNNNNNNNNNNNNNNNNNNNNNNNNNNNNNNNNNNNNNNNNNNNNNNNNNNNNNNNNNNNNNNNNNNNNNNNNNNNNNNNNNNNNNNNNNNNNNNNNNNNNNNNNNNNNNNNNNNNNNNNNNNNNNNNNNNNNNNNNNNNNNNNNNNNNNNNNNNNNNNNNNNNNNNNNNNNNNNNNNNNNNNNNNNNNNNNNNNNNNNNNNNNNNNNNNNNNNNNNNNNNNNNNNNNNNNNNNNNNNNNNNNNNNNNNNNNNNNNNNNNNNNNNNNNNNNNNNNNNNNNNNNNNNNNNNNNNNNNNNNNNNNNNNNNNNNNNNNNNNNNNNNNNNNNNNNNNNNNNNNNNNNNNNNNNNNNNNNNNNNNNNNNNNNNNNNNNNNNNNNNNNNNNNNNNNNNNNNNNNNNNNNNNNNNNNNNNNNNNNNNNNNNNNNNNNNNNNNNNNNNNNNNNNNNNNNNNNNNNNNNNNNNUACCUCUUUUAACGACAAGAUUCGUAGUAGAUGAUAAAAAGAAAAUUAACUUCAAAUUUUUUCAUUAAAUGUAAAUCUGAUUGAAGUAGUUUAAAUUUUUCUAGUAGACUAAUAUAUAUAACUUAAAUAAUUAAUUUCAUUAUUAAUUUUUAAAAUGUUAACUAAUAUAUUUUUAAUUUAUUAUAAAAAUUUUAAAUAAAUCCUUGGAUUAAAUAGAUUUUACAAUUAAUGUAAUACUUCUGAUUUAUUAAUAAUAUUAAAAUUAUUUUAUAUGAUAUUCAAAAUAAUUUAAACUUAUAUAUAUAUUAAUAUUAUGUCUAUUUAUUAUAAUAUGGUUUAAUAUUAUACGGGAUUGUAAAAUAUUAAAAUAUUUUUCAAUAUCCAAUUAUUUUAAUAUGUAUAUAUCAUUACAUUUAUUUUAGUAUCGUAUUUAUAUUUAUUAUAAAAUAUAAAAUUAAUAAAAUUAAAGAGUAUUGCAGUAAAGUAAAAAAAAAAAGUCUUAUUAUCUCUUAUUCACAAUAUGAGAUUCUACAAAAUUAUUUCCCGAAACGGGUGUCCUUUUCUUAUUUUCAAAAGAAAAAAUAAAGUAAGAAUAAGUCCAUGGGUUUCAAAAACUUCUAGUCUUAUCCCGGGACUACAUUGUCUGCCACUAUAACUAAUGGAAAUGACAAUACAAUUGACAUUGCCUUUCGCAACAUGACAAAUUUUUGGUGGGAUAUGGAAGAAUUGUCAAAAGUUCACGCCAUGUAAGAGUUUUUGGUGGGAUGUGGGAGGAUUGUCAAAAUAUCACACCACGUGAUAUAACCACAAUUGCUAUGGUUUUUAUUUUUUAAAUAAUGAUGGGAGUUAUAAAUUAUUUAUAUAAAUUUGCGUAGAAACUAAUGUAACAUAAAAGAAGUAGCUGAAUAAUAAUAUUUGGUGCUUUAGGUAAUUUUUAUAUGAGCCUUUCUUUUAUUUAGCGGCUCUAGUGCUUAAACAAACUUGUUCUCGAUCUUAAUUUACUGACCCCAUUUAAGCCUAUGAUGACAUAAUUAAACAUAUUCUUUUGUGACGAAAACAUCAAGAGAAGACAUCUCAUGUUUUAUUAUAACAGAAAAGAAGUGAUCCAAACGUCUAUUCGUUAUUUUAUUUAUUCAAUAUAAAUGGUCAACUUUAAAAAAAUGAUAAAAAUCACACAACGCUCAAGUAAAAAUUUAGAAUUACAUUUUUUAAAACUCUCUGAGUCUCUCUCUCCUGCCCCCCCCCCCCCCUCUUUUUUUUAAAAUAAACCUUAGUGUAAAAUUAGAAGAAUUUUAGAUAUAAAAUUUGGCAAUCGCUAAACAGAAAAGUAGCGGAUUGAAAAUAAAAAAGCUCUAUUAUCAUAGGAAUAUUGAUUAUACAUAAUAUAAUAACUUGUUGUGGUUCAUUGUAGCACUCUGAGCCAUACUUUAAAAUUUACUGGUUUGUUAAUGCUUUUAUUAUUGACAUUAUUGUGUCAAUAUUACUAUAAUUUAUUCAUUUUAUUGUAAUGAUAAUUUGUGUAGUCUUAGGUACUUAUUAUAUUAAAUUAUGUAAAUUAAUUGAGAAUACUUUUAGAGACAAAAGAAACACGUGUAUGUAGGAUUAAUAAUCGAAGAAUUGUAAAUGAAGGUGAUUGCUUCAUUGAGAGGCAUAUUGAAUAAUUAUGGAGGUUGCACUAUUUCGGAAGCACAUAUUUAUACUUCCCUAUCAGGAUUUGGGGUAAACGAAGUGCUUUAUCUAUUGCAGUAAGCAAUGUGGGCAAUAUCAGAGGCGAAAUAUUAAAAGAUUAUAACGCAUAUAUUUGAGCCAUUUAUAUUGAAGACACAUAUAGAGGAAAGAGUGCAGAUCAGGCUUUCCUCAAGUAUUCUCAUGCUUCCGCAACUGUUCUGAACUAUUCUUCAUUGUGGGCAGAUUUACUUAAUUACCAACACUAUGAUUCAAUACUUCAAAGGUUGAGGAAAUGUCAAAAUAUGAAAUGAAAAUACUUAAAUACCCUUCUACCUAACAAAACUUGGUACUUCUAACUGCACUCGCAGAGAAUAUAUAAAAUUAAAAAAAUAUAUAUUCAUCCAUGAAAAGCUUCGUAACAGAAAAACCAUCUUUAAAAAAAAUAAAAAUAAAAUUAAAAAAAAAAAACAGAAAAACCGACUCAUUUAUCUGCCAAUGAACCAAUUGGGACUCAUUUAAAAAAGAAUACAAAGCAAAAGUGAAUGACACAAAUUGCAUAGAUAUCUAGGUAUAAUUUGUCCAAGUAAUAAAUUCUCCUAGGUCAAAAGCAAUUAACGAUGAAAACUUUCUUCAUUAAGGUUCUGGCCUACGUAAAAAAACAGAAAAAACCACCCCAAGGUCAAAGCACAACGAUAAGUUUAGAACUGCAGUUUUUAAUUUUUUUUAAUAAAUCAAUGUGUAUCAAAAAUAGAUAAUAAUUUUGGAUAACUUUUUUUGAUAAAUAUAGACAUAAAAUUUUAAAAUCACCAAACAGAAAAACAGGGGAAUUAAAAGAGAGCCCUUGUUUCUCCUCUGUUUUGUUUGUUAUCAAACAGUGAAAUGAAAAGAUCGCAAGCGGAAAUUUUGUUUCUGCGUUGUAUCUUCUCAAUGCUGCAUGCAUUCAAAUUAAACCUUAUAUAUGCUAGCAAACUAGCUACUCUGCAUGUAAGUUCUCGAUAAGUCCAAAUAAUAGAAUAAUUGUAAAAUGUUAAAAUUCAGUAAUUAAUUAUACAUAUUUAUUUAUUCAAAAAUUAUUAUUAUUAAUUAUUGUCAAUAUAUAUUAAUAUUCUGAUUAAUUGUAAAAAAUUUAUCAUUCAUAACAAUAAUAAUGAUGAUGAUGAUAAUAAUAAUAAUAAUUCAAAAUAUAUUAAUUAAUUAUAAUAAUAUAUUAAUUAUUUAAUAAUAGUAAUAAAUGUAAAAUGUAUAAAUUGAUUAGAAUAGUUAUAUUAAUAAAUUAUAAACAUAUAUUAAUUAAUCAUAAUAAUUUUUUAAUUGAGGACAAAAUAGACAUUUUAUAGUUUGUGAGAGGGGGUAAAAUGGUCAAUCUUGGGAACGGGGGAUUGAUUCCCACCACCUUCCUUGGGAAUCAAUCUUCCAUUCCUCAUUCCUAAAUUUGGGUGGCCCCAUAAUUCUGAUUUGGAUCCCUGCCUCCAUCAUUAAUGAUUUCGAUUUCGGAUUCCGAUUCCCCAAUCCAAGAAGUAAAGGCACCAUUAUUGUUAAUUGGUUCAAACACACAAAGAGAAUGUACCAUGUAGCUAGGCGUCAAGGUUGUGUUGCACAAGUAACCUUUUUCUUUUCUUUUUAUUUUUCUUGUUUUCCUUAACGGAUCAGAAGAAAUUGGUGCCUUUGAGAUACCACAAUGUAAAUAAGUACUUGUGGUUCAUUGAAUCGGUAACACUCGGUACCCUAAGGUUGCUUUGGAAAAAAGGCUUUUCUCACUGAUCGCCAAUAUCCAAGUAAGUUUGUUUCAUUUCAGAAGGUGCAAAGUUUCAAACUUGUUGUAUUGGGAUGUAACAAACUUUGGCCUCAUAUGCCUGCUGUGACGUUAGACUGUUCAUUUUGAUUGUUUCCUACCUUCCACUUACGCCAUUGUAGCACUGUAUUAUUCACCAUUUUAACUGUUUAAAUGAAAUUUUAUUUUUGUCAAAAAUAAAAUGACACCAUUAAAAUUUAGAAAAAUAAUAAUGUAGAUCCCAAAUUUUUAAAAAAGAAUACCAAUAUUCCCCUUGACUACAAUACCCUUAGUAGGUGGUAAUAAAAAAAAAUUGGCUUAAAAUUUUUACGAAAUGUAAAUAUGAUUUAAAUAAUUUAAAUUUUCCAGUAGACUAAUAUAUAUAAUUUAAAUAUUAAUUUUUAAAAUUUAAAUUAAUUUAUUUGUAUUUAUAAAAUAGUUGUAAUUAUUUUAAAAUUUAACUAAAUCCUUAGGUUAAAUAGAUUUUACAAUUAAUAUAAUAUUUCUCAUGUAUUAAUAAUAUUAAAAUUAUUUUAUAUGAUAUUGAAAAUAACCUAAAUUUUUAUAUAUUUAUUUGAAUAUUAUGCUCUAUUUAUUAUAAUUUGGUUUAAUAGAAUACGAGAUUGUAAAAUAUUAAAAUUUUAAAUAUUGAAAUUAUUUUAAUAUGUAUAUAUUAUUAUAUUUAUUUUAAUAUCCUAUUUAUAUUUAUCAUAAAUUAUUAGAGUUAAUUUUUUUAGUUAAUAAAUUUAAAAAAUAUUAUAAUUUUAAAAAAAAAGUCUUGUUGUCCGUUAUUCACGAUAUGAGGUUCUACAAAAUUAUUUCUCCAGGCGGGUGUCCUUUUUUUAUUUUCAAAAGGAAAAACAAGUUCAGGGCCUCAGGGGUUUCAAAAAAUUCUGGUCCUAUCUACCACUAUGACUAAUGGGAAAUGACAUUGCAAUUGACAUUGCUUUCCGCAAUAUGACAAAUUAUUGGAGGGAUAUGGGAGAAUUGUCAAACGUUCACACACGCGAGAGCUUUAGGUGGGAUAGGGGAGGAUUGUCAAGAGUUCACACCACGAGAAACUAAUGAUAGGCCUAAUUUCGUUGUCAGUUCUUUAUUUAUUUAUUUUAUUUAUUUCAUACAUUAUUGUUUUUAUAAAGGUAUAAAAGUAAAGUAAAAUACCAGGGGUGCUGUUAAGUUACAACUUAUGUAACUUGCAAUUUUUUCAAAAAUAAUGUAAAAAAUUUAAUAGGUGGUGGGACCCACAUAUUUUUUAAGAGACUUAAGUUACAACAGUUGUAACUUAACAAAAUCUAAAUAUUAGACAAUAAUGCAUAUAAUUUGGGUUUGAUUUUUAAAAGAUUAUUUGAGUACCACCUAUCCUUAUGAUAUUAAUCUGAUUAUAUCUUAAUAUUAAAUAAUCAAAAUUUGUUUAAUUAUUAUUUGUAUUUCAUACAUUACAUAUUAGAUUUGUUUGAAUUUUAAGUUGUUGCUAAUAAAUAUUUAUGUUGUCAAAGUCAAAGUCAAUAGCUACAAAAGCAGAGAUAAUGGUAUUGUAUAUAGUUUUUAAGAAUGCAAGGAUAAGCUGGAUAAUUGACUUAAAUUCUAAUGAUUAAAAGAGCAACUAUCCCUUAAGUUAUAAUGUCAAUUUCUUUAAUUAGAAAUUUUUUUUUUCAUGUGAUAUAACCUCAAUUGCUACAAUUUUUUUUAUAAUAAUAAUGGGAGUUAUAAAUUAUUUAUAUAAAAUUUGGGUUGAAACUAAUGUAACCUAAAAGUGGUUGCUAAAUAACAAUAUUUGAAACUUUAAGUAAUUUUCAUGAGUCCUUUUUAUAUUCAGCAACUUGAAUUGGGGGAAAUCCGACUUGAAUUGGCGGUUGAUUUUGGUGAUGUGGCUUUUGGUUUACGCCGGCUUUACAGUGGCGGAAGACUGGAUUUACGGUUGCCGAAUGCUAGGGAUUAUGGUGGUGGUGUAAAUUGACGGAAAAAGAAGGUGUUUUGGUGGCGGCGCAUCUAGGAAGCACUCGUGGGUUGUCGUUUCGUGUGCUGACAACGGGCGGCGAUCAAGGGCUGAAGUUGGUUGGUUUUUGGUCAACGGAGGCCGGCGAGUUUGUUGGUGGAGGUGGUUGGUGGAGAAAGUGGCUGAAUGGUGGUGGGUUGCUUGGUGGAGCCGUGGGUUUGGGUUGGUGAUUUGCGGCUGUUGAGGCAGCGAUGACUGAGGCUUGGUCAACUGUGGCUAGUGAGGUUUGUGGUGGUGUUGGCUGGCUGAUCGGCGGUGGUGGGCGGCGGUGGAGGUUGAUGUGACGGGUUGGGUUUUCAAAUUUGUAAAUUUUGUUUUUUGAUGGAUUUGGUUUGGAUAGGUAUGGUGUAUCUAGGAAAGAUGUGCGAUUCGCACAUAAUCAUCUUGAUACCAAUUGAUGGAGCGAGGCGUAGCGGAAGCAGAAUUGAUAGGGUAAGAAACAUUAGAUAUUGUUCUAGUACUAGACCAAGCCAACGCGAUUAGUUCACGCUCUAAUCGAAGCAUGAUUAGAUAUCGUUAUAAUCCAAAUGACUCAAUGAGAUUUUUAAUAAUGCGUAAUACGAGAUUAGAUGACACUCUAAUCCAAACGACUCUACAAGAGAGAUUUUGAUAAAUAAUCCUAGAGAAAAUUAUAAAAGAGGGGUUUUAUUUAAUAAUUGAACUUGAAGUUAUGAAAAUAAUGACAAGACAUCUUUAUUUUUUUUAUUACAAAUAUCUUUAUUUAUAAUAGAAGAAACCCGCUUUCCUAAGUUAACCUAAAAAGAAAAUUUAAAUCAUAAUUAUAAUGGAAAUAAAAGAUUAAAAUACAUACCAUAAUUAACUCAAACUAAAAUAGAAAAUCAUAAAAUAAUAAAUAUUCUAGAAUUAUAAAUUAUCUAAAAUAACGUUAAUUAACUUCUUAAAUCACUUCUUUGGUGUUAACCAUUUUGCAUCCAACCUCGCUUUAAAGGUUUGAACCAACGUUACCAACAAUAAUGUAUCAAAUUCCAAUCUAACUUAAGAUCCUGAUACAUCUACCGAUGUCCUUGUUUGAUUAGACAAUAAUGAGUCUAUCUCAUCACUUGUUACCUCUUUCUUGAAGGCUGCAUCUGUUGAAGUGAUAGUCUCGUUUAGAGUUUAAAGAUCUUCUUCCAUGUUAAAUAAAAUGGGCAUUUGAUUAAAAAACUUUAUCUCUAUCUCCUUCUAUCAAAUAACGACAACUAUCCGAAGGGAAAAAAAAUUAGAAAAGUCCAUGGGUCACAAUAAUUUAUGGUCUGUUCCCGGACCCCAUUAUCUGCCACUAUCAAUGAUGAAAAUGAAAAUAAAUGGCAUCUUCCCAAAAUGGCAAAAGAUUUUUGGGGGAUAUGGGGGAAUUGUCAAAAGUUCACACAACGCGAAACAAGUGUUACAUCCAAUUUUAUUUCGUCAUAUAAUGAUAAUAUCAAAUAAUGACAACCAUCCAAAAGUAUGAUGGGUCUUCCACAAUUUUGAAAAUGUCGUCAACAUUUAAUCUUCAAUGCUAAAGAAGAUGAAAUGACCAAAAAUGACACGCAGGACCAACUUACAGACUAAAUGGCUCUGACCACAUGUAACAAACUUUGGCUUUAUGUCCUUGCUGAGGCGUUAGACUGUUGGUCAUUUUGAUUGCUUUUUACCUUCCAUUUACGCCAUUGUAGCAUUGUACUAUUCACCAUUUUAGCUGUUUAAAUGAAAUUGUUAUUUUUUUUUCCAAAAAUAAAAUGACACCCUUAAAAUUUUAGAAAAUAGCCAUGUAGAUCCCAAAUUUUUAAUAAAGAACACUAAUAUCAUUUUUGACUAUAGUACUCUUAGUAGAUGGUAACAAAAAAAAAUGACUGCAAAAGUUUUUACUAAAUGUAAAUAUGAUUUAAAUAGUUUAAAUUUUCUAGUAGACUAGUAUGUCUAAUUUAAAUAAUUAAUUUUUAAAAUGUAAUUUAAUAUAUUUAUUUUAAUAAUAUAUUUAUCAUAAAAAUUUUAAACAAAUCCUUGGGUUAAAUAGAUUUUAUAAUUAAUAUAAUAUUUCUCAUGUUUUAAUAAUAUUAAAAUUAUUUGAUAUGAUAUUGAAAAUAAUUAAAACUUUUAUAUAUUUAUUUGAAUAUUAUUUCUCUAUUUAUUAUAAUUUGGUUUAAUAGAAUACGAGAUUGUAAAAUAUUAAAAUAUUUUUAGGUAUUAAAAUUAUUUUAAUAUGUACAUAUUAUUAUAUUUAUUUUAAUAUCCUGCUUAUAUUUAUUAUAAAAUAUUAAAAUUAAUUUUUUUAGUUAAUAAAUUUAAAAAUAUAUAUUAUAAUUAAAAAAAGAGUCUUAUUGUCUGUUAUUUACGAUAUGAGGUUCUACAAAAUUAUUUUCAAAAGGAAAAAUAAGUCUAAGGGUUUCAACAAAUUCUAGUCCUAUCUGCCACUAUGACUAAUGGAAACGACAUUGCAAUUGACAUUGCUUUUUGUAAUAUGACAAAUUUUUGGAGGCAUAUGGGAGAAUCAUCAAAUGUUCACACUACGCGGGAGUUUUGGAUGGGAUCAGGGAGGAUUGUCAAGAGUUCACACCACGAGAAACCAAUGAUAGCCCUAAUUUCGCUGUCAGUUCUUUGUUUAUUUAUUUUAUUUAUUUCAUACAUUGUUGUCUUGUUGGCAUUGUUUUGUAAAAUAAAAGUAAAGUAAACUAUUAGGGUGCUGCUAGGUUAAGUUGUUGUAACUUACAGUCCCUUAAAAAAUAAUGUAAAAAAUUUAACAUGUGGUGGGAUCCACAUAUGUUUGAAGAGGCCGUAAGUUACAGUAGUUGUGACUUAGCAAAAUCCAAAUAUUAGACAAUAACGCACAUUAACAAUGCAUAUAAUUUGGGUUUUAUUUUUUUUUAAUUAUUUGAGUAUUAUCUAUCCUUAAGAUAUUAAUGUGAAUAUAAUUUAAUAUUAAAUAAUCAAAAUCUAUUUAAUCAUAAUAUAUAUUUCAUACAUUGCAUGUUUAAUCAAAAUCUGAUUGCUUUUUACCUUCUAUUUCGCCCACUGUAGCAUUCUACUAUUUACCAUUUUAGCUAUUUAAAUGAAAUUUAUUUUUUUUCCAAAAAUAAAAUGACACCCUUAAAAUUUUAGAAAAUAGUCAUGCAGACGCCAAAAUUUUAAUAAAGAACACCAAUACCCUUUUUGACUAUAGUACUCUUAUGGUAGCCACAAAAAAAAAAUGACUUCAAAUUUUUUUACUAAAUGUAAAUAUGAUUUAAAUAGUUUAAAUUUUCUAGUAGACUAGUAUGUAUAAUGUAAAUAAUUAAUUUUUAAAAUGUAAUUUAAUAUAUUUAUUAUAAAAAUUUUAAACAAAUCCUUGGGUUAAAUAGUUUUUAUAAUUAAUAUAAUAUUUCUCAUGUUUUAAUAAUAUUAAAAUUAUUUUAUAUGAUAUUGAAAAUUAUUUUAUAUGUAAAUCAUAUUUACAUUUAAUAGAAUACGAGAUUGUAAAAUAUUAAAAUAUUUUUUGGUAUUGAAAUUAUUUUAAUAUGUAUAUAUUAUUAUAUUUAUUUUGAUAUCCUACUUAUAUUUAUUAUAAAAUAUUAAAAUUAAUUUUUUUAGUUAAUAAUUUAAAAAAAAAUAUUAUAGUUAAAAAAAAAGAGUCUCAUUGUCCGUUAUUCACGAUAUGAGGUUCUACAAAAUUAUUUUCAAAAGGAAAAAUAAGUCCAGGGCUUUCAACAAAUUCUAGUCCUUCUGCCACUAUGACUAAUGGAGACGCAUUGAAUUGACAAUGCUUUUUGCAAUAUGACAAAUUUUUGGAGGGAUAUGAGAGAAUCGUCAAGCUUUCACACCAUGCGAGAGCUUUAGGUGGGAUAUGGGAGAAUUGUCAAGAGUUCACACCACGAGAAAUUAAUGACAAGCCUAAUUUCGUUGUCAGUUCUUUAUUUAUUUAUUUUAUUGAUUUCAUACAUUAUUGUCUUGUUGGUACUAUUUUGUAAAGAUAUAAAAGUACAAGUAAAAUAUUAGGGAAAGUAAAGUAAAAUAUUGGAGGUGAUGCUAAGUUACAGCUGCUAUAACUUACAGUUCCUUCAAAAAUAAUGUAAAAAAUUUAACACGUGGUGGGACCCACAUUAUGUUUGAAGAGGCCGUAAGUUAUAGCAGUUGUAAACUAGUAAAAUCCAAAUAUUAGACAAUAAUACACAUUAACAAUGCAUAUAAUUUGGGUUUGAUUUUUAAAAAAAUUAUAUGAGCAUUACCUAUCCUUAAGAUAUUAAUGAGAAUAUAUUUUAAUAUUAAAUAAUCAAAAUAUGUUUAAUCAUAAUAUGUAAUUCAUACAUUGCAUGUUAGAUUUGUUUGGAUUUUAAGUUGUUGCUAAUAAAUAUUUAUGUUGUGAAAGUCGAAUUCAAUAGCUACAAAAGCAGAGAUACUGGUAUUUUAUGUAGUUUUUAAGAAUACAAGAAUAAGACCAUAAUGCAUGAGAUAAUGGUAUUUUAUAUUAAAAGACCAUAACACAUGUAUUUGAGCCAUUUAUAUUGAGGACACAUAUAAAGCGAAGAGUGCAGAUCCGGCCGUAACUAUUGUGAAGCUUUCCUCAAGUAUUCUCAUGCACACAGCCCUUAUCUGGUCAAGUUCUCUGAUUCAAUAUAAUCAAUUUCCGAGUAGUACUGACGACAGCUUCUCUGUAAAGCUCUUCAACCACAAGCAUUUCUACAAGGCAAAAGACUAGGACGUAUUGGAAUGAAUAUCAAUAAGGGAAUGUCUUAUGAAUUUAGUUUAUAUCCUAAUAUAAGACAAUCAGUAAAUAUUGGAUGCAAUCUAAGGGCUAACAUUUGAUUGAUCAUUAUACGAAAAAAAAAAAAGGUGCAAAAAUACAAAACAUAGCUGAUUGAUGGCCUCUCACAGUCAGUUAUAUGACAAAGUAGCCACCACAACAAACUUUUUUUUUUGAACUGAUUAAGCAUCAGGUUACUGUAUUACACAUAGAGAUAUAUAUAACUGCUAUGACAGCAAGUCAUUAUACUGAUAUUUACAAUCAGAUAUAUACAUGAGACUUAUAUUAUUACAUUUUUAUUAUAUGAAGUACAUGCCCAUCCAAAUCUCCCUCACGGAGGAGGGAUGUCUCUACUCCACUCACAUUUCGCAAGGGAGAAAGACGUUAUAAGAAGUUUUCACCACAACAAACUUGAACUUGGGUGGAGGUCUCAUUAGUAGUAUACCUCAGAAAUUAAGACAAAGACUUUAAAAUGCAAACUUAUGGAGCAAUUUAAGCACUGAAACUAAUAACAGUACGGUAUUAGCAAUUGACCUCUGCUUUUGCUUAGACAAAGGUUUUCAUCACAAUGGACUCAUUAGUUGCCCUUGCCUCACACGUUUGGAUGCUAAGGGGAAAAAGGAAGCUUGAAUUAGUCAAUCUCAUUUCUAAUGGCAUUCACAGAGAACUUAUAAAACAAAAAAAAAAAAAAAUUAUAAAAAAAAAUUCAUCCAUAAAAAGCUUAGUAACGGAAAAAUCGACUCUUUUAUCUGCCACUGACGAAAAAAAAACUGAAGUAUUAAAUAGAUAAAGAAUUUAAUUUUUUUCUUGGAAAAACUAAUAAUAAAUUAACAAUUAGAUAAUACUAUUAAUUAGAGAUCUUUAAUAUUAAGGUUGUCAAAGAUAGAAUGUGUAUAAAAAUUCUUAAUUAUAAGAUAAUUACUAACUAAAAAGAGGCCUAAAAAAGAAGAUUUGCUAUUAUAAGUAAUACCAAAAAUAAAAAGGGAGACUUCCUAAUUGUGUAAUUGGUUAAAAAAGAGGAUUUGCUAUUAUAGGCCUAAUUUGCCUAUGCUUAAAACCGUUCCUGGAUGUAAAAAAAUAAAAAUUAUUGUUAAAUUCCUGACUAAUAAGGUCAUUGAAAGUAUUCAAAGGACCUGAACUUAUAGGAAAGCCAGCCAUGAUGAACUAUACCACGUUGCAAGUGAGCUCGUAUCUUCACCCCUUGAUCUGCCAUCGGCAUUUCUCUUCCACUCACUAUACCAUCCUUUUCAAUCGAUUUUUAUAGAUCAUAAGAGACCAUGUGGCCCACCUUAUUUUUAUUUUGGAUCCAUAACCCAAAGCUGGCCCAAGUUCUGAUUCCAGAAUCAUUUGUCUACAAAGUGACCUCAUUCCGGCAAUUGGUUUAUGCUAAUAGCACGUGCAAUUUUCAUUUUCUUCUUUUUAUUAAUUAAUUUCAUCAUUAUUAUUUGCUUAUUAUUUUAAAAUUAAAGCUAGCAUUUUUCAAAUUAAUUAAUUAAAUUGUAUUAAUGAAAUUAAUCUUUCAUUUUCUUUUCUCUUUCAAUGCACAAAGCCAAACAACCAUUCUCGCUUCAAAUACCGAAGAGCUCCUGACUACGGCUGUCAAUGCUUCUAUAUUUACGUGCUGUGCUGCAUCACUCUUAGCGAAAGCUUGAAUGAAUGAUUAAAGACAAAAGCUUAUAUAAAAGCAGAUGCCGGAGGCAGUCAAAAAGCAUUUGAGAGAGAAGCUAAACAGCAAAUCAUCAAACGCACUUCAAUGACUUUAUUUUGAUUUUGAUUUUUGUUUCGAAAGAAGUAGAAAAGUCCAUGGGUCACGAUAACUGCUUGUCCUAUGCCGUGACCUCAUUGUCCACCGCUAGUGUCAAAUAGAUUAAUCUUUCUAGUAGAUUAAUAUAAUUUAUAAUUUUAAUUUCAGUAUUAAUUUUUAAAAUGUUAGUUGUUAUAUUUAUUUUAAUAAUAUAUCUAUUUUUAGUAUAAAAAAUUUAAAUGUAUAUUUAGAUUAAAUAGAAUUUAUAAUUAAUAUAAUAUAUCUCAUGUAUUAAUGAUAUUUAAAUUAUUUUAUAUAAUAUUAAGCCUAACUUAGAAUUAUAUAUAUUUAUUUUAAUAUUAUGUUUCUAUAUAUUAUAUAAUAUUAAGCCUAACUUAGAAUUAUAUAUUAUGUUUCUGAGCCUCUCUCUAUAACACUAUAUAGAACCCUAAGCCUAAGUGUCACGGGAUGAGUGUUUUGCGCAGCUAACCCGUGCGGCACUUAGACAACUUUGCCGAAUGUUGCUAAGUAAGCCUAGAGAUUCUCGAACAAGAGAAGAGAGCAAUUGAGCCAAAGAAACUUGUAUUGCACAAAGAGAGAUUACAAUGCUUGUUGGAUACAAAUGCCUAAUGCCAUCCCAUAUUUAUAGGGGAGGCUUUGUCAAACUUGGCCUAACUUUGCCAAACUUUGCCAAACUCUAGAGUAUUCUACAAUUUCCUAGCUAUUUACAUGUGCUGGAAUUGUAUAAAGAAUUCUAGAAUAUUUACAUGUUCACAUGUGCUAGAGUUUCCUAGAACCUUCCGGAAUUGGGCCAAGCUAGCACUCUUGGCUUUGUGUUGGCUCUCUAGCUCGAAAUUGGGGCAAUUGGGCUAGCGAAUUGGGCGGUCCGCAACAACCUCCCCCACCUAUGCUCGCGGCGUCCUCGUCGCGCUCUCAUGCUUGAACCUCUGGAUGUGCUCAGCGAAUUGCCACAAACCAUCUUCACGUUCCCAAGUGGCUUCACUCUCGGGGAGGUUUUUCCAUUUCACCAAGUACUCGCUAUGUGCUGGCACGCCCCUCCUCGAAACCGUGCGGUCCGCAAUGAUGUAGUCCACAUCUUUGUCGAAUGCGGUGACAACGGCAGUUGGUGCGCGCCUUGAUUCUCCGCGACCUGGUUCUCCCAUGUCUUCGUGAUAUGGCUUGAGAAGGCUCACAUGGAAGACCGGAUGGAUCUUGAGUCUUGGCGGAAGUUGGAGUUGAUACGAGACGUUGCCCACACGUCGAACAACUCGGAAGGGUCCCUCGUAGCGCCUCACUAACCCCUUGUGAACUUUCCGCAAUGUCUUGAAUUGUUGGGGUAGGAGCUUGAUCAUGACUUGAUCUCCUUCCUUGUACUCAACAUGCCGUCUCCUUGUAUCCGCCCAUUUCUUCAUUUUCCUCGCGGCUUUGUCGAGGUAGGCUCGCGUGAUGUCCGCUUCCUCAUGCCAUUCGCGGGCGAGCUUGUGUGCCGCGGGGCUUUUCCCUCCGUAAGUCGAGGCUAUGGCAUUGGGAGUCAUUGGCUGGAAUCCCAUGAUGAUCUCGAACGGACUCUUGCCCGUAGCCUCGCUUCGCUGCAAGUUAUAAGAAAAUUGGGCGAUGUCGAGUAGCUUCGCCCAAUCCCGCUGGUGAGCGCUCACAUAAUGCCUCAGAUACAUCUCGAGGAGGCCGUUAAUGCGCUCGGUCUGCCCAUCCGUUUGUGGGUGGAAGCUUGUCGAGAACUUGAGAUCGGUCCCCAACAUCUUAAAGAGUUCCGUCCAAAACCGCCCAGUGAACCAAGGGUCUCGGUCGCUCACAAUGCUCUUCGGAACUCCCCAAAGCUUCACAAUGUGCUUGACAAAUAGGCGGGCUGCCUCAUCCGCUUUGCAAUCCACUGGUGCGGCAAUGAAUGUGGCGUACUUGCUGUGUCGGUCGACAAUGACCAUGAUGCUUCCGCAACCUUCGGACUUGGGCAGCGAUGUGAUGAAGUCCAUGGAGACACUUUCCCAUGGCCUUGUUGCUAGUGGUAGCGGCUCCAACAAUCCCGCUGGAAGUUGAUGAUCCACCUUGUCUUGUUGGCACACAAGACAAGUUCGCACAUAUGCCUCGAUGUCGUCCCUCAUGUGCGGCCAAAAAUACGAGGCUUGAACUAGUGCGGUGGUGCGCUCGAUUCCUGGGUGACCAGCCCACUUGGAGUCGUGGCACUCCUUGAUAACUUCCUUCCGCAAAUUUCCCCACCUUGGCACAAACAGCCGAUCUCCCUUGGUGAGGAGGAUGCCUUCCUCUUGCCAAAAUCGCCUUGUCUUCCCUUCGAGCACCUUCUCCAGCAAAUCCUUUGUUAGCGGGUCUUGUUGGAGGCCUUCCUUGAUGCGUGAGACAAGGUCGGACUUCGGUUGGCUCAUGCUAAGUGUUGCCAAUUCCGCCUUGCGGCUUAGAGCGUCCGCAACGACAUUGGCUUUCCCCGGUUUGUACUCUAGCCGAUAGUCGAAUUCCGCAAGGAAAUCUUGCCACCGUGUUUGCUUCGGACUCAACUUCUUUUGAGUUUGAAAGUAGCUUGUCGCCACGUUGUCCGUUAUGAUCGUGAAGUGUGAGCCAAGCAAGUAAUGUCGCCACACUCUUAGACAAUGGAUGAUGGCUGUCAUCUCCUUUUCUUGCACCGUGUAGCGGCGUUCCGUAUCAUUUAGCUUUCGACUCUCGAACGCUAUUGGGUGGCCUUCUUGCAUAAGGACUCCACCUAUGGCGAAAUCCGAGGCAUCUGUUUGAACUUCGAAGGGCUUGGUGUGGUCCGGAAGAGCGAGGACUGGUUCCUCCGAAAUUGCCUUCUUCAACUCCUCGAAUGGACGUUGGCACUCUUCGGAUCAAUGCCACGUUCUGUUUUUCUUGAGCAUAUCCGUCAAGGGUGCCGCCUUGGCUGAAUAGCCCUUGAUGAAAUGGCGGUAGUAAUUCACCAACCCAAGGAACGAGCGAAGCUCGGGUACUUUCGAGGGAGGCUCCCAAUCGAGGAUGGCCUCUACUUUGUCAUUCUCCAUCAUGAUCUUCCCGCCCGCAAUCUUAUGGCCAAGGAACUCCACCUCUUGUUGGGCAAACGAGCACUUCUCUAGUUUGAGGAAGAGCUCAUUGUCUUGAAGUACUUGGAGGACUUUUUGCAAGUGUUGGGCAUGAUCCUCGAGUGUGGUGCUAUACACCACGAUGUCGUCCAAGUACACGACCACGAAGCGGUCGAGGAAUGGUUGGAGUACCUUGUUCAUGAGUGUGCAAAAUGUGGCGGGUGCAUUAGUAAGGCCAAAAGGCAUCACAAGGAAUUCGAAAGACCCGUACCUUGUUGUGCACGCUGUCUUUGGUUCGUCUCCCUUGGCGAUGCGCACUUGGUAGUACCCGGAGCGCAAGUCAAGUUUGGUGAAGUACCGCGCUUUGCCAAGCUGGUCGAACAAGUCCGCAAUCAAUGGAAUCGGAUACUUGUUCUUGAUGGUGAUCUUGUUGAGCGCUCUAUAGUCGAUGCACAUCCGCAGCGAUCCAUCCUUUUUCUUUUGGAAGAGGACCGGUGCACCGAAUGGGGCCUUUGAGGGGCGAACGUAGCCUGCGUCCAGCAAGUCUUUGAGCUGUCUCCGCAACUCCUCUAAUUCGGGUGGCGCCAUGCGGUAGGGCGCCAAGGCUGGUGGCUUCGCGCCUUGUUCUAGCUCAAUCGCAUGAUCUACCUCUCGCGGAGGUGGGAGCUUCUUCGGAAGUUCUGGAGGCAUCACGUCCUUGUACUCAUUGAGGACGGCUUGAAUUCGCGGAGGGACUUGGCUUGGCGACGUUCCGCUAUUUCCUUCCUCGUUUAGUUCCCGAAUGGAGACCAAGAAGCUUGGGUCCUUCUUGAAAGCCCUCUUGAAUUGCAUGGCGGAGAGUUUCUUCUCCUCGGACUUGCCUCGUUCGGUGGGUACCAUGCAUGCUUUGCUCCCAUCGAGGAUGCUUAGGGAGUUUGUAGCGGGCAGCGGGAAGGCAUGGACUUGGUCGAAGAAUUCCAUGCCAAGGACCAUCUUGAAGUCAUCCAUGGGCACAAUGGAGAAAUCAAGCUUUCCGCUCCAUGUACCGAGUGUGAUGUGCACGCCUUGUGCAAUUCCCGCAAUUGGUUUGGCGGGUGAGUUUACUGCCUUCAUUGUGCCUCCUUCCUUGGUGGCCUUGAGGCCUAAACGCUUGGCCUCGUCUACGGACACGAAAUUGUGUGUUGCUCCCGUGUCUAGCAGCGCGCGAACAGACUGGCCGUUUACCUUUGCGCUAACAUACAUGAGCCCUUUCUUGGCUAGUGCGGGCUGUUGGCGGUUGAGUGCCCCGAGGCGUUGGAGAGAACCCAUGCUGAGUUGGGGUUCCUCCGUGGACAUUGUGGGGUUGCUCUUGAGUUGGGCAGCAAGAACAUUAAGCGACCGCUUCUCCGGACAGUCGCGUACCCAAUUUGGACCGUUGCAUAUGAAGCAUGGGCUUCGCGGCUUUGGCGCCUCCUUCUUGCCCUCCGAUUUUCCUUGCCAACUCUUGUUGCUAGACGGCUUUUUCUGCCCCCAAUCUUUGCGGUUGUUACCCUUGUCCUUGCGACUCUCUCCCCCACCUUUGCCUUGGUUGGCCUUUUUGUCCUUGGAUUGGGUAGAGUAUUCGGUGAGCGACUCCGCAACGGCGAUGGCGUCGUCAAGUGUUUGAACACCACGCCUAUCAAGCUCGGUCUUGGCCCAAUCCUUGAGGCCAUCUUGGAAGUAGAAGAGUGAAUCUUUGUCGGACAUGUCACUUAUCUCCAACAUGAGGGUAGAGAACUCGUUAAUGUAGUCCCGAAUGCUACCCGAUUGCUUGAGGCGACGUAAGCGCGCUCGCGCUUCCUUCUCUGCAUUGCUUGGGGUGAACUGCUUUCGGAGUUCUUGCUUGAAGUCGGCCCAAGUGUCGAUGGUGCAAAUGCCCUUGCCCAUCUCGCCAUGCUUGCGACGCCACCAUAGUUGUGCAGCGCCUCUAAGAUAGGUGGGUGCAGUGCCCACUUUCGAUGCCUCAUCUCGUACACCCAUGGCAUCGAAGUAUUGAUCCAGCCCGAACAGGAAGUUGUCCACGAUUGUGGCAUUGCGUGUGCCAUCGUAGGUGUCGGGCUUUGGCACAUCAAUGCGGCGCGCAUCACUCGAGUUUGCGGAAGCUGGACUUGCGGAGAGUGUGCGCUUGUGCCAUGCCCAAUCCGAGCGGACUUCAUCCACUUCCGCACGGACAGCACGUAGUUCGUCCUGAACAAAACUACGAAGUUUUAGCAACUCAUCAUGGAAAGAAUGAAACUCACCUCGGAGAAUGUUCGCUUGCUCAUGCAUGAGAGCUUUUGUGGCCACCGUGAACUCGGCGUAUUCUCCCUCGAGAUUGUCCACUCUUCUCUCUAAUCCCUCAAGGCUAUCUUGAGUGGCGGACAAGGCUAUUUCGAGAGUGCCUACACGAGGCUCCAAAGCAUCCACGGAUGGGGCCUUGGACUUGCCGCGAUUCUUGCCUUGGGCGCGUUCUCCCUCUCGGCCGCGGCUUGGUUCUGGUGGAACAUCCACACCAACAAAACCCUCUUGUGCUACGUUUGAAGGGUUGGCCAUUGCUUUGUGAGCUAAUUUGCGUGCGUGCAAACCUUAGCUCUGAUACCACUUGUCACGGGAUGAGUGUUUUGCGCAGCUAACCCGUGCGGCACUUAGACAACUUUGCCGAAUGUUGCUAAGUAAGCCUAGAGAUUCUCGAACAAGAGAAGAGAGCAAUUGAGCCAAAGAAACUUGUAUUGCACAAAGAGAGAUUACAAUGCUUGUUGGAUACAAAUGCCUAAUGCCAUCCCAUAUUUAUAGGGGAGGCUUUGUCAAACUUGGCCUAACUUUGCCAAACUUUGCCAAACUCUAGAGUAUUCUACAAUUUCCUAGCUAUUUACAUGUGCUGGAAUUGUAUAAAGAAUUCUAGAAUAUUUACAUGUUCACAUGUGCUAGAGUUUCCUAGAACCUUCCGGAAUUGGGCCAAGCUAGCACUCUUGGCUUUGUGUUGGCUCUCUAGCCCGAAAUUGAGGCAAUUGGGCUAGCGAAUUGGGCAGUCCGCAACAUAAGUCUCACAUUCGCAACCGCCCCACAUAUCAGAACCACAGCGAACUGCCUCCGACCCUUCGGACCCAAAAAAAUGAUUGUAUUCCUGCUCUUUCACUUUAAUAAUUUUUUGUAUUAUUCCAUAUCUUUCACUUUAAUAACCCAAAAGCUUUCCUCUGUUUCAACCCAAAAGCUCAAAUUCCUUUUUUCAAUCGAAAAUUGUGUUUGCCUAAUUUUUUAACCAUUUUUAUAUGUCCGUUAAACUUGACAGCCAAUGUGGUCUAUUCGCUAAACAGAGUAAACGAUAACAAUCAAUGGAAAUUGAAACAAAACCCACCAAUCAACAAAACAGAAUAGCCGAGGAAUCCAAUUUCAGGAAACAGCAGUUUCAAAACUCACCAGAGACAAAUGAUAAAACGAAGCUACGCCGUUCCUCGAUCGGUGAUAACUGGCUACAAGGUUUCUUCGCAUUCGUUGGCCUAAUUUUUUAACCAUUUUUAUAUGUCCGUUAUGCUUGACAGCCAAUGUGGUCUAUUCGCUAAACAGAGUAAACGAUAACAAUCAAUGGAAAUUGAAACAAAACCCACCAAUCAACAAUGUGGUCUAUUCGCUAAAUGGUUAAAAAAUCUAACCUUUGUUCACAAUAAUUGUAUUUGCCUCACUGUUUUUGUUUUAUGAGAUCUAUAAUUGAUCUUGGGAUAUUACUUUCUAGUUCUCAUGCAAGCAAGUUACUACCUUCCCACUGCAUCUCCUCCUUUAUCUGCUAUUCAAGAGUUGCGUGCCAUAAUCUGGUGUUACCUCUGCAAGAUUGUGAAUGAAUAUAACGCCUCUAAAUUUAUUUUAUACAUAAUGCUGAUGCUGAAUAAUAUAUUGUAGCUCCUGUCAUAUUCUACUUUGACUUUUUAUAUUCUGUUUCAUAUAAAAAUCUUAUUCAACUUUAGUUGUUCAUGAGCAAAUGUCACAUGUAUAAGCCCAAAUGAUGUUUAAAGGUAGCGCGGCUACCUUUAGUUUGAGCUGACAAUGGAUGAAAAAGAUAUUGAAACUGAUAUUUUGCUGUUUUUCUGAUUUUUCAAAGUAUUUUAGAUCCUGACUUUUGUUAAGUUGUUUCCAACACCUCGUGCCAAAUGAAAGCACAAUCUUUCUGAUUCAGAUGUCUUGUUAAUUAUGCUUCAUUUUUUCAUUAAAGAUUGGAUGGUUACAUGGAUUGAUGGAGUUGGAGUUCAACCAAUAAUUCUAAUUUUUUGGACUUAAAAUGCCUUUUUCUUCUGUAUAAAAACUUUAGUAAGUGCUAUUGAGUUGACAGAAGUUGCAUACUUACAGGUUGUUUCACACUUUUUAGUAGUUUUACAUAUAUGAAUUUCUGUUUUUUGAAUUGCAGAAAGGAGGUGGAACUAUUGAUUUGGAGCCUUAUCUUACUCACUCAUCGACAACGGAGCCUACCCUCACUCCCAUGGCAGUGGAACGGACAACGACUACUAGGGCUGCAACAUCAGUUGGUUUGGGUCUGUUUUGGGUUUAUUGUCAUUUAUUUGGGUAUGUUUUGAUAGCGAAUUUUGAUAUGUCAAUAGAAUGUGUAAUUGUUUUGGGUUGAGCUGGUAAUUAUGCUGGAUUAGAUUGGUUUGGUUUUGGUGCUUCUCUGAUGGAACACUGCUUUUUUUAGAAAUUUUGAAUGUAAUAUGAGACUACAUUUAGUUUAAUUGAACACUGCAUCUAGUCUAAUUACUAGAAGUGUGGCAUUUGGUUUGGUUUAUCCGAUAUUCUCCAGAAUUUCACUUGCAUCUGGUUUUGUUGCAUAUGUUUGUUUGCUUGCAUUUGAUGGCAGUAGCAGACUGUUUGUUUUUGUGACAUUUGAUGGCAGUUUGGUCUGUUCUUGGUGUUGAUUUAAGAUUCUUCCUGUUGUGCUGAUGUUAAUUGCAGGUGCUUGAAUCAGCUAGGGUUGCUGGUUUAUUCAGAUGGUUGACUCAGGCGUUGCUACUGGUUAAUUCAGGUGGCUGACUCAAGUUGUUCAUUUAAUGUUAGGAAGCAAAUUAGGAAUUAAUGAAGUAUUCAUUUAACUAUAAUUAUUGUAGUUAUUUUAUUUCAUAACUGAAUUAUAAUCUAUGAUACUUGUGAACAAAUUAGAGAAUUUUUAUAUAUGAAUUAUAUAUAUGUGUGUGUAUGUACAUUUUGCUAUUUAUAUAAUAAUUUAAAGAAUAUAUUUCAAUUCCCACAAAAAAAAGGCUCCAAUUUCAAUAAUUCCCGCCAAAUAAUUAAAUUUUUUUAAUUUACCACCAAAAUAUAUCUUAAGUUAUUCUUGCUAGAUUUAACAAAAAUAAUUUGUAGGAUUAACAUUUAAUUAAAAUAAUUAAAUAAUUUUAUUAUUCCAAUUAAAUAUGUCAUGCUUAUACGACAGACAAUAAUCAUGAAUGGGAAGUAUUAGUAACAUAUUCUUCCUUGGGAUUUCAGGCAAAUGAAAAAAAGAUUGAGAAUGAUUUCAAGAGGACAGGUGGAUGAUAAAUAUUCAUUUUUGUAUAUUUGGCUAAUGUCCUCAUUAGUGGAUUUUUAUGGUAUUGAUCUUUUUCUUUUUUUAAAAAAAUUUUCAAUUAGUUGCAGCCCUAGAGGAAGAGCAGGCUGAUCAAAUUGAUUUGUCUUGUUUUUCGGGCAAUCUACGACACGAUGACCGUGAUAAUGCUCGUGACUGCUGGAAACUUUCUGAUGGAAAUAACUUUAGAGUUCGUAGCAAGCAUUUUUGUUAUGACAAAACAAAGGUUCCCCCAUAUUUUGUUUGUUUGUUAUGGUAUUUAUAUAUCCUGCAUAGGCUAGGUAGACAGGUUAUGAUGUAGUUUGGUUGGCUCUUCUUGUGCUUUGUGCAAUUUGUAACUGCAGAUACCUGUGGUAAAACAUUUAAUGGAUCUUGUUGCUGUUGAUUGGUUCAAAGACACAAAGAGAAUGGACCAUGUAGCUAGGCGUCAAGGCUGUGCUGCACAAGUAACUAUUCUUUUCUUUUUAUUUAAAAAAAUAAAACACAUUGCCAACAAGGAUCUCUUCAUUGAACAUGUGUCUAGUUCUGAUAAGCUAGCUGAUGUGCUUACCAAACCUCUGAGUUUUGAUCAUUUUGCCUAUAUGCAAACUAAGGUCAAUGUCUGCCCAUGACCUUGAGCUUACGGGGGCAUUUUAAGAAUAACAUAUGCUGAGUCAUCAAGCCAUGCUGGAAGUCAGUUUUGCAGUUAGUUAGAGAGCUUAUCAGCUUCCCUCCAAAAGUUUGUUAUGUGUAUUAGAAUCUGGGCUCACGAGUUUUGUGAGAUUGUAACCUUGAGAAGAUUCUCACACUACUAUAAAUUGUAUUGUGACUCAAUUAAUAAAAUAAGUUGAAGCUUUGCAUUUUCUCUCAGUCAAAAUUUUCUCUCUAUUUUUCUAAGUAACCAAACAAGAUCUACAGAGCAUUUUGUAUUUUAACUGGAGCGGCUGAUUGGUGCUGUACGUGUUACAUUUUUACUUUUUUAACUCAAGUCUGCUGUUGUCCCAAAGUUGGAACUAGAGAUAUCAUUUCACCUCAACUGUGUUUUUUUUUUAAUUAAAAAAAUCAUUUGUUUUAGGUAUACAUACAUGUAUUUUAAUUCUAUUUUCCUUGUAAUUUCUCCUUUACUUUGAAUGAAAGUCAUUGGUGUUUUCGAAUGGGAAUUUUGCAUUAAAAAAUUAAGAAUAGUUAAUAGGAAAUUUCCUGAUUCUUUAGUUACUAUUUUUGGUAUGAGUGUAAUUAGUAGUAAAGUUGGUUUCUACUCGCAAACAAGUGAACUGCUCGAUUCCCAAGUGCUAUUAACCAGUUUCCAACUUUUUAAUAUACACUAAUUGUUCCUGUUUAAUAGCUACUACUAUUAAAACUCAACAGCUAACAAAAAUACUAAAAAAAAAUGAUUUUUUCUUAUGAUGCUGUGAAAAAAAUUACGGGUUUACUUAUUUCCACGAGAUCUUGUAUAGUGUUCUUGUAUAGUGGAAUUAAGAUUGUCUUCCCGAUGGUGCAAUUCACCCUCUUCCUUUACAGUCACUUGCACUUUGUGCAGCUUUGGUGUGGAUAAGAUUCCCAGGGAAAAAGUCUUCAUGUUCGGACAAUGUGUCACAAAUACUCGUUCCAAUGAUGGGAAUUCAAGAGUGUAAUUCUCCAAACAAAAGCUGGUAAGCCUUGGUAAAUCAUCAAGUUCCAAAAGUUUUAAUUCUUUGAAAGCAAUACGAUUCUCCUUCGUUUCUUCUCCAGCAUGUCCUACGAUUUGUUCUAAUUUUUUGCAGUUCCAUACAUAAAGAUUCACCAGACUAGUAGGAAUUCCAACCUGAAAAUAAGCAGAGAGUGUGUGUGUGUGUUAAAAAAGUAAAAAUGUAAGAGUGUCAUUCAACUAAGCUCAAAGUAUGUUUGAUAAUACAAUUAUACGUUUUAUGAACAUAACAAACUGUGAAAUGUCUACUAGAUAUUUUUUGUUAAACAAAAAACGUAACAAGAUAAAUAAAUAAAUAAAUAAAAGCCAGAUAAACAAAGAUGAUAAAAAUGUAUUUACACUAUUUAGUAUUAGGGACGUAGAAAGAAUUUAAGGCAAUUUCUAAAUAUUUUAGACUUAUUUUGCAUCUUGAUAUAAGUUUUUAAGCAUAAAUUUGCACAUUUCAACUAUUCCUUUAAAAAGAACUCAACUAAAAUGCCUCUUUUUCCCUUUUCCUUGGUCCCCUUUUUUUUAUAUAUAUAUAAAAAUGGAAAAAAAAAUUUGGAAAAGACUUCUUAGUACUGUCAACAAGGGAUUGCUGUAAAGUGGAUCUUUAUUAAGUACUUCCAGACUCGAGGAAAUUUCUUUACAAUCUCAAAAAAAUAGUAAACAAUCAUGAAUUUGUGGUUAAUUAAUGGCAUAAUCAAUUCUUAACUAAACUGGAGAUAUUAAUUAAAUUUGAAGACUUUUUUUUUCCGAUCGAAAUGUGAAGAACUAUGGAACAGAGAAAUAUAUAGAUGAAUUUGUGAACUUAUAAGAUGAGUGACUAUCCUUUAAUUUUUGAAAAUCGUACUUAUUAAGAUAUGAGCAAAAACAAUUAAAUUGAAUUAUAUUAUGCUGUUGAAUCUGUUUAAAAAAAUUAUAUUGUUGAUUCUAAUGCUGGUGAACCUAAAAACUAGACUUAAAACGUAGAUUUCAGAGUGGUGGUUUGAAGUACAAUAUUUGAAAUAAAUAAUUAGUGGCUGAAUAUCAUUUGUAAACACAGAAAUGAUUAAAAAAUUGUUGAAUGUUAUUUGAAAAAAAAAAUCGAAAUGAAUACAGAAACCUUACCAAUGGAGGAAAAAUAUUCAUUAGGUUAUCACACUCUUCUAUCUCCAAAUUCUUCAAUUUCCUGAAAGACUCUGAAGCAAGCUGGUGGUGCCAUAUUGUUCUUAGGUUAUCCAUCCACGCAAUAUAUAAUACCUCCAACCUAGGAAGUCGUACCUGGCAGUUAAAGAUUAAAUAACUAAUUAAUCAAUUAAUGGCAUAAUCAAUUGAUAACUAAAUUAGAGGCGGAUAUUAACUAAAUUUGAAGACUCAAGGAAAAGACAAAUCAAGUAUUGUGACUAAAAUUAUUUUUUUAAUUAAAAAAAAAACCUUUUCAUCAAAGAGAGGAGGAGGUUGCAUUUCAGAAUGAAUGGUAUCUUCUGGUGAGCUCGUAGAGAUGAAUCUUAACAUAUUACUGCAACAACCAAUCAUGAGGUUUAGCAAAGAAGGGAAUUCAACAACUAAAUCUGUAUGAAUAUGUCCCAUAUUGGCAAAGCUACUUAGUCUUGGAAGCCAUUCUAGCUGCAGGGAGUGUAGCUUAGGAAAAACCUUUAAUUCAAUCAACUUUCCUUCAUCUCUUUCUGACCAUCCCGUGGUGUCGACUACCCCUUCCAUUGACUCACAAUAGCUUAUCUCAAGAUGUUGGAGUUGCAAAAGGCUAUUAACCAUAGAAUAUGAAAACAGAUACUUCAGACGAUAACACCUUUCCACAGUCACUUUUGUUAAAUUUUGACAACAGUACAUUCUUUGAUUAUGAUCGGCCCAUAAUUUUUUCAUGUUUCUUAAGUCCCUGAGAUUCAAUUCCUCUAAGCUCGGAAGAAUAACCUGCAAAGAAAACCCGUACAUUUUUGUUCCUUCAAGUACAACCGUCUAGUAUAAUAUUCUUUUGAUGAUCGAAGAUUAAUCGUGAUAAUAAAUUAAUCAAUUAAUUAUUGAACAGAAAAUUAUCACCUUUGGAGCAGGAUCAUCAUCAGCAAUGAGUUCCUUGAAUCCCAAAGAAGUUGUUGGUUUGUCCAUGUCGGGUCCUAUAAACAAACAAAAACAAUAUACAUAAUUAAUCUUUGUCGUUGUCUUUUUUUUAAAAAAAUAAUUGAGGCGAAGUCCAUAAAUCCACCAACACUUAAUUUCAACACUUACCAACAAUCAUUUCCAGAUCAUCGCAAAAAAACACUUCUACCUUUUGAAGCCGCAGUAGGUUUUUGGCCAUGGAGAAUGAGAAAAGAUGCUUCAAUUCGUGACAGUCUGAUACUUUUAUAAUCCUUAAGUUGCUGAAAGAUUGAUCUUCUGUGAGUUGGAUGUCACAUAUUGUCUCCAAAUUGAUCAAACGACGAAGAGACAAUGACUCCAGCAAGGGGAAGACUUUGCGACGAACCCGUCCAACUGAACAGACAAUAUGCAAAAUCUCAGAACAACUUUUUACAGAAAGAUGCUUCAAUCGUGGAAAACCUUCCCCAUCAUCUAAUUCAUGAACAACAUUCUGAACACCCUUCAGUUCUCCUAGAUAGAGAUAUUCAGUUCUCUUCAACAACAGUUUCAUCCUGUAAUUCUGCAAAAGAAUGCCAAACUUUUCUAGCCCCUGGAGCUUCAUCAAUCUUGAUAAUCCAGUUUUAACGGACCAGCUGCUCCACCACUUAUUUCCUAUACAUAUCUUAUAGCUUUGCAAUUCCACAGAGACCAAAUCCUGCGGUAGAAUUUCGGCAUCCCGAACGUGUAUCUCCAAAGUAGUUAGCUUUGACAACCCCUUCAACUCAACAAGACUGGCGUUACUUCCUCCUUCAACCUUCUCCCACAGUGAAAAGCUGUUACCAAUAUAUAGUUCUUCUAAUCGAGAUAAUUUUGAUAUGACAUUUGGAGCUAUCACCACAAGGCUGCUACAAUUGCUCAAAUCUAGCAACUGUAAUCUCGUCAAUUGUCCAAUUACAAGUGGCAACUCCUUAACAUCAGAAUCUCGGAAGCUGAGAAUCUCUAAUUUCCUUAGCUGUCCAAUUAUAGUUAUAUCGUUCAGUCGGCAACCAUCUAAACAUAAUGUUUGAACGUUAAUGAGGCAACCAAGUGAUGAAGGUAAUGAAGAGAAAAAUAUUCCAGUAAAAUCUAAAACUUUGAGUUCUUCUGUCCCUUCAAAAAAGAGGUCUGAAAUUUGCAAAGAGCUAUCACGCUUUGAAAACAACAAAAGAACUCGAGACGGGGACAUUCCAACCUUUCGGGAAGCUCUUGAAUAUCUCUAUAAGGUAAAGAAAUAGCUAUUGGACCUUCCCGUAUUGUCUCUUCCAUCUUUUUCUCCACGUAGGCAACAUUUGGAAUAUUAAACAUGAGCUCCUCUUCUGCAAUUGAUACAGUAACAGCAUGAAUGAUGUCAUGCAUUUUAACUUCAUCUUCGGCAUCACUGUCCAACAAUAAGCACGAAGAUUUGAGUUUGCCGAUCAACGUAUGCACUCUACUCCUUGCUUCUUCCAGUGUGUAAACGUUUUUAAAAUAGCCCAUACCCAUACCAUAUCUCAAUAAGUCAGAAACAUGUAUACCACGACCUUCAUUAUAUAGACCACAAAGAAGGAACAGAGAUUUUGCUUCCUUACUUCCCAGUAAGUCGUAACUCAAUUUUAUGGAGAUGUACACAUUUCUUUCCAUUCCAUCAAUUUCUUUUGCAUUGGAACUUCUUAGCUGACGCAGCACAUCCUUCCAAGUGUCAAGCCUCUCAUUUUUCAAAGCUUUUGCAAGUGUAAUCAGUGCAACAGGCAAUCCUCCGCAUUUUUCAACGAUCUCAUCUGCUAAAGGUUGAAAAGCAGAUGCUUUUGCAGAAUUACACACUAUCUUUCCAAACAAUUGCAAUGCUUCUUCCUUUGAUAAAACUUCAAUUGAGAAAUCCUUCUGAGAUUUCAUAUCAUUGCGCAAUAAAUCUCGACUUCUAGACGUCAAUAUUAUUGUGCGUCUUCUCCGAUCGUCCUCUCUAUCUUUCUCAUCAACAUCCCCAUAAGGAAUUCCAACUGUAUCGAACUCAAGUUUUGUCCAAAUAUUAUCCAGUAUAAUGAGGAGCCGCUUCUCUUGCUUCAACCUUUGACACAGUCGAGAAGCUCUUUGAAAUUCAUUCUCAUUCAAGUCAAAUUCCAUGCCUAAAUCAAAAGCAAGUUUGUCUUGAAUUUUAUGAUGAUCUGGGGUCUGUGUUAUCUCAGCCAUAACGAACUUAUCGAACAACUUAUCUUCCAUCACUUGGUUUGCAACUUGUUUGACCAGCGUGGUUUUGCCCACGCCGCCCAUCCCAUAGACCCCAAUUAUGUUGACUUUGUCAUCCUUCACCGCCUCCACAACAUCUUGAAAUACUUUCAUUCUUGAAUCAAACGCCUCGAAAUCUUUCACUUGCAUAUGUUCUGCCCGCUUUGGAGCAGGACGGUAGGAAACAUUGGAGAAGUUGCCUUUUCCCACGAGACUAGCGGCAGCUUCUGCCGCCUUUGCUGCUUGUUUACUAAGCUUGUAACGAGAAAUCAAGUUUGGGCAUAAUCCUUUGAAGCAGGACUUCUUAGCUCUAUCUUCAUCAUCAAUGACGGAUUUUGCAACCCCUUCACUGAUGAAUUCAUUAACGCUAUGUAGCCAGUCUGUGACACCCUCAUAAAGCUCAUCCCCUUGUAGCCUAGCAUGAUUAACUGGUUGCUGCACCAUUUCUCUCUUAUAUCCCAGCUGCUUCACUUGAACUUUUAGCUCAUCUAUGUAGCUCUGGUACUUGAACACAUAAGAUAUCUGCCGUGUAAUCGGGUUGAACAGUGACUUUGCACCUUCUGAUACACAGUUGGUUAAAAAAGCGAGACACGCUUCUAUAGCCAUUGCCUGUUGCUUAACAAUAUAUAUCUAGUUUUUUGGCUGUUGAAAAAAAAAAAUGGAUUCAAAUAAAUUAAAUGAACUAGCGGGGAAGAAAAAGAAAGAAACGACAACAAACAACUUUUUAGAAAAAGGUUUCAGGGGCCUGAAUGGAAAACCAACAAUUUUUUGAGGAAAGAAAACUUUUUUGGAAGAUGGAUGCAAAUUAACCAUUAAUAAUACUGCAUAAGAACACAGAAGUUGACAAUAAACAGUAACUUAAAACUCAAGAAAAUUAAAUGACAAGAUUAAGACAAACAAGAGAUAGUUUUUGUCGGACAUUAAGAAACAACUGCUAUCAAGAUCAAAGAUUAGAAAUUAUGCUAUUGAAAGAAAUUAUUAAAGUAUUUAGAACAAACGCACCUCUUCAAUUAUCUAGGAUCACGGAGUUUAUGAGCUUCACUCUUGGCCUUCGAUUUAUAAGAAAAAAUUUAAUGAGCAAAAGAUCACUGUUGACUGCAGAAGAAUGUGAGUAAGCAAUACAAUUGAAUUGUAAAAGAACAAGACUUAAAGCGUGCACCCCGUGUUCAUAUAAACAGAACACAUGUUCAUUUUUAACAAAGUGAUCAAUAACUAUAUUCGUUAUUUAAUUGAUAUUGUAACCAAUUCUAAGAGAAUAUAAUAAUAAUCAUUCAAUCCAUAAAUUUAGAAUUAGAUUUUUUUAACUCUUUAUUUAAAUAUAAACCUUAAUGGAAAAUUAUAAAAGUUUAGAGAUAAAAUUUUUCAAUCACCAAACGAAAAAAACAGGGGAAUGAAAACAGAGGAAUCUUGUUUUAACUAUUUUUUUUUCCUCAACUCUUGUUCUUAUAUUAAUAAUCUUGUUUUGAUGAUAGUGCUCGUGACUGCGGGAAAAUUUGUACUGGAAACAACUCAAUUUCGGAAGAAAACUUAAUUUUGCAAGUGAUGAAUUUGAACUCGUUGGAUUGGUUGAUUUAUGAUUGACUGAAUUUCACUUUUGCCCAAAAGAUCUUUAACCAAAGUUUAAUAGCCAUCAUGUACUCCUUAAAAGCAAUUUUUUUUUUUAGAUUUGACUGAAUUUGAACUUGUUGGAUUGGUUGUUUUUAGAUUAUUAAUAUGAGAUAUUACAACGUAAAUAUUUUCAUGUGGUUGAGCCCUAUUCUAAAAUCUGUAUAGUUAGCUUUAGAAAAAGGGCUUUUCCUGCUGAUCUGUAAUCUUCAAAUAAACUUAGAUACAAAUAAUGAAAUAAAAGACAACAAACACGCNNNNNNNNNNNNNNNNNNNNNNNNNNNNNNNNNNNNNNNNNNNNNNNNNNNNNNNNNNNNNNNNNNNNNNNNNNNNNNNNNNNNNNNNNNNNNNNNNNNNNNNNNNNNNNNNNNNNNNNNNNNNNNNNNNNNNNNNNNNNNNNNNNNNNNNNNNNNNNNNNNNNNNNNNNNNNNNNNNNNNNNNNNNNNNNNNNNNNNNNNNNNNNNNNNNNNNNNNNNNNNNNNNNNNNNNNNNNNNNNNNNNNNNNNNNNNNNNNNNNNNNNNNNNNNNNNNNNNNNNNNNNNNNNNNNNNNNNNNNNNNNNNNNNNNNNNNNNNNNNNNNNNNNNNNNNNNNNNNNNNNNNNNNNNNNNNNNNNNNNNNNNNNNNNNNNNNNNNNNNNNNNNNNNNNNNNNNNNNNNNNNNNNNNNNNNNNNNNNNNNNNNNNNNNNNNNNNNNNNNNNNNNNNNNNNNNNNNNNNNNNNNNNNNNNNNNNNNNNNNNNNNNNNNNNNNNNNNNNNNNNNNNNNNNNNNNNNNNNNNNNNNNNNNNNNNNNNNNNNNNNNNNNNNNNNNNNNNNNNNNNNNNNNNNNNNNNNNNNNNNNNNNNNNNNNNNNNNNNNNNNNNNNNNNNNNNNNNNNNNNNNNNNNNNNNNNNNNNNNNNNNNNNNNNNNNNNNNNNNNNNNNNNNNNNNNNNNNNNNNNNNNNNNNNNNNNNNNNNNNNNNNNNNNNNNNNNNNNNNNNNNNNNNNNNNNNNNNNNNNNNNNNNNNNNNNNNNNNNNNNNNNNNNNNNNNNNNNNNNNNNNNNNNNNNNNNNNNNNNNNNNNNNNNNNNNNNNNNNNNNNNNNNNNNNNNNNNNNNNNNNNNNNNNNNNNNNNNNNNNNNNNNNNNNNNNNNNNNNNNNNNNNNNNNNNNNNNNNNNNNNNNNNNNNNNNNNNNNNNNNNNNNNNNNNNNNNNNNNNNNNNNNNNNNNNNNNNNNNNNNNNNNNNNNNNNNNNNNNNNNNNNNNNNNNNNNNNNNNNNNNNNNNNNNNNNNNNNNNNNNNNNNNNNNNNNNNNNNNNNNNNNNNNNNNNNNNNNNNNNNNNNNNNNNNNNNNNNNNNNNNNNNNNNNNNNNNNNNNNNNNNNNNNNNNNNNNNNNNNNNNNNNNNNNNNNNNNNNNNNNNNNNNNNNNNNNNNNNNNNNNNNNNNNNNNNNNNNNNNNNNNNNNNNNNNNNNNNNNNNNNNNNNNNNNNNNNNNNNNNNNNNNNNNNNNNNNNNNNNNNNNNNNNNNNNNNNNNNNNNNNNNNNNNNNNNNNNNNNNNNNNNNNNNNNNNNNNNNNNNNNNNNNNNNNNNNNNNNNNNNNNNNNNNNNNNNNNNNNNNNNNNNNNNNNNNNNNNNNNNNNNNNNNNNNNNNNNNNNNNNNNNNNNNNNNNNNNNNNNNNNNNNNNNNNNNNNNNNNNNNNNNNNNNNNNNNNNNNNNNNNNNNNNNNNNUAAACUUUUUUUUGGGGGGGGGGGGGGGGAGCAUGCAAAUUUACCAAAAGAAAUAAUAAGAGCACAGGCUUUAACAAUGAAUAGUAACUUAAAACUCAUGCAAAAUAAGUUACAAUAUGAAAACAAACCAGAGAAAAUUUUUUCUUGGAAAGUAGAUGGAACUUAAGAAAGAGCAGAUGUCAAGAUCAAGGAUCAGGGAUUCUACUAUUAAAAAAAAAAAAAAAUUAUUCAAGGAUUUAGAAAACGUGCACCUCUUUAAUUAUCUGGGAUUAGAGAGUUGGUGAGCUUCUCUAUUUGGCCUUCAAUAUUUAAGAACAAGUUGAAAGAGGAAAAAGAUCACUGGUAACUGCUGAGGAAUGUGUGAGAAAAGAGUUGAUGAGAGCAAUAACAAUGACCUGCAAAAGAAAAAGAAUUAGUCACGCACCGCUUUUCUAUAUCAUGUAUUUGGUUAUUGUUGCCCUGUUGACGCAUGUUGAAGAAGAAAGCACUAGUACACAACUCUAUGUUUUCAUAUAUUCUAAAGAAAUAAUUAAGUUUUCAUAGAAUAAUACCUGUUGUGUUUGAAUAAUUUGGUAUCUACAUUGCUUGUGUACUGUGAAAUUGAAAUGAAUAUUGAUUGACAGAGCAAUGUAUAUACCUAAUAAAACAUAAAGCAAAUCCUUGAACGAAUGAUUCGGGACUAAAACUUUUAUAAAAGCAAAUACCGGAAACACACAAAAAGCAUUUAAGAUAGAAACUAAACAGCAAAUAAUCGAAGUAAGAUCAAUAAUAUAUGAUUUGAUUUAUGCAUAUUCAAAAACCAAAAUUUAAAAUAAAAUAAAAAAUAAAGUUUGAUUUAUUCUUUCCACAAAAAACAGGGGAGUGAAAACAGAGGCAGCUUGUUUUACCAAUUUUUUCUUCUUAAUUUCCGGCAAAAAAAAAAAUUCAAUAAACAGGGGAAUGAAAACAAAGGAACGAAAACAGAGGAAACUUGCUUUUCAGGCUAUCUUGUGACAUGAUGAUAUUGCUCGUGAAUGCAUGAAAAUUUCUAAUGCAAACAGCUCAAUUUGGGAUGAUAAGCUUAAGUUUGCAAGUGAUGCAAGUAAAUAAGUUUUUGCGGUUAAUUGAAUCUUUAAUACUCUGGGCCCUAUUCUAAAAUUUGUAGGUUGCUUCAGAAGAAAGGGCGGUUCUCACUCAUCUUUAAUCUCCAAGUAAAAUUAGAUACAAAGCAAAUCUAAUAAAAUGACAAACAAACAAACAAAACAAAGAAAAGACAGGAGGCAAACAACAUUGAUCUUAAGCCAACUGAUAUUUAAACAGAGAAUUCUUUUCUUUUAUUUUUUUAACCACCUUUUGCUCAAGGAUUAGAGUUUUUAUAUUAACAGAAAGGUUUCAGGGGUCUGAAUAAAAGCCCACAAUUUCUCUAAUUGUUUUUUUUUUUUUUUUUUUGGGAAAAAUGGAUGCAAAUUAUCCAAAGCUAAUAAUAAGAACACAGACAUUACAAAUGAACAAUAACUUAAAACUCAAGCAAAAUAAAUGACAAGAUGAAAACAAACAAGAUAAAUUUUUUCUUGGAAAUUAGAUGGAAAUUAAGGACUGCUAGUAAAAGAUAUUAUUAGAUGAUUUAGAACAUGUGUACCUCUUUAAUUGUCUGGGAUCAAAGAAUUGAUGAGCUUCUCCAUUCGCAUUGAAUAUUAAGUAAGAACGGGUAUUCAAAGAAAUUAUUAGGAAAAAUUUUAAUGAGUAAAAGAUCACUGUUAACUGCAGACGAAUGUCCUAGUAAAAUGUUGAUUUGUGUAAUAACAAUGAAUUGCAAAAGAAGAAAACUUAAUCAUGCACCCCUUUUAUACCCGAGUUUUAAGAUUUAAUUUUUGAAGUUCAGAAUCAAGACCAAAAGCCGAAGCUUUAACAAGGCAUGCAGUGAGAUACAAGAAAUGGAUCGGGUAAAAUACUUUAAAAAAUGUUGUUCAACUCAAUUAACUUGAAGAAAGCACUAAUUUCAUAUGUUCUAAUGAAAUAAUCAAGUUAAAAGUUUUCAACGAAUAAAUACCUGUUGCGCUUGAAUAAUUUUGGCAUAUACAUUACUUGUAUCCUGUGAAAUUGAAAAGAAUAUUGAUAUGCAGAGCUUAUUAGUAGAGAGAAAGCUUUGUAAGAUGCCUGAUAAAAGAGAAACCAAAAGCUUGAAUGAGGAAUGACAUCUUAGAAAGAAACUAAACAUCAAAGUAGGAUCAAUAAUGACUUGAUUUAUGCUUUUUUGUUAUUUCAUUUGUUCUGUCAACAAAUGAUGCCUCGUUAUUACGAGUUCCAACCUGGACGUUAUGCACAAAUUGUUUUUAUGUUUAACAGAAAAAAAUGAAAGCAGGUCACCAUACAAAAUUGCAUGAACAAAUCUUCAAUUUAAUGAUUAUAAAAUAAAAUAAAUUUUAUUAAUAGAUUAUGGGUAUGUUAACGUUAGGGAUUUGAUCAGAUGAUCAUAUGAUUUACUAAACGCUUUAACAAGAACAAGAAAAAGAAUUAAUGGGUUAAAAAAAAUUUAAAAAUAAAAUAAGAGAGAAGUAAAGAACUUAUUUGCAAUUACCAAACUGAAAAAAUGCGAAAUGAAAACAAGGGAGCCCUGUUUUUCCUCACAUUUUUUUUCUCUCUUUUUCAAGUGGUGAGAAUGAUAGCAGAAAAUGCGAGCUCACUAUUUUCAUUUGUUGGCCUAAAAGCCUUCCUCCAAGAGAUGCAUAAAUUUUAUUUGUACAUUUGUUCCAUUUUAAGUACACAUUGUUGCAUGCAUUUUGAACUGUAUUAUCAAUCCUUUUUGUUUUCAGUUGGUUAGUUCAUAAUAACAAAUGAAUUAUAUUAUUUUGCAUGGAUCGAAAUUUAACUUUCCCUCUUUAUUUGUCCCACAACUAAAUAGUCUCAUCUUUUGUAGUAAGCUCGCAGUACGUACGGGGAACUACUGUAUGGGUGCUUUAGCCUAAAAUGAAGAUCUAUUAAAAAUUUCCCUAAUAUCAUGAUAUUAAACAUUAAAUAAUAUCAACAUUUUGACUUCCAUUUUGUUUUUUGGAUGGAGGAUGUUCCAUCUUCUAUUUUAGGUGCUUUGUAAGACUUUUAAUUGAACAAUUGAUGCAAUCAGUAACAAAGGCUUUACUUACAUAUGCAAGUAAAAUUUGCAGGUUGCUUCAGAAGAACGGGCAGUUCUCACUCAUCUUUAAUCUCCAAGUAAAAUUAGAUACAAAGCAAAUCUAAUAAAAUGACAAACAAACAAACAAAACAAAGAAAAGACAGGAGGCAAACAACAUUGAUCUUAAGCCAACUGAUAAUUAAACAGAGAAUUCUUUUUUUUUUUAACCUUUUGCUCAAGGAUUAGAGUUUUUACAUUAACAGAAAGGUUUCAGGGGUCUGAAUAAAAGCCCACAAUUUCUCUAUUUUAUUUUUAUUUUUAUUUUUUGAAAGGAGCUUCACUAUUGGCCUUGAACAUAUAAGAAUAAGCAAAAGAUCAAUGUCAACUGCAAAGGAAUGUGAGUAUGUCAAAGUCAUGGGCGGUUUGGCACCAUUAACAUAUUUCAAAAUGGCCACCCUAAUUGAAGGAAAUUAAAGGCCAAGUAGAUGCCGCCCAAGGAAAGAAACAAAAGAGAAUGAAGAAAAAGAAGAAAGAGAGAAGAAAAAGAGAUGUCGGGCCGAAGAAGGAAAAGAAAAGAAAAAUUAAUAAAAUAAUAAUAAUAAUUAAAUAUUAAACAAAUAGUAGCUAAUUUUGGCUAUAAAACCGCUAGCUCCCUUCAUUUGUAAAUCAUCUAGUUCUUCAGUUCUUUUCUUUAUUUAGAGAGCGAUUUUAAGAGUCUAGUGAUUUGAGAGUUUAGGUGUAUUGGGAUUUUGGGUAGUGAGCUAAAAUACCACAAUACUUGUAACUUCUUUUCACUAGUAAAAUACUUUCCUUCUGUUUUCACCUGUGAACGUAGGCUAAAAGCUGAACCACGUAAUUUCUUGUGUCUAUUUUUUGUACUUGUUCUUUAUUUUCUUCCAAUUUCACUUUAGCUGCGUGUUUGCUUCACUCACCAAUUUUGUAAUAGUGAAUCAGAGCUAUUAGUUGUAUUUUUUGGAGUCGGGUACUGUUCACGUAAGGGGUACUAUUCACGUAUAUGGCACUGUUCACGUAUACGGUACUAUUCACGUAAAACGAUGGGAGGAUCCAAGAAUUUUGCGGUGCAAAGCAGGGAAUAGUGGUGUGAGUAAAACAACUGUGUGGUUUUGUACAUGUCUAGGAAAGUUCUAUCACAAAGGCGAUAAGAGCUUAAGGAGUCUGGGUUUUAAGUGGGACCAUUGUGACCCCUCCAAUGUUUCCUGGGAACUUUCUUGGUGUGCAUUCUCACACAUACUCACAACUAUUCAAGGUGGUACACUUGCUUGUGUGCGGUAUUUAUCAAUAAAAUGGCGGCAAAGUAUGAAAUUGAGAAAUUUAACGGAAACAAUUUUUCAUUGUGGAAAAUGAAGAUGAAAGCUGUAUUGAGAAAAAAUAAUUGCUUAGCAGUAAUUGGAGAAAGGCUUUUGGAGAUAACUGAUGACAAGUGGAACGAGAUAGAUGGCAACACCAUUUCUGAUCUACACUUGGCACUUGCAGAUGGAGUAUUAUCUAGUGUGGCAGAGAAAAAUACAGCGAAGGAAAUAUGGGAUACUCUCACAAAAUUGUAUGAGGCUAAGUCACUACACAGCAAAAUCUUCUUAAAGAGGAAACUUUAUACUCUUCGAAUGGUGGAAUCUACAAUGGUGAUCGACCACAUCAACACCUUGAAGACUCUAUUUUCACAACUCACAACGUUGGGUCAUAAUAUAGAGGAGAAUAAACAUGUAGAGCUUGUACUUCAAAGUCUACCAAAUUCGUAUGAUCAACUCAUCAUCAACCUAACGAACAACAAUCCAGCGGAUAGUCUAGUUUUCGACGAUGUUGCAGCUUUCCUAUUAAAUGAGGAGAGCAGGCGAAAAAAUAAGAAAAACAGACAAGCAAUUUCGCAGCAAGCGGCGGUGCUAUCGGUGACGAGAGGGAGAUCAACGGAACGUGGCCCUAGUGGGAGUCAAAAUCAUAGUAAAUCAAAAUCCAGAAGUAAGAAGAAUGUUAAAUGCUACAACUGUGGCAAGAAAGGACACGUCAAGAAAGAGUAUUGGAGUAACUAGAAGAGAAAAGAGGAUAAAGAACCUGAGUCAUCAAAUGCUCAGGGGUGUGUAGCAAGUACCUCAGAUGAUAGCGAAAUUCUUUACACUGGGGCAAUAACUAUUUCAGAAGGCAGAAAACGACUAUCUAAUGUCUGGCUUAUAGACUCAGGAGCUACCUGGCACAUGACGGAGAGAAUGGUUCUAGACAUAUGAACCUAUCUCAGGAGGAUCUGUAUAUAUGUGAGAUGAUCAUGCCUUGGAGAUCGCUGGUAUUGGUACUAUCAAAAUAAAAAUAUUUGAUGGUACAAUUCGCACAAUUGGGGAGGUACGACAUGUCAAUGACCUGAAGAAAAAUCUAUUGUCUUUGGGACAAAUAGGCAGUUAUGGGUGCAAAACUCAUGUGGAGAAUGGAAUUAUGAAGAUUGUUAAAGGAGAGCUUGUAUUGAUGAAGGCAGAAAAGAUCGGUGCUAAUCUAUUCAUGCUUAAAGGAGAGUCACUACAGGAGGCUGAUGCGUGUGUCGCAUCAAAUGGAGAAGAGUUAAUGAUGAUGUGACAUCUCAAACUUGGCCACAUGUCGGAACAUUGUUUGAAGAUUCUCUCUGAGCGAAAAUUACUUCCAGGGCUUAAAUCGGUAAGUUUACCUUUUUGCGAGCAUUGUGUUACCAGUAAGCAGCAUAGAUUAAAAUUUAGUAGAUCUAUUCUAGAAGUAAAUAUAUUCUAGACUUGAUUCAUUCUGAUGUUUGGAAAUCACCGGAUAUAUCCAUGGGAGGUGCAAAGUACAUGGCGACUUUCAUUGAUAAUUAUUCCAGAAGAUGUUGUGUGUAUCUAAUUAAGAAAAAGUUAGAUGUAUUUCCAGUGUUUAAAGAAUACAAAGCGCGGGUGAAACUUGAAUCUGGUAAAAAGAUUAAGUGCUUGAGGACGGAUAAUGGUGGAGAGUAUACAGACGGCGAGUUUCUUGCUUUCUGUAAGCAAGAAGGUAUUUAGAGACAGUUCACCAUAGCAUACACUCCUCAACAAAACGGAGUGGCGGAGCGGAUGAACAGAACUCUUACAGAAAGAAUAAGAGCUAUGUUGAGGACUGCUGGUCUACCUAAUUCAUUCUGGGCAGAAGCAGCCAAAACUGCUUGUUAUAUAGUAAAUCGGUUGCCAUCUACAGCUAUUAGGCUAAAGACAACGAUGGAGAUGUGGACUGGAAAGCCAACUGAUUAUUCCUACCUACAUGCAUUUAAAUGUCCUGUGUACGUGAUGUACAAUGCCCAAGAAAGAACAAAGCUGGAUCCAAAAUCUAGAAUAUGUAUCUUCUUGAGAUAUGCUGAUGGAAUAAAGGGGUAUCGUCUGUGGGACCCCACUGCCCACAAGAUCGUUAUCAGCAGAGAUGUUAUCUUCAUAGAAGAUCAACUGCAAAGGAAAGAUGAAGAUGAUAGUAGUGUAAAAGAAAAGUCAGAGACUAUACCGGUAUAUGUGGAAAAUAAUCCAUAAGAUUCAGAUUCUUCUGAAGCAGAACCAGAGCACGAGCAACAAAAACCAGUCGAGUCUGAGGCUCCAGAAGUUCGUCGGUCAACUCGUGAGAGACGACCGCCAAUGUGGCACUCGGAGUAUGUUACAGAGAUCAACGUUGCAUACUGUCUUCUAAUAGAGGAUAGAGAGCCUUUAACUUUCCAUCAAGCUUUAGAAAGCUCAGAUGUUGCUUUGUGGAUGACAGCAAUGCAGGAAGAAAUAAAGCUCUACAUAAUAACAAGACAUGAGAACUUGUACCACUACCACGUGGAAGAAAAGCCAUUGGAAACAAAUGGGUCUACAAAAUCAAACGUGAAGGCAAUGACCAAGUAGAGCGGUGUCGUGCGAGAUUGGUGGUGAAAGGAUAUGCUCAGAAAGAAGGUAUUGACUUCAACGAGAUAUUUUCGCCGGUGGUUUGCCUCACGACGGUCAGAGUAGUCUUGGCAAUGUGUGCUACAUUUGACCUACAUUUAGAGCAGUUAGAUGUGAAAACUACAUUUCUUCAUGGAGAACUUGAAGAAGAAAUAUAUAUGCUCCAACCAGAAGGUUUUGCAGAAACAGGAAAAGAGAACUUGGUUUGCAGGUUGAACAAAUCUUUAUUCGGUCUCAAACAGGCGCUGAGGUGUUGGUAUAAGAGAUUUGAUUCCUUUAUCAUGAGCCUUGGAUACAACAGACUCAGUUCAUACCAUUGUGCAUAUUAUAAAAGGUUUGCAGAUAAUGAUUUCAUUAUUUUACUAUUGUAUGUGGAUGACAUGUUGGUAGCAGGCCCUAACAAAGAUCGAAUCCAAGAAUUGAAGGCACAGUUGGCUAGGGAGUUUGAAAUGAAGGACUUGGGACCAGCAAACAAGAUUUUAGGAAUGCAAAUUCACCGAGACAUAAAUAACAGGAAGAUUUGGCUUUAGCAGAAGAAUUACUUGAAGAAAAUCUUGUGGCGCUUCAACAUGCAAGAUUGUAAGUCAAUUUCUACCCCACUUCCUGUUAAUUUCAAAUUAUCCUCAAGUAUGUGUCCUAGCAAUGAAGCAGAGAGGAAGGAGAUGUCUCGAGUACCGUAUGCAUCAGUAGUGGGAAGUUUAAUGUUCGCUAUGAUAUGUACUAGACCAGACAUUGCACAAGUAGUGGGAGCAGUCAGUCGAUACAUGGCGAAUCCCGGUGGAGAGCAUUGGAUAGUUGUGAAGAGGAUUCUGAGAUACAUCAAAGGAACCUCAGAUGUUGCAUUAUGUUACGUAGGAUCAGAGUUUACUGUCAAGGGCUAUGUGGAUUCAGAUUUUGCAGGAGAUCUUGAUAAAAGAAAAUCCACUACUAGUUAUGUGUUUACACUUGCGGGAGCAGCUGUAAGCUGGGUUUCGAAACUGCAGACUGUUGUGGCUUUAUCUACAAUAGAAGCAUAAUACAUGGCAGCUACACAAGCUUGCGAGGAAGCUAUUUGGAUACAAAGAUUAUUGGAGGAGCUCGGGCACAAACAAGAGAAAAAUUAUGUGUUUUGUGACAGUCAGAGUGUCUUUCACAUUGCAAGAAAUCCAGCCUUUUAUUCCAAGACAAAGCAUAUAGGAGUUCAGUAUCACUUCGUUCGAGAAGUAGUGGAAGAUGGAAAUAUGGAUUUACAGAAAAUCCAUACGAAGGAGAACCUAGCAGAUGUUUUGACUAAGCCGAUAAAUGCUGACAAGUUUAUCUGGAGUAGAUCUUCUUGUGGCCUAGCAGAAACGUAGGCAACAUGAUUAUGGCGAAGCAGAAAGGAUGUUGUGGACAUUGAUUGAUUCUCAAUCUAAUCUCCAGGUGGGAGAAUGUCAAAGUCAUGGGCGGUUUAGCAUCAUUAACAUAUUUCAAAAUGGCCACCCAAAUUGAAGGAAAUUAAAGGCCAAGUAGAUGCCGCCCAAGGAAAGAAACAAAAGAAAAAGAAGAAAAAGAAGAAAGAGAGAAGAAAAAGAGAUGUCAGGUCGAAGAAGGAAAAGAAAAGAAAAAUUAAUAAAAUAAUAAUAAUAAUUAAAUAUUAAAUGAACGGUAGCUAAUUUUGGCUAUAAAACCGCUGGCUCCCUUCAUUUGUAAAUCAUCGAGUUCUUCAGUUCUUUUCUUUAUUUAAAGAGUGAUUUUAAGAGUCUAGUGAUUUGAGAGUUUGGGUGUAUUGGGAUUUUGGGUAGUAAGCUAAAAUACCACAAUACUUGUAAAUCAUUUUCACUAGUAAAAUAUUUUCCUCAUGUUUUCGCCCGUGGACGUAGGCUAAAAGUCGAACCACGUAAUUUCUUGUGUCCAUUUUUUGUGCUUGUUCUUUAUUUUUUUUCCAAUUUCACUUUAUCUGCAUGUCUGCUUCACCCACCAAGUUCCUAACAGAGUAAAGAUUUCAUCAGAGUAAGUAAUACAAAUGAAUUGUAAAAGAACAAGACUUAAGCGUGCACCCCGUGUUUUGUUUUAUUCGUAUAAACAUAACAUGUUCAUUUUUAACAAAGUGGUCAAUAACUCUAUUCGCUAUGAAAAUGAUAUUGUACCCAAUUUUAAGAGAGCAUAACAAUAACCAUUCAAUGCAUAAAUUUAGAAUUUUUUUUUUGUAAUUCUUUAUUUAAAUAUAAACGUCGAUGGAAAAUUAUAAAAAUUUAGAUAUGAAAUUUUAAGUCACCAGACAAAAAAAAAAAAAAAAAAAAGGGGAACAGAAAUAGAGGAAUCUUGCUUUACCUUUUUUUUUUUUUCCUUUAACUCUUGUUCUUAUAUAAAUAAUCUUGUUUUGAUGAUUGUAACUCGUGACUGCGGGAAAUUUUCUAAUGGAAACAACUAAUUUCGGAAGAUAAGCUUAAUUACGCAAGUGAUGAAUUUGUUCAAUUGACUCUGUACUUGAACUAGUUGGAUUGGUUGAUUGAUGAUUGACUAAAUUUGAAUUAAGUUUAAUAGCUAUGAUGUGCUCCUUAAAAGCAAACGUAAAUCUUUUUUAGAUUUGACUGAAUUUGGGAACCUGUUGGAUUGAUUGUUUUUAGAUCAUUAAUAUCGGUUACUACAACGUAAAUAUUUUAUUGUGGUUGAGUCCUAUUCUCAAAUCAGUAGGUUGCCUUAGAAAAAGGGCUUUUCUCACUGAUCUUUUUUUUUUCUUUAAUUCACACGCACUUGAUUAUUGACUUCUUUCAUGAAGAAAUAAACUUGUAAUGACUUAAAGAUUUAAUUUCAAGUUAGAAUCAAUACCAAAAGACGGAGGUUUAACAAAGCCGUUUAGUGUGAUAAAAGUACUUUAAAAAAUGUUGUUCGACCCAAUUAAGUUGAAGAAAUAACAAAGUUUUCAUGGAAUAAAUACCGGUUGUGCUUUAAUGAUUUUGGCAUAGACAUUGCUUGUGUACUGUGAAAUCGAAAUGAAUUACUGUGAAAUUGAAAUGAAUAUUAAGUGACAGCGCGAUGUAUAUGCCUAAUAAAAGAUCAGCAAAAGCUUGGAUGAAUGAUUGAGGACCAAAACUUUUAUAAAAGCAUUUUUGAGAGAAACUAAACACCAAAUUAUCAAAGUAAGAUCAACAGUAUAUGAUUUGAUUUAUACAUAUUCAAAAACAAAAUAAUGAUUAAUAAUAAAGUUUGAUUUUGUAUUGCCAACGAUGCUUUUUUGUUGUUUCAUUUGUUCGACGUGGCCUUAUUUACAAAUUGGUUUAUGUUAACAGAAACAUAAAAUUCACAUCACACAAAAUUCCACGAACAAAUAUUAAGAGAACGUAAUAAUAAUCACUCAAUGCAUAAGGGUAAAUUUAGAAUUACAUAUUCUUUUUUAUUUAAUAAAAUCCCAACGGGAAGUCAUAAAAAUUUAGAUAUAAAAUUUUCAAUCACCAAACAAAAAAACAGGGGGAAUGAAAACACAGAAAACUUAUUUUAACUUUUUUUUCAUCUAACUCUUGUUCUUAUAUAAUAUUUUCCCUAGUAUUUCAGGCAAAAAAAAAAAAUCAAUAGAGAGCAAGUUGCUCAAAUUGAUUUAUCUUGUUUUUCAGGCAAUCUUGUGAUAUGAUGAUAAAGCUCAUGAAUGCUAGAAAACUUCUAAUGCAAACAACUCUAUUUGGGAUGAUAAGCUUAAUUUUACAAGCGAUAAAUAUAAAUAACUUUUUGUGGUUAAUUGAAUUUGUAAUUACUCUUAGCCCUAUUCUAAAAUUUGUAGGCUGCUUCAGAAAAGAAAAAAAAAAAUUCUUACUCAUCUUUAAUCUUCAAGUAAAAAGCAAAUCUAAUAAAAUGAAAAACAAACAAACAAGUAAAAGACAGCAAACAAACAACAUUUAACCAACUGAUAUUUAAACAAGGAAUUCUUUCUUCUUCCUUUUUCUUCCCCCCCCCCCCCCCCCCCCCGGGGCUCAUGGAUUAGAGUUUUUGCUAUUAACUGAAAGGUUUCAAGGGUCUGAAUAAAAUCCCAGACUUUUUUUUUUAAUUAACCAAAGCCAUAUAAUAAGAUCACAGACUUUAACAAUGAACAAUAAUUUGAAACUCAAGCAAAACCAAUGACAAGAUUAAAACAAACCAGAGAAAUUUUUUCUUGGAAAGUAGAUGAAAACUAAGUAAGAACUGCUAUUAAAGGAUAUUAUUAAAGGAUUUAGAACAUGUAUACCUCUUUAUUUAUAUGGGAUCAGAGAGUCGAUGACCUCCUCUAUUCGCUUCGGAUAUUAAGUAAGAACUGCUAUCAAAAGAAUGAAUUGAUGAGAGAAAUAACAGUGAAUUGCAAAAGAGGAAGACUUAAUCACGUACCCCUAUUAUACCCGAUUUUUAAGAUUUAAUUUUGAAGUCCAGAAUCAAGACAAAAGACGAAGCCUUAAAAAAUAUGCAGUGAGAAUAAUUAAGUUGAAGAAAGCACUAGUUUAUGGCUCAGUGUUUCAUAUGCUGUAAUGAAAUAAUUAAGUUGAAGUUUUUAACGAAUAAAUACAUGUUGUGCUAGAAUAAUUUUAGAAGAAUAUUGGCUUAUAGAGCAUAUUAGUAGGGAUAAGAUAGAAUAAAUGAAAUAAUAAAAAGCAUAACUGAUCAAGUCAUUAUUGAUCUUACUUUGAUUAUUACAUUGCACAUUAGUUUCUUUCUAAAAAUGUCAUUCUUCAUUCAAGCUUUUGCUUUAUCUUUUAUCAGGCAUCCUACUGUUGAUGCCCAAAUCUGAUCUAGUCUAUUAGUGACUUAAUAUCAGACUUCUACACUAGCAUUAGAUUUAUUUGGUAGAGAAUCGAUUGGUCAAUUGUCAAGAUGUCCUGCAACCACUAGCGAUUAACCUGCGAAUACCUGAAAUCAUAGAAGACGGUCAGAGGCGCUGGAAGUUUUUCCGGCGUGAACCCUCUAACGCUCAAGUCAGUUUCUGGGCCUUUGCCAAAAAACUUGUGCCACCACUCAUAUGGCUUAAUAAACAUUAACUUAAAAACCAAAAGCUUUUUGAGUAACUUGCAGAAAAAUGAAAUAGAGUGUAAAAGAAAGGAUUUUCCAUGAGAAGAAGAGAGAAAAAGAUGCCUUACAGACCCCGAAAAAAUAAAUAAAUCCUCCUUUUAAGGUCACGCCCCACUCCCCUCUUUUCCCCUUUGUUCUCCUCCACUUACGGAAGUUAAGGAUGAGUAAAAGUAAUGCCUCUACUCUCCAUUUUUUUCUCCUUUUUCCGUUACCAAACACUAGUCCCCCAGUUUCUAGUGUUGAGAGUUUUAACGAAUCAAGACUGGAAACUAUAUGAAUUUUAAAGUGACCUUGAUGUGGUUGGCAUAAAUCGGCUCGGGAUUGCUAAAAUUAACCUUACUAUUUGCAAAAAAUUUCAAGUUUUAAACUUUUACAUGCCUUUAAAUAUACCAUUUUCCUACUUGCAUAAUCAUGUAAAGCAGGUUUCAUAAGUUCACGUAUUUAUCUCACCUAAAGUAGGUUUUGAGACUUAGUCAUUUAUCUGCUUUAGAAUAUUUUUCACUCAUAUAACUCUUGCUCGCCUAAUCUUGGUCGGGCAAGAGCAGGCAAACUUUGACUUCAUCUCACUGCGAGGAGGUUUAAAGACUGUAAGCCUUUUACUUGAAGUACCCUUUGUUUUUUUUUUUUUUAACUUUCUGCUCGCCUUCACAUGGUUGAGCAGAUUCUGGCAAGCUUGAUUUCUUAUCUCGCCAUCGAGCAGACUUUGAGACUUUAAAGUCUUUUGUGUGCCUUAGAAACUUUCUUGGGAUUUUUGUUCUCUGCUCGCCUUUACAUGGUCGAGCAGAUUCUGGCGAGCUUGGCUUCCUGUCUCGCCAUCAAGGAGGCUUUGCGACUUUGGAGCCUUUGCUUGCCUUAGAAACUUUUUUGGAACUUUUGUGGUCUGCUCGCCUUCGCUUAGUCGAGCAGAUCCUGGCAUGCUUGGCUUCCUGUCUUGCCAUAAAAUAGGCUUUGAGACUUUGGAGCCUUUGCUUGCCUUAGAAACUUUUUUGGAAUUCUCAUUUUUUGCUCGCCUUCACAUGGUCGAGCAGAUUCUGGCGAGCUUGGCUUCCUGUCUCGCCAUUGAGGAGGCUUUGAGACUUUGAAGCCUUUGCUUGCCUUAGAAACUUUUUUGGAACUUUUGUGGUCUGCUCGCCUUCGCUUGGUCGAGCAGAUCCUGGCAUGCUUGGCUUCCUGUCUCGCCAUAAAAUAGGCUUUGAGGCUUUGGAGCCUUUGCUUGCCUUAGAAACUUUUUUGGAACUUUUGUGGUCUGCUCGCCUUCGCUUGGUCGAGCAGAUCCUGGUAUGCUUGGCUUCCUGUCUCACCAUAAAACAGGCUUUGAGACUUUGGAGCCUUUGCGUGCCUUAGAAGAUUUUUGAAACUUUUUUGGUCUGCUCGCUUUCGCUUGGUCGAGCAGAUCCUGGCAUGCUUGGCUUCCUGUCUCACCAUAAAACAGGCUUUGAGACUUUGGAGCCUUUGCGUGCCUUAGAAGAUUUUUGAAACUUUUUUGGUCUGCUCGCCUUCGCUUGGUUGAGCAGAUCCUGGCAUGCUUGGCUUCCUGUCUCGCCAUAAAACAGGCUUUGAGACUUUGGAGCCUUUGCGUGCCUUAGAAGAUUUUUGAAACUUUUUUGGUCUGCUCGCCUUCGCUUGGUCGAGCAGAUCCUGGCAUGCUUGCUUCCUGUCUCGCCAUAAAACAGGCUUUGAGACUUUGGAGCCUUUGCGUGCCUUAGAAGAUUUUUGAAACUUUUUUGGUCUGCUCGCCUUCGCUUGGUCGAGCAGAUCCUGGCAUGCUUGCUUCCUGUCUCGCCAUAAAACAGGCUUUGAGACUUUGGAGCCUUUGCGUGCCUUAGAAGAUUUUUGAAACUUUUUUGGUCUGCUCGCCUUCGCUUGGUCGAGUAAAUGUGGCUUCCUGUCUCGCCAUAAAACAAGCUUUGAGACUUUAGAGCCUUUGCGUGAUGAUGGGUGUCGAAGCCAACAAAAAUAAAUUCCUACUCUAAAUAAAUUGUGUAUAGUGAUUGAGCAGGGUCGUGUCCACAGAGAUCGGUAAUUAUUUAAAUCCUUUUGAAACGUAAAAAUAAAAUGGGGGUUUUGUUGACAAUAAUAAAAAUCAAAUUAAAAUAACGAGAAUGCAAAUUAAAGUUGUAAUUCAAAUUGGAGAAAGCUCUGGUUGAAGGAAUUAACUCAGCUUGAUUCGACUACUGAUCAUUGAUUCAAAUAAAGAUUAUUAUUACUUAUGAAUAGACCGGUUAUAGCUAUUGAGACCCUCUAAUAGCCAAUCUCUCCUUAACUAGUCGAUAACCAAGGUACGACCGUUGGAUAUUUCCCUAAUCAAAUAGACAACCCUAGAUACGAUCAUAAGAUUUAAUCAAUUGACAGCCUGAAAAACCAGAGAGACCCAAAUCCUAAUCAACACAUAUGAUGAUUCAUUUAAAUUAGAUUGUUUAUUCUCACAACACAACUCUCUGCUAUGUUAUUUGUCACAAAUAUUAAAUUCUUCAUACGAUGAAUCCUUUAAUUGACAAUAGAUUAAGUUGAUAAUUAAAUAGUGGCCAAUUACCUAAUUAACAAACAUAAUCAUGAAACUAAUUCAGAGAAUAAACAAAUACCCAAAGAGCAAUAAAACAAUUAAAGCACAAGAAAGAUCUCACAGUAGUGAUGAAUCAAAGCUUCAUUAUCCUUCAACCAGAAAAUAAGUUUAGUUCUCCAUAGAGAGAAGAGAAAAAUUAGCUCUAGGGUUUCUUUCUUUUUCUCCAAUCCCAAAAAAUCCCCCUUUUCACAAUAGAUUCCUCCCUUAAAUACUCUCUCUCUCUUCUCUUUUAGAGUUCUAUUUAAAAUAAAAUACUAAUAUUUGAAAUAUUAAAUUCGUAAUAAAAAAAUAGCCAAAAAUACAAAACACGUUAAACUAAAAACUGCAAGUCCGCAGUUGACAGCACGCGCCCACGCCUUAUCAACAAAGUUCUUCUGCCGCUCAUAAUUUCUCCAAGAAAACAAUCAUCCUUAAACAUCAUCUUAUAGCUCAAUUUUAUCACCAAUCAAUAGAAUUGCACCUACAAAAGUAAAACACAAGUAAAUCACUAUUAUUAAAUGCAAAACAUCGAUAUUAAGGGAAGUAAACAAUGCAAAACUAGUGCAUAAAUUGCACUCUAACACGUGCCUUCAAUGUGCUCUUAUUUGAGGUUUUUGCUUUAAAUCCUUACAUAUGGAUAACCAUCAAAAAUUUAAUUUCGGACUUGUAACUUAUAACUUGUCCAGAAAAUAGCUCUCAUUUACAACUUGCGCUUUAGCUAUUUAUAUAUGUUUGGGCCUUUGAUGGAUAAACAUCCUUGGUGUUUUUAUUACCAUCUAUAAUAUUUGGUUAGCAAUAUUAUUAAAGACCUUUGCUAAAGGUGCAGAGCACCAUUUACCAACACUAAAGAUAUUAAAAUUUAUAUAUAAAAUAAAUCAUAUUAUAUAAAAUAUGUAAUCAACAAAUAAAUGGUACCAUAAAAGUUUAAGCAAAGUCAUAUCACUGUAUCAAGGAAAUACGAUCUCAUGCUAACCCAAGUUCCAUCAAUCCUUCGGUCAAGCAUGUUGUGUGCUAAUAUAUGACUAUGCUAUAUAUUCUAUAAUAUGUAAUCUUAACUAUUUUCUAUUAACGACUUAAUAAGUCAAAACCCCAUCCAUCAGAUUUUUGAAGUCAAGUAGUGGAUUUAAAGGAUAAAUAUAAAACUGAGGUAUUAGAACAAGUGCACCUGAGAUUGUGCUCUGCAUUAUUUCAUUAGUACUUCAUCAAACAAAUCUCGAGCUUGACUCUGCUUUGCUCCCUUCUUAGAAUUAUUCUUGCAAUAUUUUAACAUGGGCACAAAACGGAUAAAAUAUGAAGGAAACAAAAAUCCAACUUCAUCAAUUCUUUGAAGCUUGAAGACAUGCCUAUCAAGCAUAUAUGUAGUGUAUGUAGUGUAAUCAGCAACAAACUCACUUUUGAACUUUCAUAUCCCUUGAGGCGAUUUAACGAAUAGCUCCUGAUUUGAAUUUUAACAAUUCGGCCUCAACUUGUAAUGAACCGAGUUUCAUACCAGAAUUGUCUAAAUACUUUCCCUGCAUAUUCUUCACAUGAAAACUAGCAGCAUGAUUGAUUGAUGGGGUGUAAAACCAGCAGGAAAUAUCUUGAAGAAACCACAGAUCCGUGGAUUUUUUAUGCUUACCACCAAAUGAAUUUAACAAUUUGUGUGAUCUUUAUUUUAAGAAAUUGAACAUUGCUAAUACCGCAAAUCGAUUGCUCUUUUGAACAGACUUUAUAUCUUGAGUUCGAUGAAAAGAGAACAAUCAAUCAAGAAAUAUAAAUACAUCAGCAAAAUAAUGAUGGUAGCAGCAUUACACAUCUAAUUAGCCAUAACGAAGCUGAAUAAUUAGCCAUAAUAAAUCUGAAAUGUUAACAUUAUGUCAAGCAUGUUGUUGGAAAAUACUAAAUUAAUUCAUUUGCAAGUAUAAUAGCAUGUAAUCUUGAAUUAUGAAUGAAGCCCAUUCUAACAAGCUAAUUUUGUGAAGGAACAUUAUCAACGAAUUCCAAGGGAUAAUAUUCAAUUUCAGCAAAUAUAUCAUGCACGGUAUUGAAACAUGCAUGUUAUUAAAGAAUUUCCAAGCAUCUCUCAGUUGAUAAAUCAAUCAUCAUAGCAAUUGGAAAUUGAAUUUUAAUGACAAUAUACUUAAAGCAAUAAAUAAGCCAAAACCUUUACAGGUAAGCAUUCCAUCCAGCCUUGAUUGGCUUCCGUGUUUGAGCCAGCUUAUCAAUUUGUGCAUGAUAAUAUUAUGCCUUUGGCUUGGCCGGAUGCAAAAUUGGUAGAGACAAGAAGUUGGCUUUUUGUAUCGAUUCCCCACAGACGGUGCCAAAUGUUGAUGCCCAAAUCUGAUCUAGUCUAUUAGCGACUUAAUAUCAAACUUCUACACCAGCAUUAGAUUUAUUUGGUAGAGAAUCGAUUGGUCAAUCGUCAAGAUGUCCUGCAACCACUAGCGAUUAACUUGCGAAUAUUUAAAAUCAUAGAAGACGGUCAGAGGCGCCGAAAGUUUUUCCGGCGUGAACCCUCCGACGCUCAAGUCAGUUUCUGGGCCUUUGCCAAAAAACUUGUGCUACCACUCAUAUGGCUUAAUAAACAUUACCUUAAAAACCAAAAGUUUUUUGAGUAAUUUGCAGAAAAAUGAAAUAGAGUGUAAAAGAAAGGAUUUUCCAUGAGAGGAAGAGAGAAAAAGAUGCCCUGCAGACCCCGAAAAAAUAAAUAAAUCCUCCUUUUAAGGUCAUGCCCCACUCCCCUCUUUUCCCCUUUGUUCUCCUCCACUUAUUGAAGUUAAGGAUGAGAUAAAAGUAAUGCCUCCACUGUCCAUUUUUUUUCUCCUUUUUCCGUUACCAAACACCUACAAAUCUUAUCCCUACUAAUAUCCUCUAUAAGCCAAUAUUCUUCUAAAAUUAUUAAAUGCCAUUCUUCAUUCAAGCUUUCAUGGACAUUAUUUACAAAUUGUUCUUGUAUUUGACAGAAAAAUGAAAACGCCUCGUCAUACAAAACUGGAUGAACAAAUCUUCUGUUUAAUUGUGAUAAAAUAAUAAAUUCCAUUAACAGAUUCAGCUGUAUGUUAAUGUGAGGGAUUUGAUCAGAUGAUCAUAUAAUUUACUACACGCUUUAAGAAGAACAAGAAUUGAUGACUUAAAAAUUAAAAAAUAAACAAAUAAAGAGUAGAUACAAAGAAUGUUAUUUGCAAUCACCAAACUGAAGAACAUGGGAAUGAUAACAGAGGACGGUUGAUGCAACAUUAUGAAGUCAAAAUUAAGAAAGGCCUUUUUUCCUUUUUUUUUUUUACAUUAUUCUAUUUAAUCUUACAUAAGGCGCACACUACGAAUAUAAAUUAAAUUCAUAAUUAAGAAUAAACGAUAAACCCUAACAAUCAUCUAGCAAGUACCGUGUAGACUGCAUCAAAAAUUUAGAUUUAAAUUUUUACAAUCACCAAAUGGAAAAACAGGGGACUGAAAACAAAGGAGCCCUGUUUCCAGAAACCGGGGAGUUUCCGGGUUUCUGGAAACAAACUCAGAAACGAAUGAACUGGCUGCCGGCGGUACUUUCUAGAUAAAUCGCUUGGUGUAUAUAAGCUUUCAUGGUCUGGUUUUAGUCUGGUUAGGUUCAGCCACUGUGACUGUUAGGGAUUCUCGUAAACUGAAUUUAAAGUUGCGGCUUAAAGUGUUUACCAACUUAAAACCAGAGCUAUAAAGUGUUUGAUGAAUUAUUUUUUAAUUUAAAAAAAAAAAACUGAUUUAGCGGGAUAAAAUAAUGCUCCAUUCCGUUUAGUAUGUGAAGUCCAGAGUAUUACCUACUACUAACUAAAUCCGCUUGAUUCACAAGACUACCAAGAGAUAACUGAAUCUUCAAUGUAAUAAAAUAAUAAUCAGCCUCACAGGAUACAUAAAAAGCUCAUUUAUCACAAUCAUAUCCUAGUGCAUCAUAAAUUUAGAUUAUUUACUUUUACUAUUAGGAAACCUACUUAUAUAAGGCGCAAACCACAAAUUCUAAAUUAAAUACCUAACUAGGAAUAAAAGAUAAACCCUAACAGUCAUACACCAGGUGCCGUGUAGCCUGCAUCAUAAAUUCUGAUUUAAAUAUUUGCAAUCACCGAACAGAAAAACAGGGGAACGAAAACAGAGGAGCCCUAUUUUUCCAUUUUUUUAACCCUUAACUCUUGCUCUUCUAAUUAUAUUUUUCCUUGGAAUUUCAAGUAUGAGAUGAAUUUGGAGAAAGUAAAUAAAUUUGAAUUACGUGAAAAAUUCUAAUUUUUUUAACCCUUAACAGUUGGUAUAUUUUUUUUAGGUCAUAUAUUAAUAAUUUCUUUUAAAAAAAAUUUAUAAUAUCAAUUAAUAUUAUAACCUACAGAUUAAUACAGAUAAAAAUAUGAUUGAUUUAUCUCCACCACCUAAGUCUUAGCCAAAUUUAAUUAAAGAUUAAUUUAAUAAAUUACCGAAAAUAAUAAAGUAAACGAAAAAUAAAGCACGCAAUUAAGUAAUCAUGCUUCUAAAGGGCUAAUUAACCAUAAUAGGCAUAGGUAUUAAUUUGACUUCUAUGAAAGUCCCUUCUAGUUUCUCAAAAUUCAAAAAUUACAAUAAAAAGCCAAAGAAAAAGUCAAUGCUUCUAAAGUAGAAAAGUUUGAGUACUAGAUAGGCUGCCCAAAAUACAUUUUCAUUACUCACAUAUCUCUAUAGAAAGUAAUUUUUUUAAUAAAAACAACCUAUUUGGCUAAUAUUCAGUCGUCUUUUUUGUUGAUGGAAUUAUCCUCUUAACAAUAUUUUAAAAAGUUUACAUGAAUAUUCCUUUUUUUUUAAAAAAAAGAAUUAAUAACGUGUAUUGUUAGGAUAAAAAUGAUCAUCAAUACGUAUGUAUAUAGGCACAAAUAUAUGAAAAAAAAUCAAGUUUAAGUACAAUGUAUAGGUCAAUGCCUAAGAGUCAAGCCUAAAUUAGGGCAACAUAUAACUACAAAAUACAAUUUCGUACACUACAAAAUUUUGAUAUCAGCAGUAGGGGUAUAAAAAAAUCAUUGUUGCCAAAAAUCCAAAAGCUAACUAGAGGUUUGGUUUUGUUUCAAAAAUUAAAAAAACAAGUCAAUUCGUAAAAUCAAAAACAGAAAAAGAAAAACAAAAUAUAGAGGAAUUUACAGUUUAAAAAGAAAAACCAAGCCAAAACGAAAUUGAAUCGAAAGUCGAACCAACUCAGUUCAGUUUGAUUUGAAUUUUAUUUUAUAAAAAAAAAUGAUCGGAACCAACUAAACUGUAUUAUGUUAUAAAUUAUUAUAUAACAUAAAUUUUUGAAUACCUUUGUGACGAGCACAAUUUAAAAUUUUAUGAUUUUAAAUUUUAACAUUAAUGGAGAGUUAAUACUCCACCAUUUUCCAAUUUUUACAAUACAUAUUACUAGUUUAGAUAUGCUGUAUAUUAUUGUUAUAAUUUUUCGAGCAAGAUAAUAUUUGUCAAUUGGUGUUAUGACAUCAAAAUACUUGGUAUUAGUUAGUGCUAAGUGCUUCUUUUUCUUAAAAAAAGCGGUUCCUUAGUUUUAAAACAAAAAUCAUUAUCCUGAAAUUCUCCAUUUGCUUUGUUAACAGAUAUAACAAAAUAAAGUGAUAAAAGUUUAAUUUAUAAAACUUCGGCAUUUAUAUCUAUCAGAUUCAACACUUUAGUGUCAUAGAUUUAUUUCGGUGGAGCACGAUGUGGGUCGGGCCAGGCUUAGAAUUUUAAGCACGAGAGCCUUAAAAAUAUGAUAUGAUUAGAGAUGGACUGAGCACAGCACGAUGAAAAUGCCCACAAUAAGCACAUUAUAUUUUUUUUUUAUUGAAAAUAAACUUAAAAUUUUAUGUUUUAUAAAUAACUUGAAGUUGAAUUUUUUAAAUUCAUUUAAUUCUUAGUUUAAAAAAAUAUUAUAAUUAAUUUAUAUUCAUAAUUUAUUAAAUAAAUAAUUGAUAUCAUGAUUUUAAUGAAUAAAAUUAUAAAUAUCACGAUUUUAUAAAUAUGCAUUAAUAUUAUUGUGAACUAUGAUCUAUGACUCUAUGUAACUCUAAGUUAACAAUUAAGUUAGCCCUUAAGAAAAUAUUAUUAUUAUUGUUGUUGUUGUUGUUGUUGUUGUUGUUGUUGUUGAGUAUUAAAAAAAUUAUAAUACUAAGAGAUCAAACUUAGUAAUUAAUAUUAAAUUUUCUUACUAUUAUUAGUUUAUUAUUAUUGAAUAUAAACUUGAGUUUUGAUUUUUUGAUUCUAUUAAAUUUGAAUAAAAGUAUAGACCUAAGAAAAAUAUAUAGACUUGAAAAAAAUAUGCCAACAGUUUAGUAUGCCCCUUAAAAAAUUUAAAAAAAAAAAGAAAAAAACUUAGUGAGCUUUUUUUCUUAGGCAUGGCACGGCAUGUAUCGGCAUGUGUGCUAGGCCGAACCUAAACAAAAAAAUAAAUAAAUAAAUCUUGACACGACACAACACAAGCAUAAGCACGCAUGGGCCUUACUUACCGCCCGACCCAUUGAGCAUCUCUAACUGUAUCUAUCUCCGCCAUAAUAAAUUAAACAUCGGGUAACUACUAGACUAGGCAUUAGCACAUAAACUAACUAACUAUAGUACCAAAAAGAAUGAUGCGACAUUGUAAAAGAGAUGGGGCAAAGGGCAGAAUGGGAAACGAAUGAACCAAAUAAUAGUAUAUAAUAAUAUGAAUUUGGUAAAAAUAAAAAAUAAAUAAAGUAAAGUGGUGACACGUACCUCCUUUUAUUUCUCGAUCGAGUAGUGCAGAAAGUGGAGUGUGUGUGUGUGUGUUAAUUGUGAAAUGUCAGCCAAUUUUUUCUCUCUCAUUCUGAAACAGCUCAGCAGGAAUGGUGUACACUAGAGACGUCUGUCUGUCAGUCAGAACUGCCAAAAGAGCAAAACGGGUGCACGUACAAAUUAAAGCAGCCAAUCAGCGAUAUAUUUCAGUUACUUAAAGCUAGCACAGAGGGAACAAGCAAUGUGCAGGGCCAAAAGAGAUGAGACCCCUGAACCCGAACCCUCCUGAAUGAUCUGAUCACAUCUGAUUCGAUGUCUCGAGUCAUUAGAUUUAACAUAUUUUAAAAAUAUUUCUCAGUUAAUAUGUGAUUUAAUUAAAGGUCAAGUUUACAUCUGAAACUGAACUUAUUAAAAAUUAAUUUGAAAUAACAUCUAAGCUAUCUAUUUGUUUAUAAUAAAAUUUAAUUGUCAUAUCAGAAUUAUUUUCCGUUAGACUUUACAAUAAGUUAAUCCCAAAUAAAUUGACAAUUUCAAUUUUAAAGUUAGUUUGUAACUUUAAAAUAAUUUUCUAAUAAAAAUUUAAUCUGAAACAUCUGCAAUAAUAUCAAGUAUUUUGAUGUCAUAACACCAAUGUUUCACAUGCACACACAAGUCAUAUAUAAGUUAAUAAAAACAUCAUUUGUUAUUAACAAAAUCAUGUUAAUUUUUAAUUCUUAAAUUAACUCCCUGUUAAAUUUUGGCUAAAUCAUUAUUGCAAUUUAUAAAUUAAUAUUUAUAAAAAAUUAUGAAUCAUCCAAAAAGCUGCUUGAUAUAGAUUAAUUUCAUGGUCAUCAAUUUUUUUUUUAUUUAUACACCUUUAAAUUAUCACUUGUAUCAUAUGAAAAGACUAUAUUACCCCUCUAACAUCAUCAUAUUUAAACGGCAACUAAGCUAUGGUGAACGACAUUAUAUUUUGUCAACUUAAGAUGAAUGACUGAUAUACGCUAAAAGUAUUGUAGUAAAUUUGAUAAUAAAGUAUACAAUUGAUAAUUUUCCUAUUUAUAAUUUAUCCCCUUAAUUAUGAGUAAUUUUGUUUUUGUCUUCAUUUGUCCCUUUCCUACAAAACCAUUACUAAUGUACAAGUUACAUAUAUAAAACAUUCUUCUUUAAUCAAGUUUGGAAUAUUUUCAUCCUUAUGUAAAAUUAUGCAUAUAUCUUUUGAGUUUCUCAAUUGUACUUGAAAAAAAAAAUUACAUUUAAUCACGGUUGGUUAUCCAUAAAAAAUUUUAGGUGGAAAGUUCACGCGUUUUAAAAUUUAAUUGUGGAAUUAUAUUACAUUUAUUAUUUAGUUUCAAUUUAAUCAUGUAUCAAAUUCAUGUUUUAAAACAUGUGGAAAUUUAUAAUAUAUAAUGAUUCUAUGUAAAUAUAUUAUCUCAUUUCUUCAUUCUUUUGUUAUUAGUUCUCCUCCACUGCAUUAGAUAUAUUUUGAAGUUUUCUAAUGUAAAUGUUACUAACAAAUACGCAUUGAAUAAUUAUCGGGUAGUUUAUAUUAUAAUUUAAUAAUAGCCACAACAUAAAUGUACAAUUUGGUGAUAGUAAAUGACAUUACAUGAAAAUGAAAUCAUCAUGUUGCAAACAAGAUGCAACCAAGGGAUUGCAAACAAUGUUAAGUUACUAUUGGGUCACUUGAACUCCUGGGCUCUCUCCUGUGUAAUUUAUAUUAGACUGUCGCGUACAAAACGCAGACAUAUAUAUACAUACAAGUAGUGCUUUGGCAACAGACACAAUAACCAAGAAGCAGCCCUUGUUUUCAAAUUCAUUCAAAUGCCAGCCUGCAGUUUUGAAUCCUUCAAAUGCCAGCCUGCAGUUUUGAAUCCUUCAAAUUGUGCUCCACCUUUUGAGGGGACGAUGAAGAGUGAAAGAAGAGACAAAUGGCAGAAUAUCAUCCAUUGCAAUGCCUCGUUUCUUAUAUUUCCAUGCCCGAACAGCAAAUUCCACCAAUCUUUUUGCUGCCUUUUCCCUAUCCACUACUGAAGAAACAAUCUCCACCGCCUCUUGGUUCGAAAUCACAUCCCAAACCUGAAGAACAAUCCAUAAUUGAUCUUUCAAACAUUGACAUUAGUUCAGAUCAAAAGAUAAUUCCAAUAUGUGGAUACGUACCCCGUCCGAUGCCAGAAUGACAAAUUGGUCUCGUGUUGUUAUGUUUCUUUGCGUUACAUGGAGCACGGAGAUUAGGCCAUAGUCCUUGACACAGUAAUCACCCAAGGCUCUUGAUAUGGCUAGUCCCGGAGUCUCACCAUUCGGCAUCCAGACUCUGUAUACGCCCGGCUCAUCAUUUAAGCAAAACACAAGCCCUUUGGACUGCGUUAUUCGCUCCGCUUCCUCUGUAUAGGCCAGUGAAGACAAGAACCCGUACGCAGACCUUAAAACACACCCAUAUAUACACCUACACGAGGCAGAAAUAUUUAAGAGAAGAUGAGAUAAUUGAGAUCUGAUUGGUAAAAUAUUGUUAAUUAGUAAAAAAUAAUUAAUAUACUUGCUAUUUAAGUAUUUUACUAAUAUUUUAAACAUCGGUAUUCAAUGAUGUUAAUAUGUGAUUUUAAUAUUAAAUUUAUGUUCUCAUUUAUAACAGUAUGGUCAUCAGUAUUCACAACACAUCAUAUAUUAAUGUAUGGGUUUAUUAAUAUUAACAAACAUUUAUUUCCAAAUAAAUAUGGUAGCCUUAGUAUUUAAGAAUAUUCUUUAUUGUCUAGUCGUCUGUCCAAGGAAGAACGGGCCAUCAUCAAAUUUAUCAAGGGCCUUCUCUAAGUAAUCAAAAGCAGGACCUGUGACAAAUUAAAACUUUUUCCGUGAGUUCAGCACAUAUAUAUACAUAUUCAAAAUGCAUUCUAUUAUAAACAAGUAAGCAAGUUUCAAAUCCUACCAGCUUGUUUUGCUGGGUCUCCUUUGAAUGAAGUAUACACAUCGUUGGUGAAGGUAUCGAUGUGGGAAAACAGUUCAUCAGCAAACUUUCGUUUCUCAGGAUCCUACAAUAUUUUCACAACAUUACUUUACUCAAAGUUGAGAGAGAGAGAGAGAGAGAGAGAAGCUUUUAUUAAAAGCAACAAUGUAAUCAGCAAAAUCUUACAUCAGGUAAAAGUGAAGGCCCUUCAAAAUUGCUGUCAACAUAUUUAAUCAAAUCAAGAGAUUCUCCAAUAACUUUGCCAUUGUGCUCCAGUGCUGGAACCUGUAAAGAAGAACUCUAAUAGGUAAAUAUACUUCAUAACUCCAGCAAUGAUCUCUAAUCUUGCACGAAAAUGUAACAAUCAGUUUAACUCUUUCGUUGUGUUUUCUUGCAAGCAAGCAACUUGCUCAAAUCAGAAUAUGUUAAGAUUUUACUAGGCACACAAAGCACAAAGACACCAUUCCAAUUUUAUUCAGGAACUCCUCCGCACAGAUUACAAGCAUUUCAAUUUCAAAGAUGGGGCAUAAGUGUUGGAGAAUUAACAAAUAAAACACACAAAAAACACACUAUUUUAUUUCUUCAACAACACUCCUCACCAAUUACAACUCUUAUCUUUCACUCUCUACACCUUAGAGAUUUUGCUACUUCACUUGAUGAUUAAACCAAAGGGGAGAGGGGGUAUUUAUACAUGAAACAAACUAAUCACAACCAUUCAUUUAUUCAACUAAUACACAAAUCCUCACCAUCCAUUAAAACCUACCACUCACCUACUUCACCAACCACACCUAACACACCUAACACAAAUAAUUCAAACCUCACCAACCAUACCUACUCAUGGAACCUUCCAUGAGUUGGGCUUGAUUUGGAUCAAGUUUAUGAUCCAACACCUCCCCUUAAACUUGAUCCUGUGACACCAAGCAAACUUCUGAAUCUUAUAAAGUCUUCUUGCUUGAGUGGCUUAGUGAAGAUAUCAGCUGUUUGAUCAUGUGAUUUUACAUACUUGAUUUGCACUUCUUUUGUUGCAAUACACUCUCUUAUAAAAUGAUAGCGAGUGUCUAUGUGUUUACUUCGAUCAUGAAAGACUGGAUUCUUGGAUAGGGCAAUUGCUGAUUUGUUAUCAACACAAAUCUCGGUUGGCUCUUCUUGUGCCAAACUCAACUCCUUCAGCAAAUUUCUGAGCCAAAUUGCAUGACAAACACUUGAUGUGGCAGCUACAUAUUCAGCUUCACAGGUGGAUAGCGUGACAAUUGGUUGCUUCUUUGACAUCCAUGUGAAAGCAGUAUCUCCCAUGAAGAACACAAAUCCUGUGGUGCUCUUUCAAUCAUCUACAUCUCCACCCCAAUCGCUAUCGCUAUAUCCAACAAGCUUAUAGUCAUUAGAAAAUGAGUACAGCAAGCUGAAAUUAGUUGUACCUUUGAUGUAGCGAAGGAUUCUUUUUGCAGCUUUAAAAUGGGUGGUCUUUGGAUUCUCCAUGUAUCGGCUCACAAGUCCAACAGCAUAAAGGAUAUCUGGUCUUGUGCAUGUCAAAUAACGUAGGCUUCCAACCAAACUUUUAAAGAAUGUUGGAUCUAUAUCUUCGCCUUCAUCAAGUUUGGAUAACUUGACUCCGCAUUCCACUGGCGUGCUUAUAGGCUUGCAAUAAUUCAUCUUGAUCCUUUUGAGAAUCUCCUUUGCAUAGCUUUCUUGGGAGAUAAAUAUGUCUUCUUCCUUUUGCUUGACUUCAAUGCCGAGGUAAUAUGCCAUCAGUCCGAUGUCAGUCAUCUCGAACUCUUUGAUCAUCACUCUCUUGAACUCUUCAAACAAGCUUGGAUUACUUCCAGUAAAGAUGAGAUCAUCCACACACAGGCACACAAUCAAAAUAUCUCCAUCUUUUUCUUUGACGUAGAGAGCAUGUUCAUAUGGGCAUUUAGUGAAGCCUUUCUCUUGAAAAUACUUGUCAAUUCUGCUAUUCCAUGCCCUUGGUGCUUGCUUUAACCCGUAGAGAGCUUUCUUCAAUCUCAAAACUUUGUCUUCAUGUCCUUUCACCACAUAGCCUAUUGGUUGUUCGAUGUAAACUUCUUCUUCAAGGAAUCCAUUCAAGAAAGCAGACUUCACAUCCAUUUGAAAAAUCUUCCAUUUGUUCUGAGCAGCCAAAGAAAUAAUAAGUCUAAUAGUUUCAAGUCGAGCUACAGGAGCAAAUACCUCGUCAUAGUCUAUGCCAGCCUUUUGACUAUAGCCUUUUGCAACUAGCCUUGCCUUGUGCUUUUCAAUUUCUCCCUUCGCAUUUCUUUUUGUUUUAUACACCCAUUUGACACCGAUCGCCUUGUGACCUUUUGGAAGAGUAGUAAGCUCCCAAGUAUCAUUCUUCACAAUGGCUUUGAUUUCUUCAUCCAUUGCAGUUCUCCACUUCUCAUCUAGUAUAGCUUCUUAGAAGUUGACUGGCUCACAAUCAGCAAAGAGGCAAAAGAGAGUGAGAUUAUCAUGUCUCUCAGUUACCUCAUAGAGAUCUUGAAGACUCCUUGUACGUUCUUCGAUUCUUUCAUUUAAGAAAGACGGCGGUGAAUCUCUGCAUGUGGUUGGUGCUGGUGAGAUAGGUGGAGUAGCAAGCUAUUGUUGUUCGUCUACUUGUUUUAUCUGUGUAUGAUCAUUUUCUUCAAUGGGAAAGAAGUUGAAGUCAUCCACACCAGAGCCAAAAUCCCAUUCUCCUUCUUCAUCAAAAAUUACAUCUCGACUGAUCACGAUCUUCCCGUUGUUUGGAUUGUAAAGCUUGUAUCCUUUGGAGUUGUUGUCGUAGCUGAUGAAGAUGAACUUCUCACUUUUGUCAUCCAGCUUGGCUCUACUUUCGUCUGGUACAUAUACAUGGGCAAUGCUUCCGAAAACUCUUAGAUGGGUGAUGCCGGGUUUUCUUCCACUCCAAGCUUCUUGUGGCGUCUUGCCCCACACGCUUCUUGUUGGAGAUCGAUUGGAUAAGUAGACUGCACAUGCAACUGCUUCAGCCCAAAAUUCUUUAGGUAGCCUCUUACUCUUAAGCAUGCUUCUUGCCAUGUCGAGGAUGGUUCUGUUCUUCCUUUCUGCAACACCAUUUUGUUGGGGGGAUCUUGGAACUGUCAAAGGGCGUCGAAUUCCAUUUGCUUCACAAAACUCUAAAAAUUCUUUGGAAGUGAACUCACCACCUCGAUCAGAUCUCAUGGCUUUAAUCUGGUAUCCACUUUCUUUUUCCACUGCAGCUUUAAACUUCUUGAAAGCUUCAAAGACUUCUGAUUUUUGCUUCAAAAAAUACACCCAAGUUUUUCUUGAAAAAUCAUCUAUGAAGAGAAGGAAGUAGUUACUUUUACCAAGGGAGUUUGGCUUGAAUGGACCGCACACAUCAGUAUGAAUAAGCUCGAGUGGCUUCUGAGCUCUUGAGUUUGACUCCUUUGGAAAGCUCUUUCUGAACUGCUUGCCAAGUAAACAUCCUUCACAAAGUUGAUCAGGGUGAUUGAUGUAUGGUAAGCCUUUCACCAUGUUCUUCUUAGAUAGUAGCUCCAGUCCUCCAAAGUUGAGAUGCCCAUAUCGAAGAUGCCAAGUCCAGGAUUGAUCUUUGUGACAGGCUUUGAGACAUUUUGCAACAUCAUUUUGAAUAUUUAAUGGAAACAUUCUAUUCUUUGACAUUUUCACCUUUGUAAUUAGAUUUCCUUUAUCAUCUCUUAGGAAAAGACUAUAAUCUUUUAAGUGAAUAUCAUAGCCUUUUUCAAAAAGUUGACCCAAACUAAGAAUGUUGCUUUUCAUAUUGGGCACAUAGUAAACAUUCGAAAUUAUUUGGUGACUACCAUCUUUUGCACGAAAAAGAAUGUUACCUCUACCCUUCACUGGUACUUUUGAAUCAUCUCCAAAAGCAACACUGCCAUUCACAGAUUCACUUAGCUGCACGAACAUGCUUUUGUUCCCACUCAUAUGAUUGCUAGCACCUGUGUCAAGAUACCAUGUAUUUUCUUGACCCCCACUUGUGUCAUUGCGUGCUAGUAAAAGUGUGCCAUCUUCACCAUUUUUCUCUUCAGCAUAGUUCACUCUCUCCUCAAUUCUAGUGCUUGGAGCUCUGCAUUCUGAAGCAUAAUGCCCAAACUUUUGACAAUUAUAGCACUGUACUUGAGAUUUGUCAUACCCUCGAUCUUGGAUUGCCUCUGCCUCGUCCUCUGCUUGAGCUUUCUCCUUUUGGCCAUAAUUGGAGUUGUUAUUGAAAUUCCCAACCCUCGUCCAUGACCCACGACCUCUACCUCGUCCCUCGACCUCUACCUCGGACAUAGUGUCUUCUCUCGUUGUCGGAGCUUUCUUCUCUUUUCUUUGGAUUGACUUCCAUCUUGAGAAGUUGUUCUUCGAUUCCCUGCUUCUUUUUUUGUUUCUCUUCAUAGGCUUGUAACCUUCCUUAAAGUUGCUCGAUCGUCAUAUCUUCCACGAACCUUCUUUACUUGCUCCGCUCCUUUGUAAGAGGUCUCUAGUUUCUCCCAUGCUUCUUUUGAGGAGGUUGUACCAGCAAUCUUUUCAAAAGCAUCUUCAUCUAAUGAUUGAAAGAUGAGAUACUUUGCUUUAUUCUCUUUCUUCUUCAAGUCUUUUAAAUUCUCCUUCUGCGCCGCAGUUAAAGUGGCUUCAUUUUCUGGCACAAUAAAGCCUUUCUCCACGACAUCCCAUACGUCAUGUGCACCCAAUAGAGCUUUCAUUUUAAUACUCCAAUUGUCAAACUUACUUCCCUUUAAUUGUGGAACUUAAAAUGACAUCAUACCAUUGUUUGCCAUAACUCACAAAUUGAGUGAAAAUUUGGAGAUUCUGAAAGCACAGAUGGAUCCGGCACGUCGAAAAACCUUGGGAAGGACUCGAGUCAACUUUCAGUCAACGGUCAACGUCGGUCAACGGUCAACACCGGCUUGGUAGUCUUGGUUUGGUCCGGAUUGGUUCAGCUCCAGUUGGCUCGGUUCGACUCGGCUCGGUUCAGCUCGGCUCGGCUUGGUUCAGUUCGGCUCAGCUUGGUUCAACUCGGUGAGUCGACUCAGCUUCAGGACAGAAAACUUCCGAUGGCAAGUGUGGGUGCGUUCGGUCUCGGAUCGGGAUGAUUUUUGCGGCGUCACGUUCCUCUCGUCAAGAUCUUCGAUUUGAUAUGCUAUAUGACUAUAUAUAGCAUCAAACACUAGCUCUGAUACCACUUUGUUGGAGAAUUAACAAAUAAAACACACAAAAAACACACUAUUUUAUUUCUUCAACAACACUCCUCACCAAUUACAACUCUUAUCUUUCACUCUCUACACCUUAGAGAUUUUGCUACUUCACUUGAUGAUUAAACCAAAGGGGAGAGGGGGUAUUUAUACAUGAAACAAACUAAUCACAACCAUUCAUUUAUUCAACUAAUACACAAAUCCUCACCAUCCAUUAAAACCUACCACUCACCUACUUCACCAACCACACCUAACACACCUAACACAAAUAAUUCAAACCUCACCAACCAUACCUACUCAUGGAACCUUCCAUGAGUUGGGCUUGAUUUGGAUCAAGUUUAUGAUCCAACAAUAAGGACACAGAGUCACAUAAUUAGGCUAUUUGGUAUUGAGGUGCUGUAGUUUUUUUAGCUACAGCUGCCACGGACCCAAAAAAAAAAAACUGUAACUAUAAAAUAAAAGUUAAAAAUGCGUAAUAAAUAUGAAUUUUAAAUUAAGAUUUUGACAAAAAUAGUAGAAAUAUUAUAAUUUUACAAAACACUUUUAACUCUAUACCUUUUAAUCCACGGCCGCCCUACCUCAAUACCNNNNNNNNNNNNNNNNNNNNNNNNNNNNNNNNNNNNNNNNNNNNNNNNNNNNNNNNNNNNNNNNNNNNNNNNNNNNNNNNNNNNNNNNNNNNNNNNNNNNNNNNNNNNNNNNNNNNNNNNNNNNNNNNNNNNNNNNNNNNNNNNNNNNNNNNNNNNNNNNNNNNNNNNNNNNNNNNNNNNNNNNNNNNNNNNNNNNNNNNNNNNNNNNNNNNNNNNNNNNNNNNNNNNNNNNNNNNNNNNNNNNNNNNNNNNNNNNNNNNNNNNNNNNNNNNNNNNNNNNNNNNNNNNNNNNNNNNNNNNNNNNNNNNNNNNNNNNNNNNNNNNNNNNNNNNNNNNNNNNNNNNNNNNNNNNNNNNNNNNNNNNNNNNNNNNNNNNNNNNNNNNNNNNNNNNNNNNNNNNNNNNNNNNNNNNNNNNNNNNNNNNNNNNNNNNNNNNNNNNNNNNNNNNNNNNNNNNNNNNNNNNNNNNNNNNNNNNNNNNNNNNNNNNNNNNNNNNNNNNNNNNNNNNNNNNNNNNNNNNNNNNNNNNNNNNNNNNNNNNNNNNNNNNNNNNNNNNNNNNNNNNNNNNNNNNNNNNNNNNNNNNNNNNNNNNNNNNNNNNNNNNNNNNNNNNNNNNNNNNNNNNNNNNNNNNNNNNNNNNNNNNNNNNNNNNNNNNNNNNNNNNNNNNNNNNNNNNNNNNNNNNNNNNNNNNNNNNNNNNNNNNNNNNNNNNNNNNNNNNNNNNNCUGGAAAGAGCUCAAGCUAAUUAAUUGAUUUUUAUCUUUUGGAUGCACUUAAUUGUAAUUAACCGGAUCAAAUUUUGAAACCAAAAUAAUUCACGGGGCAUUCUAGCUUCUAGCUAAUUCAUCCAAAAAAAUAUAAAAUUAUAUAAAAAUAAUAAAAAUACGUGUGAUGUCAGCUUGAUGCGUACAUUCAAAGUUCCAAUUGAAAACAAAUAGAUAUUCAUUUUUCUUGUCAAAUUAUUGAAAGAGACAUCUCUUAAUUUCUUCCAUCACCAGCAACGGUUGAGUGACCUUGUCUUACAUUGUGCAGCAGCCUCCUCGAAGUUAAAAAAAAAAAAAAAAAAUAGCCCAUUAUCUUGGCUUUUGGCUGGAUCCAAAUUUUUGUUAAAUACAAAUAAAUAUAAUAUCAACUUAAAUAUUCCAAUAAACCUUCUAAUAUCUUCUUUGAACAGUUUUAUUUUUAUUUUAUGAGGAGGGAAGAGUAAACCAUUAAAACUAUAAUUCAUCAUAAAUUUAUUGUACCAAUUUUUUUUUUAAAUCCAUAAUUUUGUGAAAUAUAAAUUUUAAGAAUUGAAAAAUAUCAUUAUAGCUUUCAUAUCCAAAGUUAAUUUUGAUAUUUUUGUACAAUUACAUAAUCUUCAAAUGUGGAUAAUGUAAAAGAUGAAAAUUGUCAAAUUAUUAGAUAAUUGUUUUUACAAAAUUUUAACGAUCAGAAAAAUCUUAAUUUAUAUGUCUUAGUUUAAAGAAUUGGUAUUAUCAAAUGUUACUUAAAUGUAAAUAUAAUAUAAAUAUUUUGUGUAUUUAUAUGUUACGUUUAUGAUUUGAUCACUGUUUAUCUAAAUUUUAAUAAAAUCAGACAUAUUUAUGUAAUUUACUCAUAAAAAAAUAAUCCAUGAUUUAAUUUGCAAUGAUCAAAUUGUUGUAUUUUGUCAUAUCAAAAUACAUAUUUUUGUACAAUUACCCAUAAAGUUUAUGCUACAAUCAAGCUAUUUAUAAUAUAAGUGUGAUUUUUGAAUUUAAUAUUGAUAUUAGUAUUAAAUAUGAUAAUAGAAAAAUAUUUUAUUAGAUAUUAAUUGGGUCAUUUGUGUUAUUGUUUUUAAAAAUUAAUGACCUGCAACAUUAAUUGUCAAUAAUGGGUUUUUUUAAAACAUGCUGGUGCCCGGAUGUAAAUGCCGGUACCUCCCAAGUCAGUAGCCUUAUUAUAACAGUGUAUUCCCGUCAGCAUAUUGGCCUGCCCCUGUACCAUUACUCCAAUUGAUGCUGAAAAUAUAACAACAUCAGUGACCGCGUUGUCGUUUCCCGUGAUGUUUAUUCCGAUGCCGGAGAAAUCCUUUUCGCGAUCAUCCCCGCCGAUGUUGAUGUGUUGGCCGAUGAAGGAAUUUCUUAUAUACGUUUCGUGGCCAUCUUGGAUGGAAAUGCCAGCGGUAGUGAAAUGCGAAAUGUAACAAUUGUCCACUGUGGUUCUUAUUGAAUUUAUAAUGGCAAUGCCGCCACCCCUAAAAUUGGAGUCCAACAUAAGCUCCUUCAAAGUAAUGUAUUCGUAUAAUGACGAUGAUGAUGACGAUCUUAACUCUAUGAGAUGUCCGUUGCCCGAAAAAUCAUCCGAUGCUCGGAGGGACCCACCGUGUACCUAUGUAUACAUAUAUAGAUGUUAAAAGUAAGAAUUAAAGUAAGAAUUAAAUUUUAAAUUAAUAUGUGAUUUGGUAUGAUUCCUAGUUACAAAAUUUUGGCAUUUUGUAUUCGGUUUUGUAGUCCUUCAUAAGACUGGCAAAAAUCAUUAUCAAUUAAACAUUAUGUUGUUAUAUUUUUUUAAUGAUCUUUAUUUUAUUUGCUUUAAACAAUAUCUAUUUUUCAAAAACAAUACUUUUGACAAGCAAACCCUAAAGUGGGAUUGAAGCAGAGAUGAAAGAGAAAGCAUGCAUUUUGCACAUGUUUAUAAAAACAAGAGAGUAUAUUUAAUCUCAAUCUGUAAUUCUGUAUAAUGUAUUAUUCUUAAGUUUGAAUCAAAUUAUUCUUGAUUCCAUCUGCCAAUCCAUCUCGGGCCAUUGAAUUAUGCAUAGCUAUUAUGGUAAUGGUCUCUUUAUUCUCCUCACAAUCAAUUAAUUGUGAUGACCAUACUGUUCUCACGAUUCUCAACCGCAAAAAAUUUAAAUAUUGUAUUGUACAUUUUUAUAAACAAAUUUUAUGUCAUCUCCAUUAUUGUGGAAUUUUAAUAUCCUAAUACAAUAUUAUGAUAGUAAUUGGGUCAAUAUGGGUAUUGGGUCAUAUUAUCGUUAUAAAUAUUAAUUUAUUAUAACUGAGUGUGUAAAGUAUCUUUUUUUAUUGUUGUACCAUAUUUAACUUUUGGCUGCAAAUAUAUAUAUACUUAGCAUUAUUUAUAUCAAUAAGUUAAUAUAUAUAUCCUUUUCUUUAGCAUCAAAUUUAAGUUUUUAAAAAGUUAUGAUAAUUCACUAAUUUGGUAUUUAGGAAAUUAAAUCCAUAUCAAUUUAUUAGAUAUCUUAAACCGUAUGUAAAAAUAGAAUAUUGACCAUUAUUCUAUUAGUAAUAUAUCCAUUAAAGAUUUUGACGUGCUAUGGUCUAAAAAAAUUAACUUGGCGGGAUGUUAUGAUUAUAUUCAAGGUGAUAGGCAAGAAAGUUAUGAGGAGACCCCAUUGAAGCCUAUAUAUUAUAGUAUGCAUAAAGACUCAAAAAGUGCACUUGAAAUAACAGUUGUCACUGACAGGUUAAGAUAAGCUACCAAAUUGGCACUUAAAGGAAGAAAUUCUAGUAUUAGUGUCAUAUUUUAUGCCAUAUUAUGUAAUGCAUAUUAGUAAUGAUUUCUUCAUAAUAUCGCAUAUAUAUAAAAGUUCAUCCUAGCUAGAUGCAUUGUAGAUUUUGUAAGAAUUAUUUUACUCUGUCCAAAUGAGUUCACAUUAUUAUCCAAUUUUCCUUUUUUUAAGUUGAUUUAUGAAAGAAAAAAAAAAAUGACACCAAUGUUUUCCACGUCGCCGCAAGUCUCAUCGAUAAAAGUCCAUCUACAAAUUAGUUCAUAAUUCUUUUUGUAACUUCGCUAAAAGCUAGUCAAGUCAUUGCUAGCAAGCCUCAAAAGCACGAAGUACGCGAAUCACGGCGAUAACUGAUAAUAACUUGGUUGUCCGGUUUCGCAUACUAAUUAGCUUGAUUGAAAAUCGUGAAGUAUGGGGCACGACUAACGCAACGCAUACGUCUCAUGCAUUAGGCAAAUAUUGUACGCGACCCAUGUUGAGAGCACAAAUCCACUAUCUACAAGUACUAUAUAUAGAGCUGCAAUGCGUGCUUCAAGUAUUCACAACUUACCCCCAGCUGGCUAGCUAGCCUCUAUAAUUUGAAGGGAAAAAAAAAAAAAAAAAACCUUGUUCAACUUGCAAAUACCUACCAAUUAUUAUGGAGAAAAGCUUUGAUAUCAUUGCCCUGUCUAUGAUCAUUCUGGUGACUUAUUCAUCUAAAAUGGUGUCGGUCGCCGGCCGGUCGCUGCAUGAACCAUCCAUUGUUGAGAAGCAUGAAAAAUGGAUGGCUGAGCAUGGGCGCACUUACAAGGACGACCUGGAGAAGGAAAAGCGGUUUAAGAUAUUCAAAGAAAACCUUGAAUACAUUGAGAAAGCCAAUGAGGAGGCGAAUCGGACGUACAAGUUAGGCACCAAUGAAUUUUCAGACUUAACUAAUGAGGAGUUUCGUGCUUCAUAUACAGGAUACAGGGUGCCAAGCCAGUCAUCUUCAUCACGGCAAUCCACAACAGCAUCCUUCAAGUAUCAAAACCUGACUGACGUUCCAACUAGCAUGGACUGGAGAGAGAAAGGAGCUGUCACUCCUAUUAAGAACCAAGGUCAAUGUGGUAAGUAAAUCGUAUACUAAAUAUUUAUGAAGUAACUAUAAUAGAUUAUUUAGCCUCCAACCUCUUUCAGAACUCAAACUCAGUUGACCAUCAGCUAAUUAAUAAAAACAGCUUGACAACCGUCUGCCAAACCCCUGCUGGGGCAUGUUUCAUGUAACUUAAUCAAGCCUUUUUUUUUUUUUUUUCCCUUAAUAUGUACGAUGCAGGAGACUGUUGGGCAUUUUCAACUGUGGCGGCGGUGGAAGGGGUGACUGAGAUUAGUAGUGGUAAUCUUAUUCCACUUUCGGAGCAGCAAAUACUAGACUGCUCAAUAGAUGGUAACCGUGGAUGCGGUGGCGGUUGGAUGGACAAUGCCUUUAAAUAUAUUAUAAAAAACCAGGGUAUUGCCUCAGAAGCGGAUUAUCCAUACAAGGAAGUCCAAGGGACUUGUGAAGACGCACAGGUCAAGGCAGCUGCUAAAAUUAGUAACUUUGAAGAUGUAAAACCCAAUGAUGAGCAGGCUUUACUCCAAGCUGUAGCCAUGCAGCCAGUAUCAAUUUGCAUUGAAGGAAGUGGACCAGACUUCCAGAGUUACAAAGGCGGUAUUUUUAACGGAGGAUGUGGAACUCAGUGUUCUCAUGCUGUUGCUAUCGUUGGAUAUGGGGCAACUGAAGAUGGAAUGAAGUAUUGGUUAAUUAAGAAUUCAUGGGGGGAGAGCUGGGGUGAGGCCGGCUACAUGAGGAUUCUCAGAGAUGUUGAAGCACCUGAAGGUCUCUGUGGCAUUGCCACUAAACCUUCCUACCCAGUUGCAUGAGUAGCAGUAUUUUAUAUUAUAAUAUUAUUAGCCGCCUCUUAGUAAUGAUGUCUUCAAGCCUACACAUGCAUUAGCCUCGAAAGGCUUAUACGAACCGUAUGAAUCGUAUGAUUCUGUGGUUUUACCUAUGUUGAGUAUUUCAUAAGUUGUAAUUGAACGCCAAUAUUUGGUAUUAGUUAAUGUUAAAUCUCUCGUUUAAAUAUAAGUUUGAUCUUUGCAGUAAUUAGUCAUUUACAUUUAAUGUCACGGAUACUCAAUUCGACCAAGAAAUACAUAGUUUAUAUCUUAGUUACUCUGAUAUUUUAUGUGGCAUGUUAUAUGUAGUUCAUUGAUCAAGUUGUAAGAAUAGUAUGUAAAUAAUUAAUAAUAAAUUUAUUUAUUAUCAUUUAUGAGACAAUAAAUGAUUAGUGGAACAUUAAUUAAAAUACAAACUAUUAUUAUUUAUUUAAGAAAUAUAUAUUGGUCAAUGAAAUUAAUGCAAGACAAAAAGUAACUGAAUUUUGAUUACACGCUUGAUGUCUGGAAGUACAAUGAUUAUGAAUUUGUGUUUAAUUAGGUCAAAGUUUUAAGUUAAAAUAAUCAAACCUAUAUACUCACACUAACUUUUAAAGUUUGAGUGGAAUUUGCCCGCUUUAAUUGGGGUCUCAUACAGCAAAAAAUUUUUGGCCAUCUUGAAUUUCUUUUUCUAUUUACUUAUAAAAAUUUAAAGGCUUGGUAAUUUCCCUCCCCCAAAUUCUGUCUUUAUUCCUAAGUAAAUUAGUUAGUCAUUAUUUCAAUAAUUAAAAUUAUUCUAAGUUCUAAAUUUUGGGCGUGGAGGGAAAGUUAAGCGCAAGUAGCCGUGACUGAUUAAUAUUAAACAAUAUAAUUUAAUGCAUUUUUUUCUUCAUCUAUUUUUUUAAUAUUAGUUUUUGAACAAAAUAGUAGAACGAUAGUUAGAAUUUAUUAAUCAAAUUUUUUUACUUUCAUAUCCAUAUUAUAUUGUCAAUAAUAGUGUCAUGUAAUUAUAAUUAAAAGUAUUUGCAAAUAAUUUUGAAAGUCGACCGCCUCAUCAAAAACUCAGGAUGGCCGAGUGGUCUAAGGCGCCAGACUCAAGUCUGGUCUUCGAAAGAGGGCGUGGGUUCAAAUCCCACUUCUGACAAUGUAAUUUUUUAUUUUUUAUUCAUUUUUUUACAACGUUACGACUAAACGACGUCAUUUUCAUUAAACGGCAAGUCGUUUCAGUCGUCUUCUUUAACGGAAUAAAAAAUAUCUAAACCGAAGACCAAUGUUUCCAAACCCGCUAUAAACCCUACAGAUAACCCUCAUUGCCACUCGCAUCACUGAGUUCUUAACCUGAGUUAAAAUGGCCGAGUCCGCAUCCGAACUCAGUGAGUUCCGGAUUUUUCCGGCGGACUCACCGCCACCACAACCGAAUUCAACCGGAGUUCCGGUUCAUAAUCUAACACCAGAGGAGCUCGUGGCCAAAGCCAUAGCUCCAGUUAAGAAACAGUUUCUUCGUCAUUAAAUUCCAAAAUAAAUUUUAACAUAAUAAUUAAUUCUUUUAAUAGAUAAAAUUUUCUAUAUGCACGAUUGAAUUCAGCCCCAAAAUGUUAAUUAAAAAACAAUUAUCCAAUAUUCAAGAUAGUUUGAAUCGUCAUUCUCAUAUCGUUAUAAUGUCAUGAAAUAAUUGUACAAAAACAAAUGACCAAUAAAUUCACAAACGUAUAAUAUUGCCUAAUGUAAAUAACUUAUUAAUUAAUAUUGAUAUAUUAUUAAUUACUUAAUGUUUUACCUUUUUAUAAAACAUAAAAUUAUGUUUACUUCCAUUCAAGAUAUCCCAAAAAAAUUAAUCUUUUUGGAUGAUUCAUAAUUUUCAAGAGGAUGUUUUUACACCAUACCAUCGUCAAAUUGAUAAGGGCCAUGUUAUUUUUUAUUUAAUUGAUUUAAAUUUCAACUAGAGAGCUAUUGGAAUCGAUCACUGUAAAAGUUAAGUUGUGAUGUAAUCACACAAUCUUGAGAUCUGCUAUUAGAAAAAUAAUUGAAGAACCAAAUCCCAAUGAAAAUACAUCCAAAAUGAUGUCGUUUUGAAUUUGUUCCCAAAAAAAAAAAAAAAUUAAACUCACUAAAAAACAACAUGUGUGUUUUUGUUAACCUUUUAUCGAAUUGUAAUUUAAAUAUUUAUCAUGUACUUUUAUAUUCUAUUCAGGGCUGGCUCAACCAUAUUUGAGGCCUUAGGCAAAUGGUUUUAAUUAGUUUUUCUUAAAAUUUAGGACAAAAAAUAUGUUUAUUAGUUAUGAGUGAUGAUACAGCCACAAACUCUUGUACAAACUGACGUGGUAUUAAUUCAUUGGUUGAAUGAAAAUAUAAAAUAAUAAAAACAAAUCACGUGAGCCAAGUGAUAUUUAAUUCAACCAAUCUUAUCAUGCCACAUCAGUUUGUACAAGAGUUUGUGGUUAUAUCAUUACUCAUUAGUUAUAUAAUAUUUAUUGAAAAUCAAUUCUUUAAACACUCUCUAAAAUGUAAAAUUAUUAAAUAAAAUUAUAUUACACUAUUGUCAAUCCUUGAAAUUUUAAUUCAAUUAUAAUAUUUUUACUUUUUUUUUUAACUCAAAUUACAUCUUUUAUACUACUUCUUUUCUACAUUAAAUUAAUUUUUUUAUUCUUCUAUUUUCUAAAGUUUUUUGAUAUAGUUAUUUAUUUCACAAUAGAAAAAAAAAAGCACACAAAAAAUAGUAGAUGAAUAAAAGAAUGUAUUAAAAAGAAAUAAGAACACAUAAAUAAUACGAUUAAUUAAGAGAAUAAUAAAAAAUAAAAUCUGAAAUUUGAAAUUUGAGAUGAAAUCAUAAAUUAACUUUAUCUUUAUAUUAAUUAUUUGAAGAUUUGAGUAAUGACUAAUAGCCAUAGAGAAUAGAAAAAAACUAUUAGAUUUUUUCUUUUUUUUCUUGAGUGGAAAGUAGAGGAAGCAAGAUUUUUUUUCCCCUCUCUCUCUUUCUUGCUCUCAAAAACGAAGAACAUAUGCUGUCUUCAUUGUUAGAAGAAAAAUUUAAUGGAUAAGUAAUAAAAUGUGGGGCUUUUAUAGAGGUUUAAAAUGAAUAUAAAACUUUUAUAUAAGUUGUUAAUUCUAACAAUGAAAUAACGAAUUUAUAGGAUUGAAACUAUUAAUUUAUCGGUUUUGUAGGAAUUAAAACUACUAAGUACUACAUUAAAUAAACUUUAUAGGAACUCGGUAGUUUAUUUGAGAAAAGAUAAUUACAAAAUAAUAAUAAAUUAGAUGCAUGAUAAUGACUUUUAAAUUCACUUUCCUCUUUUAUAUACAAAAUAAUCAUCUUAUAGGAUUUUCUUGUAAAGUAGGGCUCUAAGCAACCGCCUAAGUUGUCUAGAGAUCGAACUGCUACUGAUUCUAUUACUAAUUUUGAAAUUUUCAGACAUAUUUAAGCUCCACUAUUUUAUUUUUUUAAUCAAAAUAGUAUGUUUAUUAAUAAUGAUUAUAAAAAAAAGAUAAUGAUUCAAUAAUGUUGUUUAUAUAUAUUGAAUCAACUUUAAAAGUCAACAUUUACUUUACACACUCGUAUAAAUGCUAAAAUAACCCUUUAUUUAUGUAUUUUUUAAGGCUGUAGAAUGUAUUCAUUACAAAGAUACAGUACAUUUAAUUUGUGGUAUUCAAAAUUUGAUGAUUACCAUUUUUGAGUUGAUGGUCUUAUGCUUCAUAUUUGCAUUAAUUUUAUGUUUAAUAGUAUGACAGUGAUUUCAUGUAAAGUUUUAUUUCCUAAUUACAAUUUUAAAUUAAUGUUCCUAAAUUUCAUAUUAUCAUUAGUUUCAUAUAUCUUUUAUGUUCAAUAUUAAUGAUUUCAUGUAAUACUCCAAUGAAUUCUAGCUUAAUUAUUACAAUUGUAAGUAGAUGAUCAUAUUAUUUUAUGCUUAAUUUUAUAAUUAAAUUAACGAAUGAAACUGUUGCUACCUUUUCAUAAUUAUUUAUUUUCCAGGAAUCAUUUUUUAGCACUUCUCAAUGUCAUUAUUUGAAAAUUAAAUGAGGGGUUGGGUUUGUAUUCAUUACAUCGGAUGAUUUAUAUUUAAAUAAAUUAUUUCAAUCUCAUAUCGUUAUAUUAUGGGUGAUUUUAUAUCCACAUUUAAAUUUUUAAAGUUGUUAUCUUAACUUUUUAAAAUCAGAGUUGUGUUUAUUUAUCAAUUUAAAACGUCAAUAAUCUACUAUUGGCGUAACAAUUGAUAUUCUCAUUUUGGAAUCAUCAAGAAUCUUAAAAUUUUCAAAGCCACCAUGCUCAAUUUAUACACGAAAAAGAGGAGGGGGGGGGGGGGGGGUAAGAUGCAUGAUCAGAAAUGAAUUUGGCAAGUAUUUGAUUGAGUUGAGAGGUCACUAAUCUCACUUAAUUUGCGAAUCACAAUAUGAUUGUUUUCAAUCGGCACCAAAACGAAGGGCUGGUUUUGGUUAUUAUAGUGCCUUGUUCUAUGAAGGAUUUUGGUUACCCACAUAUGGGAUUGAUCUUUGCUUCUACUCAGUAUAAAUUCUUGAAUUAUACUAUAUAUAUAAAAAAAUAAAAAUUAUAGAACAUGCUAUAAGCGUAUAAAUUGAGACUUUCGUUAAAUUUUAAUUUAUAAUAUUUUUCCGGAGAAAAGUAAUUAGCAUGAAACACAACAGCGGUGAAUCAUCUCAUUUUUCAAGAAAUAAUAUUUGUCAGAGCUUUUUUUUUUAUAUUAGUUUAUAAUUAACUUUAAUAUGUAAUAAUAUAGCAUAUUCUGGGAAACCUGUUGGGAUAAUUGUUUUUAAUAUUAUUAUGAUAUUACACAUGAUUGGCAGUCGCAACUCAUCAUCAUCAUCUGAAACCAUAUUAACAAACAUUUAUUUAACAAUAUUCUUUAUGUAAACAGGAUUACCCUAAACCCAAUUAAUAUCUGCAGGGAUCAGACGACUGUUAGAACAUAUGUUAAAUUUGUAUAAUAUAUGAUUUAAAAAUUUAAAAAAUAAAUUUUUCUUUUUUGGAGAUAACAGUUGGUAUAUUUAGGAUUAGUAAAACUAAAUGUUUUAUUUUUAUUCUAUGUGCUCCAUCAUGGCAGUAGUUAUUUUUUUGCGAUUAAACAUACUAUUUUGAUUUAAAUGGAUUACAAAAUGGCACAUUUUUUUAACCCUUAACAGUUGGUAUAUUUUUUUUUAACCCUUAACAGUUGGUAUAUAUUUUUUAAUAAGAUUAUUAAUGCAUCAAGUAAUCUUGUUUUGAUGAUUGUAACUCGUGACUGCGGGAAAAUUUCUAAUGGAAACAACUCAAUUUCGGAAGAAAACUUGAUUUUGCAAGUGAUGAAUUUGAACUCGUUGGAUUGGUUGAUUUAUGAUUGACUGAAUUUCACUUUUCCUCAUAAGAUCUUUAACCAAAGUUUAAUAGCUAUCAUGUACUCCUUAAAAGCAAUUUUUUUUUUUAGAUUUGACUGAAUUUGAACUUGUUGGAUUGGUUGCUUUUAGAUUAUUAAUAUGAGAUAUUACAACGUAAAUAUUUUCAUGUGGUUGAGCCCUAUUCUAAAAUCUGUAUAGUUAGCUUUAGAAAAAGGGCUUUUCCUGCUGAUCUGUAAUCUUGAAAUAAACUUAGAUACAAAUAAUGAAAUAAAGGACAACAAACAAGCAAUACUGAUACAAAGCCAACAGAUCAGAGUUUUUGGUACAAAUCCAAUAAAAGACAAUAAACUUAGGACCUUUUUUUCUUGCUUUCUUUUGUUGAAGGAUUAGAGUUUUUGGUAUUAUCAGUAAAGGUUUCAAGGAGUAAAAGCCUAUAAACUUUUUUUUUGGGGGAGCGCCGCCGGGGGGGGCGGGGGAGAGCAUGCAAAUUAACCAAAAGAAAUAAUAAGAGCACAGGCUUUAACAAUGAAUACUGACUUAAAACUCAUGCAAAAUAAGUUACAAUACUAAAACAAACCAGAGAAAUUUUUUUCUUGGAAAGUAGAUGGAACUUAUGAAAGAGCAGAUGUCAAGGAUUUAGAAAACGUGCACCUCUUUAAUUACCUGGGAUUAGAGAGUUGGUGAGCUUCUCUAUUUAAGAACAAGUUGAAAGAGGAAAAAGAUCACUGGUAACUGCUGAGGAAUGUGUGAGAAAAGAGUUGAUGAGAGCAAUAACAAUGACCUGCAAAAGAAACAGAAUUAGUCAUUCACCGCUUUUCUAUAUCAUGUAUUUGGUUAUUGUUGCCCUGUUGACGCAUGUUGAAGAAGAAAGCACUAGUUCACAACUCUACGUUUUCAUAUAUUCUAAAGAAAUAAUUAAGCUUUCAUAGAAUAAUACCUGUUGUGUUUGAGUAAUUUUGGUAUAUACAUUGCUUGUGUACUGUGAAAUUGAAAUGAAUAUUGAUUGACAGAGCAAUGUAUAUGCCUAAUAAAACACAAAGCAAAUACCGGAAUUCCCCUUUUAAGGUGAAGGCCUUACUCAAUUCCUAUUGGAAUUGCAACGAAUGAUUCGGGACUAAAACUUUUAUAAAAGCAAAUACCGGAAACACACAAAAAGCAUUUAAGAGAGAAACUAAACAGCAAAUAAUAGAAGUAAGAUCAAUAAUAUAUGAUUUGAUUUAUGCAUAUUCAAAAACCAAAAUAUAAAAUAAAAUAAAAAAAUAAAGUUUGAUUUAUUCUUUCCACAAAAAACAGGGGAAUGAAAACAGAGGCAACUUGUUUUACCAAUUUUUUCUUCUUAAUUUCCGGCAAAAAAAAAAAAUUCAAUAAACAGGGGAAUGAACACAAAGGAACGAAAACAGAGGAAACUUGCUUUUCAGGCUAUCUUGUGACAUGAUGAUAUUGCUCGUGAAUGCAUGAAAAUUUCUAAUGCAAACAGCUCAAUUUGGGAUGAUAAGCUUAAGUUUGCAAGUGAUGCAAGUAAAUAAGUUUUUGCGGUUAAUUGAAUCUUUAAUACUCUGGGCCCUAUUCUAAAAUUUGUAGGUUGCUUCAGAAGAAAGGGCAGUUCUCACUCAUCUUUAAUCUCCAAGUAAAAUUAGAUACAAAGCAAAUCUAAUAAAAUGACAAACAAACAAACAAACAAAACAAAGAAAAGACAGGAGGCAAACAACAUUGAUCUUAAGCCAACUGAUAUUUUAAACAGAGAAUUCUUUUCUUUUAUUUUUUUUAACCACCUUUUGCUCAAGGAUUAGAGUUUUUAUAUUAACAGAAAGGUUUCAGGGGUCUGAAUAAAAGCCCACAAUUUCUCUAAUUGUUAUUUUUUUUUUUAUUAUUGAAAGGAGCUUCACUAUUGGCCUUGAACAUAUAAGAAUGAGCAAAAGAUCAAUGUCAACUGCCGAGGAAUGUGAGUAAAGAUUUCAUCAGAGUAAGUAAUACAAAUGAAUUGUAAAAGAACAAGACUUAAGCGUGCACCCCGUGUUUUGUUUUAUUGUACGUAUAAACAUAACAUGUUCAUUUUUAACAAAGUGGUCAAUUACUCUUUUUUUUUUUGGUACAAAGACGUGCCUAGCAUAGACUAGGGCAAAACAAAACGGGGGUGUGAAACCCCAAUACAAUUAUGACGAAUCCAAAACCCAGCCCCUAAAGGAAGAGAAUUGAAAAUGUGCAAUCCAACAGGGAGUGAAAGAGCAGAGUUUGCAAGAAAGUCAGCUGCAAAAUUUGAUUCUCUGUAAACAUGCUUGACCUGCACUUGCCAGGUUUUGUUAAGCAAUUCCUUAAUACCCCUGACAAGAGAAGCAUGUGCAUUUGGCCUAAUCUCGUCAUCCGCCACCAAAAGAGUAACACAAAGGCUGUCAAUCUCCACAUGAAGCUGCCGAAUUCCAUUAUCCCAAGCCAGACAUAACCCUUGAUAAAGGCCCCAUAACUCAGCACCAGUGAUGGUACCCACACCAAUAUUCAUUCCAAAACCAAUUAUCCACUCUCCAUAACAGUUUCUAAUCAAGCCAUCUGCACUAGACAGACCAGAACUUUUACGAGCUCCAUCUGUGUCGAGUUUAAACCAAGGCCAAGUAGGUGCCACCCAUCCAAAAUAUUCUCAAUCUUCAUGGCAGCAGGAACCAAACAACUCUAAUUAAUCUUUUGAAUUUCUUCUGUACGGAUCUUAAUAUCCAUUACAACAGUACUCUUGCUGUUGCUGGUAAAAACACCAUUAUGCAGAUUUUGGUUACGCCAAAACCAAAGCCUCCAAACUGUGACCCCAAAAAGACACGGCCAGUCAAACAUACCAUCAUACUUCCACAAGUUCCUCAAAUUAUAUAACAUCCAAUCUCGGAGAUUCAAACUAAAAAAUUAAUGACUAAUCCCAUGGGGUAUCAAUGACGACCAGACAUGCUUAGCACUGGGGCAAUCCCGUAGCACAUGAAGAGUAUUUUCAACAACACAGCCACACUUUGCACAGCUCAUAUCAUCAACAAUAUGUCUCCGGAAAAGUUCUGCUUUAGUUUUAAGUCUAUUUUGACCCACCACCCACAGAAAGGUUUUGAUACGUUGGGGACCUCUCCACUGCCAAAGAAUGCGCCAAAAUGAUUCUUCAUUGUGAACCUCCAUUUUUGACAAAGCCCUAUAUGCUGAAUUAGUAGUGAAAUCUCCUGACUUAGAAUAUGCCCAGUUCAUGUAAUCAUCCUCAUCAUUUACACUGGGAGGCUUGGUGGCUGCAAUUUUGAGAAGUAAAUGAUGGGGCAAUAAAUUCUCAAAAAGCCGCCAAUUCCAAGUACCCUCAACAGUGAUAAACCUCACCACGCACUCCUCAAGCUGCUCUAAAGGUAUCGGCUGCAAAGCGAAAGUAUACAAAGGGUAUUCCUCUGUUACCCAAUUAUCCCACCAAAAUCUAACUCGGUUGCCAUUUCCAAUGUCCCAUUUGAUCCCUUUUAAAACCUCAUGCCAAAUGCCUCCCACAGCCUUCCACAUGUAAGAGCCACAUUUCGUAGGUAAUGUGCUGGGGAGAGCAUUAGGAGCCAGCCCAUACUUAGACAAGAGAACCUUCAACCAUAAACUAUUUGGAGAAGCAAUUAAACCGCCCCCAAUCUUCAUGAGCAGAGCAUCAUUCAUUAAAUUAAGCUGCUUAAGACCAAGGCCUCCGCUAGGUUUCGGUUGACAUAUUGUAUCCUAUUUCACUAAACUGAUUUUCUUCUUGUCUGCUGUCCCGCUCCAAAUAAACCUCCUACAAGCCUGAUCAAUUUUCUCCCGAAUACCAAACGGAAUCCUCGUGGUCUGCAUUGCAUAAAUAGGAAUCGCCUGGAUUACCGAUUGAGUGAGAGUGAUCCUACCCGCCAAGGACAAAUGUAUCGCAUUCCACCGCAACAAAUGUUGGUUCACUUUGUCCAAAAUUCCCUGAUAAGUUAGCUUAUUAACCCGUGAAUGAAUAAUUGGCAUUCCUAAAUAUUUCCCUAGGUUUUUUGUGACAGAAAAACUGAAGGAAUCACCAAUUUCCUUAGCCUCAGCAAACUUUACGUUGUGGGAGAAAAAAACUUAUGUCUUUGUUUUACUAACUUUCUCUCCAGAGCUCAUACAAUAAACAUUCAACACUUCAUUUAUAACCAUUGCUUGCCUAGAGGAAGCCUCUGCAAGCAAGAUAAGAUCGUUAGCAAAAAAUAAGUGAGAUAAAGAGGUACCUGCACGAGACAGUUUAAUAGGUUUCCAGUACCCUCUCUUCACAGUGUCAUUUACUCCAUGGCUUAACCUUUCUAUACAUAACACAAAGAUAUAUGGGGAAAUGGGGUCUCCCUGUCUAAUACCCCUAGAAGGGGUAAAACUCUCCGUAAUUUCUCCAUUCCAUAGAAGUUGCAUAGUCGCCGUUGUAAUACAUUCCAUAAUAAGCUGAACCAAAACAGUAGGCAAUCCAAACUCCCUCAAGGUUUCAUAAAUAAAAUCCCAGCUUAAACGAUCAUACGCCUUUUCCAAAUCCACCUUAAUGGCCAUCUGCCCAAUCCUCCCUUUCUUACGUCUCAUCUAAUGAAUAACUUCCUGAGCAACCACUAUGUUUUCCGUUAUGUGUCUCCCCGGGAUAAAACUAGUCAGGGUAGGAAUGAGGUCAGGCAAGAUAGAUUUCAGCCGGUUAGCUAAUAACUUAGUGAUAGUUUUAUAGAUAACCGGGCAAAGACUAAUCGGACGAAAAAGCUUAAGGCUAAUAGGAUUAUCCGACUUAGGAACCAACACAAUCAGAGUUUUGUUCAGCUCCUUAAGGAUCUCGUUGCCAUUAAAAAUACCUUUUAUAAGACUACAGACAGAUUUUCCCACUACAUGCCACUGGGUCUGGUAAAAGAGAGCAUGCAACCCGCCUAUUCCAGGGGCUUUCAAAGCCUUCAUGCUGAAGAUCACAUUCUUAAUUUCCUCAUCCUCCACUGCUUGUCCCAAAGCUUGCAUUCGACUUUCCUCAAGGACUGGGAAGGCGUUAACAACAUGGUAUGGAUGAUAGAUUGCAUCCUCUUUGGGAUAGAGCUUUGAAAAGAAGGACACAGCAUAAUCUCUAAUCUCAUCAUUAUUCAACAACCAAUAACUCUAUUCGUUAUGAAAUUGAUAUUGUACCCAAUUUUAAGAGAGCAUAAUAAUAACCAUUCAAUGCAUAAAUUUAGAAUUAGGUUUUUUUUUGUAAUUCUUUAUUUAAAUAUAAACUUCAAUGGAAAAUUAUAAAAAUUUAGAUAUAAAAUUUUAAAUCACCGGACCAAAAAAAAAAAAAAGGGGAACGGAAAUAGAGGAAUCUUGCUUUACCUUUUUUUCCUUUAACUCUUGUUCUUAUAUAAAUAAUCUUGUUUUGAUGAUUGUAACUCAUGACUGCGGGAAAAUUUCUAAUGGAUUUGUUAUGCAAGUGAUGGAUUUGUUCAAUUGACUCUGUACUUGAACUAGUUGGAUUGGUUGAUUGAUGAUUGACUAAAUUUGAAUUAAGUUUAAUAGCUUAGCUAUCAUGUACUCCUUAAAAGCAAACGUAAAUCUUUUUUAGAUUUGAAUGAAUUUGGGAACCUGUUGGAUUGAUUGUUUAUAGAUCAUUAAUUUCAGAUACUACAACGUAAAUAUUUUCUUGUGGUUGAAUACCGGUUCUGCUUUAAUGAUUUUGGCAUAGACAUUGCUUGUGAACUGUGAAAUUGAAAUGAAUAUUAAGUGACAGCGCGAUGUAUAUGCCUAAUAAAAGAUCAGCAAAAGCUUGGAUGAAUGAUUGAAGACCAAAACUUUUAUAAAAGCAUUUUUGAGAGAAACUAAACACCAAAUUAUCAAAGUAAGAUCAACAGUAUAUGAUUUGAUCUAUACACAUUCAAAAACAAAAUGAUGAUUAAUAAUAAAGUUUGAUUUUGUAUUGCCAACGAUGCUUUUUUGUUGUUUCAUUUGUUCGACGUGGCCUUAUUUACAAAUUGGUUUAUGUUAACAGAAACAUGAAAUUCACAUCACACAAAAUUGCACGAACAAAUAUUAAGAGAACGUAAUAAUAAUCAGUCAAUGCGUAAGGGUAAAUUUAGAAUUACAUAUUCUUUUUUAUUUAAUAAAAUCCCAACGGGAAGUCAUAAAAAUUUAGAUAUAAAAUUUUCAAUCACCAAACGAAAAAACAGGGGGAAUGAAAACACAGAAAACUUGUUUUACCUUUUUUUUUUUCAUCUAAUUCCUGUUCUUAUAUAAUAUUUUCCCUAGUAUUUCGGGCAAGAAAAAAAAAAUUCAACAAAGAGCAAGUUGCUCAGAUUGAUUUAUCUUGUUUUUCAGGUUAUCUUGUGAAAUGAUGAUAAUGCUCAUGAAUGCUAGAAAACUUCUAAUGCAAACAACUCUAUUUGGGAUGAUAAGCCUAAUUUUACAAGCGAUAAAUAUAAAUAACUUUUUGUGGUCAAUUGAAUUUGUAAUUACUCUUAGCCCUAUUCUAAAAUUUGCAGGCUGCUUGAGAAAAAAGAAUAUUUCUCACUCAUCUUUAAUCUUCAAGGAAAAAACAAAUCUAAUAAAAUGACAAACAAACAAACAAACAUAUAAAAGACAGCAAACAAACAACAUUGAUCUUAUGCCUACUGAUAUUUAAACAGAGAAUUCUUUCUUCUUUUUCUCUUCAUGGAUUAGAGUUUUUGCUAUUAACAGAAAGGUUUCAAGGGUCUGAAUACAAUCCCAGACUUUUUUUUAACUUUGUUUUUUGUGGGAAAAUGGAUUCAAGUUAACCAAAGCCAAUAAUAAGAUCACAGACUUUAACAAUGAACAAUAACUUAAGCAAAACCAAUGACAAGAUUAAAACAAACCAGAGAAAUUUUUCUCGGAAAGUAGAUGAAAAGCAAGUAAGAACUGCUAUUAAAUAUUAUUAAAGGAUUUAGAACAUGUAUACCUCUUUAAUUAUAUGGGAUCAGAGAAAUGACCUUCUCUAUUCGCUUCGGAUAUUAAGUAAGAACUGCUAUUAAAAGAAUGAAUUGAUGAGAGUAAUAACAAUGAAUUGCAAAAUAGGAAGACUCAAUCAUGCACCCCUUUUAUACCCGAUUUUUAAGAUUUAAUUUUGAAGUUCACCAAUCAAGAACAAAGAAAAAACCUUAAUAAAGAAUGCAGUGAGAAUAAUUAAGUUAAAGAAAGUACUAGGUUAUGGCUCUGCGUUUCAUAUGCUGUAAUGAAAUAAUUAAGUUGAAGUUUUUAACGAUUAAAUACCUGUUGUGCUAGAAUAAUUUUAGAAGAAUAUUGGCUUAUAGAGCAUAUUAGUAGGGAUAAGAUUUGUAAGAUGCCAGAUAAAAGAUAAAGCGAAAGCUUGAAUGAAGAAUGGCAUUUAAUAAUUAUAGAAGAAUAUUGGCUUAUAGAGCAUUUUAGUAGUGAUAAGAUUUGUGGACAGAAUAAAUGAAAUAAUAAAAGGCAUAACUGAUCAAGUCAUUAUUGAUCUUACUUUGAUUAUUACAUUGCACAUUAGUUUCUUUCUAAAAAUGCCAUUCUUCAUUCAAGCUUUCGCUUUAUCUUUCAUCAGGCAUCCUACAAAUCUUAUCCCAACUAAUAUGCUCUAUAAGCCAAUAUUCUUCUAAAAUUAUUAAAUUCCAUUCUUCAUUCAAGCUUUCAUGGACACUAUUUACAAAUUGUUCUUGUAUUUGACAGAAAAAUGAAAACUCCUCAUCAUACAAAACUGCAUGAACAAAUCUUCAAUUUAAUUAUGAUAAAAUAAUUAAUUCCAUUAAUAGAUUAUGUUGUUUUUUUUUUUUUUGUCUUGACCACAAGGUAUCCUGGGAAGGGCCCCAACUGUGGGAGGCAUUUUUAAGCCCGUACCACAACCCAUACUAGAAGUCCCCACUCGAACCGGGAGGCACAAGUUCUCCCAACAAAGGCGACUUCCCUGCAAUUCGAACUGGGGAGCAAACCCAGUCAAUCCACUUAAGGGGACUCCAUUGCCAGUGGAGCCAACACUUUGUUGGUUAUGUUGUAUGUUAAUGUGAGGGAUUUGAUCAGGUGAUCAUAUAAUUUACUAAACGCUUUAAGAAGAACAAGAAUUAAUGAGUUAAAAAUUAAAAAAUAAAUAAAUAAAGAGUAGAUGGAAAGAAUGUUAUUUGCAAUCACUAAACCAAAGAACAGGGGAAUGAUAAGAGAGGACGGUUACUGCAACAUUAUGAAGUCAAAAUUAAGAAAGGCAUUCUUUUUUUUUUCACAUUAUUCUAUUUAAUCUUUCAUAAGGCGCACACUACGAAUCUAAAUUAAAUUCAUAAUUAAGAAUAAAAGAUAAACCCAAACAAUCAUCUAGCAGGUGCCGUGUAGACUGCAUCAAAAAUUUAGAUUUAGAUUUUUACAAUCACCAAAUGGAAAAACAGGGGAAUGAAAACAAAGGUGCCGUGUUUGUAGAAACAGGGGAGUUUCCGGGUUUCUGGAAACAAACUCAGAAACGAAUAAAUCUCUUGGUGUAUAUAAGCUUUCAUCAUCUGGUUUUAGUUUGGUUAGGUUUAACUACAUUUCCUGGGUAGCAUUACUUAUGCUAGUAUAUUCAUUUCUACCCAAGCCACAGUGACUGUUAGGAGUUCUCGUAAACUGAAUUUAAAGUUGCGGCUUAAAGUGUUUACCAACUUAAAACCAGAGCUAUAAAGUGUUUGAUGAAUUAUUUUUUCAUUAAAAAAAAAAAAACUGAUUUAGCGGGAUAAAAUAAUGCUCCAUUCCGUUUAGUAAGUGAAGUCCAGAGUAUUACCUACUACUAACUAAAUCCGCUUGAUUCACAAGACUACCAAGAGAUGACUGAAUCUUCAAUGUAAUAAAAUAAUAAUCAGCCUCACAGGAUACAUAAAAAGCUCAUUUUUCACAACCAUAUCCUAGUGCAUCAUAAACUUGAUUAUUUAAUUUUACUAUUAGGAAACCUACUUAUAUAAGGCGCACACUACAAAUUCUAAAUUAAAUUUUCAACUAAGAAUAAAAGGUAAACCCUAGCAGUCUUCCACCAGGUGCCGUGUAGCCUGCAUCAUAAAUUUUGAUUUAAAUCUUUGUAAUCACCGAACAGAAAAACAGGGGAAUGAAAACAGAGGAGCCCUCAUUUUUUUAACCCUUAACUCUUGUUCUUCUAAUUAUAUUUUUACUUGGAAUUUCAGGCAAACAACAAAAAAUAGUGACAACUAUUCAGAGAGAACAGGUGGAUGAUAGCAAAAAUAUUUUUAAUUAAUAUGCAUGAUUAACUCUUGUUCUUCAUUAUUGGUAGUCUCUGUGGGCUCAUUUCGUCUCCAGACCUGAUAUUGUAUAUCUCUUUUUGAAUAUGCAUGCUGCUGAAUAAAGAUGAUUACUUCCAAAUUUUUGUUGCUUUUUUUUUUUUUUUUUGGGCUUUGGUGCAUGAAGAAUGUGGAAAUAGAAAUAGCUUUCGAAGUUUAAUGGCUUGCUUCAUUAGUAAAGAAAGACAAGGAUAUCUGUCCCUUUUUGUUACUGAAUUAUUGAUCAAUUGACGGUUGAAGUUGGUUAUAUUAAUUUGUUGUACAAGAAUUGAAGCUUAUAUCUUAGCCGUUUCGUGAAGUGUCAAAUAUGUUCUUUCCUUGCAAUUGUUCAAAAUAUGUUAUUCUUUUGAAGUCACUAUUACAUAAAGGGUGUUGUAAAAUAGGGAAAGGCGGGUUUAUGAUUAGAUUUUAAUAUGUUUAAUUCAAGGAUUAACCGAAGCUAUUAACCAACGGCUACUAACCGAAAACCGAAUUUAACAAUAAACACUAACUCAGAAUUCAAGAAAAUUAAAUGACAAGAUUGAGACAAAUGAGAGAUAUUUUUCUUGGACAUUAAGAAAGAACUACUACCAAGAUCAAGGAUUAGAGAUUAUAUAUGCUAUUAUUAAUAGAAAUUAUUAAAGGAUUUAGAACAAGUUCACCUCGUUAAUUAUCUGGGAUGAUGAGUUUCUAUAUUCACCUUGAAUAUAUAAUAACAAUUUUAGUGAGCAAAAGAUCACUGGUAACUGCAGAGGAAUGUGUGAGUUUAAGAGCUUAUUAGAGUAAGCAAUACAAAUGAAUUUUCAAAUUAUGUACUUGGUCAUUGUUGUCCUACUGACGCACGUUUUUUUUCAUGAAUAAUUGCCAGAUCAGAAAAGAAUAAAUUCGGUUGAUUGAAAGAUUGCUGAAGUAAGUAAAACAAUCUUCAUAUCGAACAUGAUUCCAAUUAAAUUAAUCUUUUUAUAAGAUGACUAAUAAAAGAUAAAAGUAGAAGCUUUGAUGAAUGAACGAUGACCAAAACUUUUGUAAAAGCGGAUGCCGAUAAAAUAAACAAAAGGCACUUUAAAAAGAAACUAAAGUGCGAUCAUCAAAGUAAGAUCACUAAUGAUGCUUCGCUAUCACAAGGUCCGCAUGGACAUUAUUUACAAAUUGUUCUUAUGUUUCACAGAAAAAAAUGAAACACUGUUCAUCAUACAAAAUUGCAUGACCGAAUCUUCAAUUUUUAUAAUUAUAAAAUAAUGGAUUAUGGGUAUGUUAAUGUUACGGAUAUGAUCAGAUCAUCAUAUAAGUUACUAGAAGCAUUAACAAGAACAAGAUCUAAUGAGCUAAAAGUUUUUUUUUUAAAAAAAGUUAAAUAAAUAAAGAGUAAAAGUAAAAAAAUGUUAUUUGCAAUCACCAAAAUGAAAACAGAGGAGCCCUGUUUUUCCUCUUGUUUCUACUUCUCUCUUUUUCAAGUAGUAGAAAAUGAUAUCAGAGUAUGAGAGCUCACUGCUUUCAUUAGUUGGAAAGUGUCGCCUAAAACACUUCCUCUGCUGGGUGGAAUUGUUGGCUUGAAGAGAUGAGUUCUUGUCACGAGCACAAAUUUUAGCUGUACAUUAUUUCCUUUUAAAUGCACCAUUGUUGCACAGAUUUGAACCAUAUGAUCAUUAGUUUUUUGUUUUGAUUUGGUUAGUUCGUGAUGACAAAUGAAUUAUUUUCAUCACAUUGUCAUUAUGGUAAAAAGUUGCCCUCUUUGUUACUUCCACAGCUAUUUAGUUUAAUAUUUUGUAAUAAGAUCACAAAGUGCGUGGGAACUAUUGUUCGGGUACUUUAGCCUAAAAUGAAGAUCUAUUAAAAAUUUCCCUGAUGUCAUGAUAUAAAACAAUAAAAGGUACCAACUUCAGCUUAAAUUCAUAUAAAAUUAAACCUUACCACAUACUGUAUUGAAACAAAUUACUCAUCUUUAUUGGUAACAUCAUCACCUUCAUAAAAUAUAUGGUAUCGUACAAAGUUCUUGCGCUGGGUUCGGGCAUCUAACAACGAGGACACAGCAACCUAUUCGCUAGGUUAGAGACCAAAUAGCCAACAGCAAAAUGUGCACGACGCAUGUCACUAUCAUGAAAACAACAUUCUUUUUCUUUUUUUUUUUCCCCUCAAUAAUUUCAGAUAUAAUAUUUUAACUAAGUUUGUAACACUGUUGAUUGAAAUUAUCAAGUACGAAUGUGUGUAGAUUUUAACAUGUGCACUCAUAAUUAUUAUUGUGCAGUUUUAGACUUGGUUGGGUAUUGAGGUGCUAAAACUUUUGCCGUAAGAAAAAAAAGUUUUGCAAAAGUUUUAAGUAUAAAAUAAAAGUUAAUAGUAUAUAAUAAAUUUAGUUUUUUUAAUAAUAAUUUUGAUAAAAUUAUAAAAGAUAUAAUAAAUUUUUUAUCAUAUAAGUGUAAAAUCAAAUCAUCUUAACUUUUAAACUACAACAACUAUAACAUUUUAACUGUUCAAUCUCAAUCCUAAAUAGACCCUUAAUUUAUAAUUAGAUUGUCACUAAAAGAUUUUAAGUAUGUAUUUUAGAAUUUAACGAAUACACUUUUAAACUACCUUUGUCAGAUGAAAUGUUGGGAAAUUUUUAUUAAGCUCCAAAAGUGUUUGAAAUAAAUUUAUGUUUUUAUGAUACCAAAAAAAAAAAGAUUUAUGAACAUUUUUGUGAAGCUUAGGCGAAAAUUUUUGUUAGGCUCUAUUGGGCUAGAUGAGCAGCUCGGGCAGUUAAUUAUCGCCCAAAAAGCCCAACCCAGAUUACAACAAGCUGGGAUUUGGUUAGCUCGUUGACGGCCAUUUGGGUAUGCAUGAAUUGGGUGGAUGAUUAAUAAAUACGAUUUAUUAAUUAUUUCGCCGAUUUGAAUAUUCUCCUAAUUUAAUCUUUUCUAAUAUUAUAAUAACGAGAUUUUGACAUGUGUUAUACCUGUGUUAUUUUAAUAAUCCAAUAGAUAAUAUCUACUUUAUUUUUAUCUUUCGUUAUUAAAUACAAAAACACUAAUAGAAAAAAAAAAUGACUUAACUCUUUUUAUAUUUUUAAUUUUUAUUUAUUUCCGUUUAUUGCUUUCCUAGCAAUGUUCAUCUUUUUACUCUACAACAUCCAUAACCUUAACUUUGGAAAUAAAAGAGAAUAUGCGAAAGUAUAAGUAGGAGAAAGACUUCAUUGAAAUCAAACGAAUUGGGCAACGUUAGAUUUUUCUUUAAAAUUCUCAUGCGAUAUUAAUUAGUAGUAUUAUCGUUGUUGCCUGCCUACUUCUAACCUCAACCAAUAUAUGAUCAAUGCUUGAUUUGGUCAAUCUAAAUAAUUAUAAUCGAUGAUAGGAUAUUGUUGAAGGGCGGCCCUAAGGAUGAGAGAGGGAAUGCGUGUGCAAGCCACAUGUGUGAAGAAAAAGAAAAACGCAAGAGUGAAGAUGACGGCGAUUAAGAUCGUGUUUGAUUUCUUUUCCUGUUUAAUUUUAGUUAAUAUGCUGUUGUUAGUUCCAAAAUUUGAGUUAGCAACAAAAUGACAUGUUUUUGUGUUUAAUAAGGAAAAAGUAAAUAAUAGAUUUUCUAUAGGAUUCUUGGAAUGGAUUAGAUUAGACUAUGGAGAGAAAUAUAUUUGAAAAUAUUAGUGUUGAGUCAUUCUAAUGUCUUUAAUAGUAAAUUCAAUUAAGAAUAUUUUAGUAAUAUAAUUUUUUAUUAAAAUUAGAGUGUUCAAAGUUAGUAAUAAAAAAUUCAUAUAACUCUGGAUUUUUUUAUUGAAUUUAUAUAACUCUGGAUUCUUUUUUUUUUUUUUUUUUCCAACACUGAUAUGGUUCUGUUCUGUGUAUUUAUAUACAAUUUAAUGUUUACAUACAAGUUAAAUUAUAUACAAUCCUUCAAGUCGUAACUCAAUUUUAUGGAGGUUUAUACAUCUUUCAACGAUCAAUUUAAUAUUUAUAUACAAACCUCCGCAUCUUUCAACGAUCUCAUCUGCUGAUUUUUUGUAUUCCUGUUCUUUCACUUCAAUAAUUUUUUGUAUUAUUCCAUAUCUUUCACUUUAAUAACCCAAAAGCUUUCCUCUGUUUCAAUCGAAAGAAAACCCUAGCUUAAACUAAGAGAAAAUUUACAUAUUAAAGCUAAUUAGUACUGAAUUUUUUCUGGUGGUGCGACCAGAGGUGGAAACAGGGUAUGAAAAUGCGUUACUGGUGAGGUUGCUGCUUAAGAUGAGAAUGCAUUCUUUUCAAAAAUCCUUGGUAGGUGUUAUCUAAUUAUCUUUGAUGGAAUAUUAAAUGGCUAAAAAUCUGUCAUACGUUCAAACUUUGUUUUUGUUUAGAAGAAUGGUGUUGACUGUAUAUUCGUUUGGAAGAAUGGUGUUGAUUGUAUAUUCAUUUGCUUAGCCUUUUGACAGAUGGAUUUGGAACUGACGACAAAUGUGAUUCAAUUUACAAGGUUUUCGAGGGGCUCACCGUGGAAGGGAUAUUGAAGAACUGGUCUAAGAUAAAGCCUAUGAUUGUGAAAGAUUGGAGUGAGAAUAUAGAUGCUCUUUUUCAUCUUUUUGGCAAGGUCAGAGAUGAAUGGAUAGAUAAGGAUUUAUUUGACUACUUGGACUGGUGCUAAUAGGUAUUUUAGGCAAGCUUUUUGAGAUAACACUGAGCAAGUUAUACUACUAUUUUGCACAUGAUGAUCUCGAAAAGUAAAAUAAAAUAAAUUAUUAACUUUUACUUUCAUCUUUUGCAUAGCAAUCAAUGUGGUGCUUGUUCUGUGACAACUUUGAUAAUCUACUUAAUUAUUGGUUAGCAUUUGGACCAAAAAAGUUCUUAUGAUUUACAUGUUUUGUAGAAAUGCAUGAACCUUAAAUGUGCUGAUCAGGGAGUUUAAUUAUUGCACCUUGAAAUUCAUUUAUUGUUAACUAAUUGGCUUUCCUUUGCAUAAAGCCACUUAUAAGGCUUGAGUGGACGUCUUUAUGGGCAUAUUAUUUGUAUUUCUAUAUGCAUGCCUUUAUCAUUUAAUGUGCUGCUUUUAUUUCUUUAUGCAUGCCUUUAUCAUUUAAUGGCCAGCUCCCUCUCCUCUUUUGUAAUUUGAAUAGUAGUAUGGGCCUCCAUUUUACAAAUCUUUAACAUCUUUUGCUGUAAAUUAAUUUUUCUUUCAAAUAUUCACUACUAGAAAAAUAGUCUUUACUGACUUUACAAUAGUAUCAGAAAUUACUUUCACUGACACUUGUUAAUUGUGUCAGUAAUCUGGGAGUCAGAAAAAUAGUGACACUUAUAAGUGGUGUCAGUGAUUACUAUUACUACAGUAUCACCGAUAUUAUGACACCAUAGUGUUAGUAGUUAUUGAUAUUUUAUUAGUGUCUAUAAUUACUGUUACCAUGGUAUCACUAAUUAAUAUAUUUUUUUAAAAAUAAAAAAUUGAAUUGGAUCAUUGCCUAUUGAUUUAUUUGUAAAAUUAAAAGCACCACAAAAUAACAAAAAGAAAUUGAUUUAUAUCACAAAAUCUUUCAUUUCACAUUUAAAUAUUAUUAGUAUAUAACUAAAUAAUCCAAAUUCAAUACAUAAAAAUUUCUACCAUCCAAUCAAAUGCCUACUACUUGUGGCUAAAUUUAUAAAUCUAGAAGUUAAAUUGAGAAUGAUGACUGUCUUUCACUCUUUGAAUAUGAGUAGUAUAAUUGCGUUAUCACACCAGCAGCUUCUCCAUUUAAUAAACUGUAUGGGUUAUGAUACAAGUGAAGUUGAGGAAUAAACACUUCAAACACAUUGAGCAAAUAUGCAUACAUGGAAAAGGGAGAAAAAAUUAGCUGCCAAUUCCCAACCAUUAGAGAAACAAUGGUUAAUAUAAAUAAAUCUAUUUUGUUCUAAAGAAAAAAUAUUCAUACACUAUUUAUAAGUAAACUCAAUUAUUUCUAAUGGUGGAGCACAUAUGUGUGAACAACAGAGCAUCACAUAGCUCAAAGUACAUUAACUGUUCUGUGUCUUAUUCAUUUUUCACUUUAGCUUUUAUUUUAGCAAUUUUUUGAGAAUAAGCUCCAACUCAGAAGGUGAAAUCCAACUUCCAUAUGUAGACAUUCUUGCAGCUGACAGCAAUUAGUUUGGGACUACGGCUUUUUUGAGCAUCUGGCAUGGAUUACAUUGAGAUAUACAAUUUACAUACAAACAUUAAAGAACUAAAACAUUAUUUAUAUUUAGAGACAAUUCAAAUGUCAGCAAACAUUAUUUAUAUUGGUUUAGCAAGUGGCACGACAAUUUUUUAGAUAGAAAUGUACAGAAACUAUAAAGGAAAAACAUUAUCAAGACACCAUUAAAGAAUCAUAGAGUACCUUUACCGGAUUUGUUUGCUUUGCAGGUGGGCUGUGAUGAUGAUGAGCAUAAAGCAUUUUCAUUUAAGCGGACAAGUGCCUUAGCUUCUUUACUUACUACAGACCACGUGUUCUCCCCAUCUAGCCUUGCACUUCCAAAAUCAUGAAAUCCAUCUUUGUGGAAUGUCUUAAUGCCAGGAGUGCGUGAAAAUUCUGGGAGUGCAUUGGCCUUCUAAAUAAAAAGAAACUCGUAAAUAAUUCUUGUGUCAAGUAACAAGGACAAAAAUUUACUUGGAAGCAGCGCAUCCAUGAAAAGAUAGACGCAGAUAGCUACAGAGACACAGUCAACACAUAAUAGCUAAUCCUAAACCUUAUUGGAUAUAAUACCUCAUUAGCAGAGAUUGCUUCGUCAUCUGAGGUACAUGUUGAUGCCUUCCUUGGCGAGAAGAUAAAACCAACCUCAUCAGGAAAUUCAGGCGUUUCAACCUCGUCUUCCACAAAGACACUUAUUUGCUUCUGUUACAGCGACAUACACAAAUGUCAGUUUCUCCUAAGAAAACUGGUCGGAACCUGAAAAUUCUAUUCAAAUUUAAUCACUUGCCUUUGGUGAUAAACUGCCAGCAAUCCUUCCACAAGUUUCUCCAUGAGUACCUGUAUGUCAGAAACCAAAUCUGUGCUUUGGAACCUAAACAUGAAUAUCGAUGAACAACACCCUCAACAAUCUCAUUAGCGUCAAAAACAUUUUAUUACAAAAUAAUACUACGGUUUCGGAGCGCACCUUUCAGUAUGUCUAGUCGCGAUUGAAGUUGCACUACUUCCUAUCAAUUUACAAAAAUCAUAGCAUGAAUAAAUAAAACAAUUGCCUCUAAAUUUACAAAAUCAACGUCAUCACAUCAAUUACGUGAUGGAUAACAAUUUAAGUAAAUUUUAAUAAAAAAUUAUUCAACAAUUAAAUCGAAUGACAAUUAAAUUAGUAAAUUGAAUACUGACCUCUUUCUCCGAUGGCCCACCCAACGAAACACAAUUAUCUCGUAAAUCGACGUUAAAAUCUUCCUCAUCUGCAAAUCAAAAAAUUUGAAAAACAGAGAAAUGCUUAAAACGCGUACAGUGUUUAGUGUAUACAUAACAUAAGAGUAUUUAAAAAAUAAUGGCAACCCUGUAUGAAAUGUCAAUCAAAUUACCAGAAAUGCUUUGAUCAGAAUCUUCAUCUCCCUGAAAGCGCAUAAGAUCCCGGCAAAAUGAAAAGAAAAAAAUAAAACGAAUUAUCAUCUACAAAAAAAAACAACUUUAGUUGGUUAAAAUCUACAAACUAAGUGCGGCUCGGAUAGCAGAAUAUGACUAGAAAAACAAAAACAUUAUUGAGUAACCAGAACAUCUAACAUCGCAUAUGGGCACCAGAACAAAAUUCAUGCAAAAAUAUGGAAGUUGAAAAAUCAGCAAAUGCCGCUAACCGAGUUAAUGGAAUGCGAAACCUGCCUAGAUAGUGGAGGAGUUCCGGUAAAGGAGGACCAUCAAGCACAGCUAAGGAGGAAGAAUGCAACUUAAAAUAGUUAUAGUUUCAUUACGAAUUAAAAAAGUUUAAUCCUCUAAUUUUCAAUACAAUGGCAUCUCCUAUUCAUGCGCAUGCAUCAGCAGCAUUGUUAUUGAUAGAACUGAAAAAUUGGCACUCGGAUAAUCAUAUGGUUGUAGACACUGCUCCAAAAUAAUCAUUAAACAUGGAAACUAAUAAGGCCACAGGUUCUGGAAUGCCAAAAGCUGCACGCAUAUAUAUGGGUCAGUCACGAAUAAAAAGAAACGAAUUAUCAUAACCUCGACACGAAUGGGCGUAGUCACUAUAGGAUCAGAGCGGCACAGCCCUCAGCCACUAUAGGCAGGGGUUAUAUUAAUGGUUGUGAAUGAAUAAAUUCAAAUAUCAACUUUAGUAAUCAACUUAUUAAUUUACAAGUAUUUUUUUAUAUUAUGAUAUCGUAUACUCUACUAAUUGUAUUUAAAAUAUACACACACACAUACAUACAUAUAUACCAACUUAUAAUUGUGAGGUAAGCUAAGACUCGAAGCUAUUCCUUAACAAUCUAACACUCUAUAUAAUCUCAAGUGUGGAAAACCAGCAGAGAAACCAAGUUGCUUAAACUCUUGUUCAGUCAUGUGUUUACCUUUGGCCCUGUAGAUGGUCAUAACAAAAAUGUCCCCUUCUAAGAGAGCACGAGUCCUCUGACUUUCAUUUGAAUCAUCAGGCAGCACAGGCUCGCAAGCAAUCAGUUUUCCUCCUGCAGGAAUAGCCUUGUAACAAUUCUCCAUUAUCAGCUUGCAUUCAUCAUCAGUCCAUGUAGUUAAAACCCACUUCAUAAAGAUAGCAUCAGCGGCAGGAAUGGACUUAAACAUGUCCCCACCAAUAUGGGUCACUCCAGGGAUACUUGGAGCUUCGGCAACAACCUCAGGCAAAUCAAAAUUGAUCCCUUCACAUAUAAAACGAUGUUUCUAUAAUAUCAUCCUCAGGCAAUCACCUGCACUCCCACCCACAUCAACCAAUCGCUUCACACCUUUGAACCCAUCGUAACCGUCCAAAAUGGACGUCAUGAACGGCACGGACACUCCCGACAUGGCUUUUCGCAUCAAGCCGUUCAUUUCAGGCAUCUUCCCAUAAUAACUAUAUGUCGGCUCGCCAUGGACUUUCACAAAUGGCUCAAUAGUUGGGUCCAGAAUGGCCUCGUGCACCAAAGGCCACGCGCUCAUAAGCGCGUCCUGGUGAUGCUGGAGCACGUAGGGCGCGUACGAUUGACCCUCGGCAUCAGUAACGAGGGAUUUCCCAAUCUCGGUGAGGCUGUACUUCCUUUCGCCUCCAAAUUCGCGAUGCUCCGAGAACACGCCGUAGUUGGUGAGCAAGCGGAGGAUACGUUGCAAGUUCUCGGCGUCCCCACCGCCGGAUGGGAGGAUACGUGUCAAGAUCUGGGAGGCGGAGAGAGGGGUGUUGGCCAGUCUUCCCUUCUUCCCGCCAUCUCUGCACUCGUUAUCUUCCAUUACUGCUUACUGACCUUUGAUUUCGCAGCACCAUGCCGGCCAAACAAAAAGAUAAGACCUGAGCACUUUUUGACAAUUUGAAUGUUAGGGAUUUUUCAGAUGUGGGGAGCUUAGGAGGGAACGAAUACUUUGGUAGAGGGAGUUGAAAAGUUGUAUUUUGGAUAAGAUAAAGAUUUGUUCAUUUGUUUUGUUUUUAUCCACUCAAAAAGUACAAAUUCUAAAAAAAUUAAAAAUAAUUCGUAGUCUAGUGGUCUUUUGAUUCAAUGUAGAAGUUCUAGGUUUAAGCAGUCUUGGGUUCGAAUUCAGACUAAAACAAAAUUAGAAUGAUAAUUUUUAAUUACUGAUACUUAAGCGUCAUUGAUCGCUAUUACUAAAGUUAUUGAUACUUCAGUAUUAGUAAUUAGUGAUACAUAUCUGUUAAACGCGGAAAAUAAUCUAAAUAUAUGUAUAUAUUGAUACUUUUAAAUAAAGUGUCAGAACACAAGUAUCAGUAAAGACCAUUUUUCUAGUAGUGAUUUUGGAGGUCAUUGGAAUUCCUGUAGGUCUAUUUACCAGAUUUUAGUAAGUUUAAGGUUUUAAUUUUGCUUAGACUUUAAUUUUUCUGAAAGAUUGUAGUAUUGAUCCUUAAAGAAAGAUCAUGCUACUUCAAAUUAUUUUGAAGUGUUGCUAGUUAUAGCCUUACAUAUAAAAUUCCAUUUGUCUGGAAAUUUAUUGAUAGCUGUUACAGCAGCAUAUUUUAUGACUCUACUUCUUAGUUAUGUAAGUUCAUUAUGUUUAGGUCAGAGGCAGUCAGCUGUGGGGAAUUGAUAUAUACACAGAUGACUUUGAUCUUGUUGCCGGUAUGUGGUUCUAUGAAUAAUUGUUCACAAUAAUUGUGUUUGCCUCACUGUUUUUGUUUUAUGAGAUCUAUAAUUGAUCUUGGGAUAUUACUUUCUAGUUCUCAUGCAAGCAAGUUACUACCUUCCCACUGUAUCUCCUCCUUUAUCUGCUAUUCAAGAGUUGCGUGCCAUAAUCUGGUGUUACCUCUGCAAGAUUGUGAAUGAAUAUAAUGCCUCUAAAUUUAUUUUAUACAUAAUGCUGAUGCUGAAUAAUAUAUUGUAGCUCCUGUCAUAUUCUACUUUGACUUUUUAUAUUCUGUUUCAUAUAAAAAUCUUAUUCAACUUUAGUUGUUCAUGAGCAAAUGUCACAUGUAUAAGCCCAAAUGAUGUUUAAAGGUAGCGCAGCUACCUUUAGUUUGAGCUUACAAUGGAUGAAAAAGAAAUUGAAACUGAUAUUUUGCUGUUUUUCUGAUUUUUCAAAGUAUUUUAGAUCCUGACUUUUGUUUGGACUUGAUGGUUAUAGAUUGUGUCUAGAUUUGUUAAGUUGUUUCCAACACCUCGUGCCAAAUGAAAGCACAAUCUUUCUGAUUCAGAUGUCUUGUUAAUUGAAGAGAGCUCAUUGUGCUGAGUUAAAACAAGAAAGGAAGCCAGCAGUCAAGAUUCUUCAGCAAUGCCAUGUCAGUGCUGAGUCAGCUGAUUCUGUUAAGGAUUGUUGAAAGCUCACGUGACUAUUAGUUAGUUAAUUAGCUUUUAGUUAGUAAUGCAGGAUUCUGAUUGGUUGAUUAAUUGCAAUGCUUAUUUGAUCAAUUGUAGCUUGGAAAUAAACUGUAUAUAAACAGAGUCUAUAACGAUUGCUUCAAUUAAUGAAAAGAAAAUAUUCCAGAGAGUUCAUCUAUUUUCUCAGUAACCAAACAAGCAUUUAGCUUAAUUUGCUAUUAUUUUACAUGGUAUCAGGGCCACAAUAUGGCAAGCUCAAGCAAUCCAAACGGAAAUUCAAACACAAUCACUGCAAAUCAAUCAAUACAAACCACAUUCUCCUUCAUAUCACCAAUCAAGUUAGAUCGAUCUAACUACAUGCUCUGGCGAAAUCAAGUUCUAGCCUCUAUAAGAGGAAACAGACUUGAAGGUUACAUUAAUGGAGAGAAGGUUGCUCCCAAUCAGUUUAUCACAACUGGAGGAUAUGCUGGAGCAGCAGGUAGUUCUACUCAACAGAAAGAAAAUCCAGAAUAUACAGUCUGGAGAUCACAAGAUCAGACAUUACUAAGCUGGCUGUUGAGCUCAGUCACUGAAGGUAUUCUCCGCCUUGUUCAUUCUUGCAAUACUUCAUAUGAUAUAUGGAAAACAUUGGAGAAAAAGUUUGGUGCAAAAUCUGAAGCAAGAGUACUUCAACUUAGAUAUGAAAUGAGUGUUUUAAGAAAAGAUUCACUGAAUAUAGAAGAUUAUUGUUUGAAGAUGAAACAAAUAGCAGAUAAACUAGCAUGUGCUGGUAAUCCAGUUUCAGAUAAAGAUUUGCUGCAACAAAUUCUAAAUGGUCUUGGACAAGGAUAUCUUGAUUUAGCUACAUUCAUAACAGCAAGUAAACUUGAUUAUGAUGAUGCAUAUGCACUACUACUUACUCAUGAAACAAGACUUGAACAGAGUAUGAAUGAAAAACAGAUGUUCAAUGCAAAUUUUGCCAAUUUUACUCCUAAUAACAGUGGAUAUGGUAUGAUGAAUGCCUUUUAUGCACAAGCAAGAGGCAAUGCUCGAAGAGGUGGAUAUAAUGGAGGUUUUCACAGUGGCAAUCAAGGAGGAAGAAAUAAUUUUCAUACUGGAAGGGGAAUGUUUGUUAACUCUCAUCCAAGAGGUUUUCCCUCUGGAACUGGAAAUUUUGGUAACAGUCAUGGUAGAGGUCAGAUGAUUGGUAAUAAUAAACAGAUGCAAUUUAUGAGAGGUCAAUACAGUAGUAACUCUGGUAUGCCAAACUCUGAUGGUAAUGAUGAGCAAAGUGUUGUAUGUCAAAUUUGUUUUAAAUCUGGGCAUACAACAACAGAAUGUUGGCAUAGAUUUGAAGAGAAUUAUGUACCACAAUACAUGAAGAAAUGAAGAAAUUAGAGAUGAGCUUAUAUGGCAUAUUAUGAUGCACCAACUGAAAAUUCAUGGUCAACUGCUUGUUCAGGAAUGCCUCAAAUGCACAAUCCAUCAUUCACCCCAUACAUGUCUGAUUCAGUGAACUUGUUAGGAGCUGGAGCUGGAGCUGCCUAUGUUGCUAAUUUUGAAGGUCCAGCAGAUGAAGGAUGGUAUCUUGACAGUGGGGCUACACAUCAUUUGACAAACAACAUGGCAAAUAUGCAUGUCAGAGAUGAAUUCAAUGGUAAUGACAAGCUGAUUAUUGGCAAUGGUAAAGGUCUGUCAAUCACACACAUUGGUAGCACUACUUUUUCAGUUCAAGGUUCUAAGUCACAAGCUGCACGUAAAUGCAUUACACUUAAAGAUAUACUGCUUGUUCCUUCUAUCACAAAGAAUUUAAUAAGUGUUUCUAAACUUACUGCUGAUAAUAACCUAUCUAUUGAAUUCUUUGGAUGUAUCUGUUAUGUGAAGGAUUCACUGGAGGGGAAGGUUCUGCUACAGGGUAUUGCUGAGAAAGGUCUAUACAAAUUGCUGAUCAAAUCAUCUUCAAAAUCAUCACUACAACCUACAUACACCUCUUUUCUUUCUCAAAGCUCAAUAAAUCAACCUUUGUCUAUGUUGUCUCUCUGUCAUUUCAGUUCUGCAACUAAUAAUACUUGUUCUGCAAAUUGUUUUCAUUCAAAUAAAAACUCUUGUACUGAUUCAUCAUCAAAUAAAAUGUCUCUAUUUCACAGAAGAUUUGGUCAUCCCAAUGCUCAAAGUUUCAUUCACUUACUUAUACUUGUGCAUCCUAACUUGUUAUCUACAAAUAUGCUUAAUCAAGUAAUAAAGCAUUUAUGUGAAGCAUGUCAGCUGGGCAAAUUUCAUAGACUUCAUUUUCCUAUAACUGAUAUUAAGUCUAAAUCAGCACUAGAACUAAUCCAUACUGAUCUAUGGGGCCCUUCACUAAUAUGUUCUAGAGAAGGUUAUAGAUAUUAUAUUAGUUUUGUGGAUGAUCACACUAGAUACACCUGGAUAUACCCUCUGAAAUUAAAAUCAGAAGCUCUAGAAGUGUUCAAAUUGUUUAAACUUCAAGUUGAAAAUCAGUUUCAAACCACCAUCAAAGCUCUACAAUCUGACUGGGGGGGAGAGUAUAGACCAUUCACUACUUUUCUAAAUGAAUGUGGUAUUCUUUUCAGACACUCUUGUCCCUACACACAUUAUCGAAAUGGCCUUGUUGAAAGAAAACACAGACAGAUUAUAGAAUUAGGCUUAACACUUCUAGCACAAGUUAAACUUCCAUUCCAGUUUUGGUGGGAUGCUUUUCAUACCUCGGUUUAUCAUAUUAACAGACUUCCUACCUCUGCCCUUAAGAUGUCUAUUCCAUAUGAAAAAUUAUACAGACAUAAAGCUGAUUACAACAUGCUGAAAUGCUUUGGUUGUGCUUGUUAUCCAUACUUGAGAGAUUACAAUAAGCAUAAAUUUGAUUAUCAUACAACCAAGUGCAUCUUUCUUUGUUAUAGUCCUUUUCAUAAAGGUUUCAAGUGCUUUCAUCCCUCUGGUCGUGUGUAUAUUGCUAGACAUGUCAAUUUUGAUGAAACUUCAUAUCCAUUCUUUUCAGAUCCUGAUUUUCAUUCUUUGAAUAAAUCUCAGUCCAACUCUUAUGAUUCCAUUACACCUAUACAAGUAUUUCAAUUGUCUACCUUACCUGUCAUAUCAGUUUUUUUGAAUAACAGCAAUGAGUCUCUUUCUCAAGCAUAUACCAGUAGUGAUAACUUUCCUUCAGCAGUAGAUUCAACACAAGUACAUGUCUCAGAUCAACAACUCUCAAACACAAACAAUGUCUCAGAUCAACAACCAAUUUUACCUGCACCUACAACAUUACCUUCUCCAGAUGAAAUUCCACAAACUCAACCUAUUCUAAACUCACCAUCUCUAAACCACCAUCCUAUGAUUACUAGAGGAAAGGCAGGUAUCUUUAAGCCAAAGCUAUGUACUGCAGUUUUGUUGUACAAAGAACCAAAAACUAUUCAGGAGGCUCUCAACAAUGAAAGGUGGUUUCAGGCAAUGAAAGCUGAAUAUAAUGCAUUGAUAUCAAAUGGCACUUGGACAUUGGUACCAAGAACAGAAAAUCAUAAGCUUAUUGGUAACAAAUGGGUUUUCAGAAUAAAAACCAAUACUGAUGGAAGUGUUGAGAAAUAUAAGGCAAGAUUGGUUGCUAAAGGAUUUCAGCAGAUUGAGGGUGUUAACUACUUCGAGACUUUCAGUCCAGUGGUAAAAUCAGCAACAGUUAGAGUGAUCUUAAGUUUGGCAGUGAUGAACCAGUGGCAAAUACGACAAGUUGAUGUGAAUAAUGCAUUCUUAAAUGGAGAUCUAACUGAAGAAGUUUAUAUGAGACAGCCAGAAGGAUUUGUUGAUCCACAAAGACCAGACUCUGUAUGUAAACUGCACAAAGCUCUUUAUGGCCUGAAACAAGCUCCUCGUGGUUGGUUUGACAAACUGAAAAGUAGUCUUAUACAAUGGGGAUUCAAGAAUUCUAAGUCUGACACAUCUCUAUUCUUGAGAAGAACCAAGAGCUCAAUCAUUAUAAUUCUGAUAUAUGUAGAUGAUAUAUUGAUUAUAGGAUCAGAUUGUGUUGAGUUGGAAGAGUUUAUUAAGUUGUUCAGCUCUACAUUUGCAUUAAAGGAUCUGGGGAGACUAUCUUACUUUCUGGGUAUAGAAGUAUUAUAUGGUCAUGAUAGUAUAUACCUGUCACAAAAGAAGUAUAUCCGAGACUUGCUUGCAAAAGUUGACAUGCUUGAAUGCAAGGGAACAAACACACCAAUGAGUAGCAGUAAAGAUUACAGAUUGCAGAAGAGUGUUGAGGGAGAAAUGGGCUAUUAUAUUGAAGAUCCCACUCAUUACAGAAGCAUAGUUGGAGGACUGCAGUAUUUGGUUUUAACUAGACCUGAGAUAGCUUAUUCUAUUUACAAACUAAGUCAGUAUGUGUCUUCACCAACUCUUCAACAACUUAUGGCAUGUAAACGAGUGCUAAGAUAUUUGAAGGAAACACAAGAAUAUGGUCUAAAGUUUGUUAGAGAAGGUGACAUGAAGCUUACAGCAUUUACAGAUGCUGAUUGGGGAAGUGAUCUUGAUGACAGAAGAUCAGUUGGAGCUUAUUGUGUAUACUUGGGAAACAAUUUAAUCUCAUGGUCCUCAAAGAAACAAUCAGUGGUUACCAAGUCAUCAGCUGAAAGUGAAUACAGGGCUCUUGCUGCAGCUGUUUCUGAAAUAACAUGGCUAAAGUCAUUGUUCCUUGAAAUUGGUUUAUGUUGUGAUGAAAGCCAAUCAUAUGGUGUGACAAUGUGAGUGCUGCUGAACUUGCUCGCAAUCCAGUAUUUCACUCAAGAACAAAACACAUAGAAAUUGAUCUACACUUUAUCAGAGACAAGGUUUUGGCUGGAGACUUGAAGAUACUAUAUGUUCCCAAUGCAGAGCAAAUAGCUGACAUAUUAACUAAGCCACUGAACUCUUCUCAAUUCAAACCUAAGGCUCAAACUCAAUGUGGAGCUAUGUCCCUUGAGUUUGAGGGGGGCUGUGAAGAGAGCUCACUGUGCUGAGUUAAAACAAGAAAGGAAGCCAGCAGUCAAGAUUCUUCAGCAAUGCCACGUCAGUGCUGAGUCAGCUGAUUCUGUUAAGGAUUGUUGAAAGCUCACGUGACUAUUAGUUAGUUAAUUAGCUUUUAGUUAGUGAUGUAGGAUUCUGAUUGGUUGAUUAAUUGCAAUGCUUAUUUGAUCAAUUGUAGCUUGGAAAUAAACUGUAUAUAAACAGAGUCUGUAACGAUUGCUUCAAUUAAUGAAAAGAAAAUAUUCCAGAGAGUUCAUCUAUUUUCUCAGUAACCAAACAAGCAUUUAGCUUAAUUUGCUAUUAUUUUACAUUAAUUAUGCUUCAUUUUUUCGUUAAAGAUUGGAUGGUUGCAUGGAUUGAUGGAGUUGGAGUUCAACCAAUAAUUCUAAUUUUUUGGACUUAAAAUGCCUUUUUCUUCGGUAUAAAAACUUUAGUAAGUGCUAUUGAGUUGACAGAAGUUGAAUACUUACAGGUUGUUUCACACUUUUUAAUAGUUUUACAUAUAUGAAUUUCUGUUUUUUGAUUUUCAGAAAGGAGGUGGAACUAUUGAUUUGGAACCUUAUCUUACUCAUUCAUCGACAACGGAGCCUACCCUCGCUCCCAUGGCAGUGGAACGGACAACGACUACUAGGGCUGCAACAUCAGUUGGUUUGGGUCUGUUUUGAGUUUAUUUUCAUUUAUUUGGCUAUGUUUUGAUAGCGAAUUUUGAUAUGUCAAUGUAGGGUGCGUUUGGGAUUGAGGUGCUGUAGCUUUUAAGCUAUAGCCACUGUGAAAAAAAAGUUGUAAUUAUGAAAUAAAAGUUAAUAAUAUAUAAUAAAUAUAAAUUUUAAAUAAUAAUUUUAUUAAAAUUAUUAAAGAUAUAAUAAAUUUUAUAUUAUACAAGUGAAAAAUUAUAUCAACAUAACUUAAAAGCUACAGCAGUUAGUGUUUACCAAACACUUUAGUGCUGUAGCUUUUAAGCUACAGCUGGCCAACCUCAAUCCCAAACGCACCUGUAAUGUGUAAUUGUUUUGGGUUGAGCUGGUAAUUAUGCUGGAUUAGAUUGGUUUGGUUUUGGUGCUUCUCUGAUGGAACACUGUUUUUUUUAGAAAUUUUGAAUGUAAUAUGAGACUACAUUUAGUUUAAUUGAACACUGCAUCUAGUCUAAUUACUAGAAGUGCGGCAUUUGGUUUGGUUUAUCCGAUAUUCUCCAGAAUUUCACUUGCAUCUGGUUUUGUUGCAUAUGUUUGCUUGCAUUUGGUGGCAGUAGCAGACUGUUUGGUUUUGUGACAUUUGAUGGCAGUUUUGUCUGUUCUUGGUGUUGAUUUAAGAUUGUUCCUGUUGUGCUGAUGUUAAUUGCAGGUGCUUGAAUCAGCUAGGGUUGCUGGUUUAUUCAGAUGGUUGACUCAGGCGUUGUUACUGGUUAAUUCAGGUGGCUGACUCAAGUUGUUCAUUUAAUGUUAGGAAGCAAAUUAAGAAUUAAUGAAGUAUUCAUUUAACUAUAAUUAUUGUAGUUAUUUUAUUUCAUAACUGAAUUAUAAUCUAUGAUACUUGUGAACAAAUUAGAGAAUUUUUAUAUAUGAAUUAUAUAUAUGUGUAUGUACAUUUUGCUAAUAAUUUAAAGAAUAUAUUUCAAUUCCCACAAAAAAAUGGCUCCAAUUUCAAUAAUUCCCGCCAAAUAAUUAAAUUUUUUUAAUUUACCAGCAAAAUAUAUCUUAAAGAAAUUUUAGUUAUUCUUGCUAGAUUUAACAAAAAUGAUUUGUAGGAUUAACAUUUAAUUAAAAUAAUUAAAUAAUUUUAUUAUUCCAAUUAAAUAUGUCAUGUUUAUACGACAGACAAUAUUCAUGAAUGGGAAGUAUUAGUUACAUAUUUUUCCUUGGGAUUUCAGGCAAAUGAAAAAAAGAUUGAGAAUGAUUUCAAGAGGACAGGUGGAUGAUAAGUAUUCAUUUUUGUAUAUUUGUCUAAUGUCCUCAUUAGUGGAUUUUUAUUAGGGAUGGCAAUGGGGAGAGGAGGGGAGGGGACCAAUCUCCCCGUACCCAUCCCUGAUAUUUUGCGUAUGUCCCCGUCCCCUCUCCAUCCCCAUCAAAAUUAUUUAAGAGAAUCCCCAUCCCCUCCCCGAAUAAUAACAGGGGAUCCCCGAGGGUCCCCGAUCCCCGAAUAACUAAUACAUUUUUUUUAUUUUCGAUUUUGAGUUAAUCAUAUUAAAAUAAAAAAUUCAAAUAAAAGUAAAGUUCAAAAUAUAUCUUACAUUAAUAUCCAUUACAAAAGUCACAUACAUUAAAUUAGUAAGUAACGCAGCAUGCAAGAGAUACAAACUAUCAUGAACAAAUUAAUAGCCUAAUACAAAAUUGUUACAAAUAAAAUCAAAUUUAGAUUAAAAAUUAACUUUUCAAUGGUGGCGUGGGCACUUUAUAAAUGUGGACUAUUCCCUUUACAUCACAAUAGUUAAGUCGAAGCAAAUCAAGAGUAAAUAUUAGAUUAGAUUAUAUAUUAAAAUUGUGAUUUGCUGUGGGCAAUUAUAACAUCUAAAAAAAAAUAGAUUUAAGAUAAAUAAAAAAUAGAUUUAAGUUUAAAAUAUUUAAUGAAUAUUAAAAUUAAAACAAAAGUUUUGGGCUAAUAGAAUCUGUCCGGUCUUUUUAAUGUCCUAAAUAAAAAUUUAGGACUUUAAUUAGUUAAUUAGGCCUAAAAAUUUAAUAAUAUAAAUAUUUUGAUAUUUUUUAUUUUUACCAAUACUUAUAAUUUUAUAAUUCAAAUUUUAUUAUUUAUUUACUAGUAAUUUUAAAAAAUAAAAAUUAAAUUAAAAAUUAAAAUGGGGAAAUGGGUAGGGGAUGGGGAUUCCACCUCAUCCCUGUCCCCUCCCCGAAUAAGAAAUUGGGUACAAAAAUUUCCCCGUCCCUUCCCCGAAUAAGAAAUUAGGUAUGAAAUUAUCCCCAUACCCUCCCCGAAUGGGGAAAAUCCCCGAGCGUACCCGUCCCCGUGGGAAUUUUUGCCAUCCCUAAUUUUUAUGGUAUUGAUCUUUUUUUUUUUUAAUUUUCAGUUAGUUGCAGCCCUAGAGGAAGAGCAGGCUGAUCAAAUUGAUUUGUCUUGUUUUUCGGGCAAUCUACGACAUGAUGACCGUGAUAAUGCUCGUGACUGCUGGAAACUUUCUGAUGGAAAUAACUUUAGAGUUCGUAGCAAGCAUUUUUGUUAUGACAAAACAAAGGUUCCCCCAUAUUUUGUUUGUUUGUUAUGGUAUUUAUAUAUCCUGCAUUGGCUAGGUAGACAGGUUAUGAUGUACGUGUUUCUCAUAUAGAACUCAAGUCUGCUGUUGUCCCAAAGUUGGAACCAGAGAUAUCAUGACUCUGGUUUCAUUUCACCUCAACUGUGUUUUUUUUUUUUUAAUUAAAAAAAUAUUUGUUUUAGGUAUACAUACAUGUAUUUUGAUUCUAUUUUCAUUGUAAUUUCUCAUUUACUUUGAAUGAAAGUCAUUGGUGUUUUCGAAUGGGAAUUUUGCAUUAAAAAAUGAAGAAUAGUGAAUAGGAAAUUUCUUGAUUCUUUAGUUACUAUUUUUGGUAUGAGUGCCAUUAGUAGUAAGGUUGGUUUCUACUCGCAAACAAGUGAACUGCUCGAUUCCCGAGUGGUAUCAACCAGUUUCCAACUUUUUAAUAUACACUAAUUGUUAGUGUUUAAUAGCUACUGCUAUUAAAAUUCAACAGCUAACAAAAAUACUUAAAAAAAAUGAUUUUUCUUAUGAUGUUGGGAAAAAAAUUAUGGGUUUACUUAUUUCCACGAGAUCUAUAACAUGGUCUUGACUUCACGAAAUUCUUUUAAUUUAAAGCGUGCUGGUGUGAGAAGGUCAGUUUGACGGAUUAAUUCUUUUCAACAGUGGUCAAGAUAAUUUUACUAUACUAAAAAAUAUUCUUAUUCUGAUAAUGCCACAAAUGUUAUGCUGUUUUCUUCGGCUAAUGAUCUUCUAUUAGGAGAGGUUAGAAAUCAAAUGCUUAAAAGACCAAUUGAACGAAUAAUACAGAAAUUUAGGCAGAAUCUAAUCGAAUAUUGCAUGAAACAUGAAACAUCAAUUCAAGUCUUUUCUUAAACGGAGAAUGCAUCAAACAAAAUCCAAAGUGUCUUGCAAGUCUGUAGCAUGAGCAAAAAAUUGUAAAUAUGUUGAACCAAAUUAUUCAAGUACAGAAGAACGAGCAAGCUAAAUCAUGUAUAAGAGAUUGGCCUGGUUCGGGAUAGCUUCUUCACUGUACCUGAAGGGUUGGCUCAAUCUCUUCUUUAGAAUUCUGCAGAUUUUGUAAUUACUCGUGUAAGCAAGCAUACAUUGCCACCAUAAGAAUAAUAAAGCUAGAGUAAUGAUAUGACCACCACCUCUUGUGCACAAACAAUAUUGUAUAAACUAAUGCGACAUAAUAUGAUUGGUUAAACAAAAACAUUACAUGGCCCUCAUAAUUUAUUUAUUUAUUAUUAUUAUUAUAUAUUUUCAGUCAACCAAUCAUAUUAUAUUACAUUAGUUUCUAUAAAAUAAUUUGCUAAAUAGCACCAAAACUUAAUUGAUACUCACCAUUUCAUUGAACAAUUUUUUCAUGGUGUCAUUGAGAUUGCCUUCCCAACAUCCUUUAUCAUCAUCUUUUUCUUCUUCGGUGACGUUCACUUUGUUUAGCAUUGGUGUGUCUAAGACUCCUUGAGAGAAGAUCUUCAUUUUUGGACACUGUCUCACAACUACUUGUUUCAAGGACGGGAAUUCAAGAGCGUAAUUACCUAAACAAAAGCUUGUUAGGCUUGGCAAACAAUCAAGUCCCAAGUACUUCAAUUUGUUGAAAACAAUGCAAUCUUUCGAUUCUUCUCCAACCUGCGACUGUAUGAUUUCUUCCAUCAUUUUGCAAUCAGUUAUCUUCAUUCUUCUGAGAUUAACCAGAUUUUUAGAUGCUGAGAGCGUCAACACAUUUAUCAACCCGUGACACUUCGAUACUUUCAAAACCUCAAGGUUUUCCAAAUGCCACGAAGGUGGUACUAAUUUUUGCAACUUACCACAUUCCGAUAUUUUUAGACUUUCCAAAUUUGCAAAUACUUUGUUGGAUUCGGCAUUUUCCUUCCAGAGAUGCUGCAAUUUGUGUAAUCCAGACAACUCUAACCCCCACAAUUGAGGGAAAGCAACCUGAAAAUCAACAAAAUUAAGUUGUAAAUGAAAAUAUGUAUCCAAUCUCUGCAGUCUUCCUCUGCAUAUUUUAUGGACAAGAUUAAUCACGGCAUUUUAUAUUUUAUUUUCCAAAUUAGUAUGCUUUGCAGUAGGAUCCCAAAUAUAAGUAUCAAAUCGAUUACUCUUUGAAACACAUAAAUGAAAUCUGAUGCUAAAUCCAAUAUGAAUUAGCUAGGAAAACAGAGAUGUUACACACAUAAUUAAUAUAGUUCAUCACCUCGUGUUACCAGGCAUCCAAUUAAUUUCUGACAUUUUUAUAAUUCAUACUAUAAAGUUAGUUAAUAACGGAGGUUAUAUUGUUAAAUCAGAUAUAAAUUAAGACGACAUGCAAAAAGAUGAGUCAUUAAAUUUGAUUUGAUUCUAAUGAAAUUACAUCUGUGCGAAUGAAAGUGAAGGGAAAAAUAAUAAUAAUGAUUACCUUUUCAUCGAAGAGAUGUUGUAUUUGAUUAGCUACCAAGAGGUUCUCUUCUGAUUUUAAUUUUUGAGCUUCCUUAUUAUCUGCUGUCAUGUGCAGUACAGAUGUAGAAUUGGAUAUGAAUGUUUCCAUAUCAGGGCAAUUCUCAAUAGUUAGAUAACUCAGCAGUUCAAUUAUAUUCCCAGUGAAGUUGCAGAAUCUUUUGAGUUUUGGAAGAUCAAUGAGCCUUAGGUUGGAAAGCUUAGGAAACAGGGGGCCUAUAUGUUCUUUGUCAGCAUUAAUUAGCUCUUCCAAAUGGAGCACCUCUUCUAGUGAAUCACAAUUCGUCACUGCCAGGCAUUCCAAAUUGUUCAAGCACCGUAGCAGAUUGGCAGGAAUAGCACUCGACAUAUUCGUGCAGUCAUCCACUUCCAGCUUUCUUAAAUUGUUGAAGAAGCUGACAGGCAGUUCUUGGCCAUGCCAUAUUUCUUUCAAACGUGGAAAACGUGAGAGUUGCAAAUACUCUAUAUCACGAAAUCCAAUCUGCACAAACCAAAACAAUUGCACUGGAUAUAUACAAUUUUUUUUUAAAGGCAUUAGAUAUAUAUAUAUAUAUAUAUAUACACACACACACACACACACACAUUAAACUUACAUGUUUUGUGUUUUAACUUCUAAAACUACAUAUACAAGGUAGGUGUAUAUGUUUAAAUGUGCAAGCGUAGGGGAGAUGCAUGAACAAUUUGGGUGAAUCGAUUAACACAGACCAUCUUUUUGUAACAUAUUUUUAAAUGUGCAAGUGCAAGGGAGAUGCAUGAGCAAUUUGGAUGAAUUGAUGAGCACAUACCAUUUCUUUGUAACACUUCUGUAUAGUGGAAUUAAGAUUGCCUUCCCGAUGGUACAAUUCACUGUCUUCCUUUUUACUAACUUGCACUUUGUACAGCUUUGGUGUGGAUAAGAUUCCCUGGGGAAAAGUCUUCAUGUUCGGACAAUGUGUCACCGAAACUCGUUCCAAUGAUGGGAAUUCAAGAGUAUAAUUCUCCAAACAAAAGCUGGUAAGCCUUGGUAAAUAAUCAAGUAUCAAAACUUUUAAUUCGCUGAAAGCAAUACGAUUCUCCUUCACUUCUUCUCCAACAUGUCCUACGAUUUCUUCUAAUUUUUGGCAAUUCGAUACAUUAAGAUUCACCAGACUACUAGGAAUUCCAACCUGAAAAUAAGCAAAAGUGUGUGUAUAUUAAAAAAGUAAAAAUGUAAGAAUAUCAUUCAACUAGCACCACAACAGAAAUGGCUUUUUGCAACAAAAAGAUUUUGUUGCCUAAAGUGCCAAUUUUGUUGCCAUAGGUUAUUGCUACAAAAACAAGCUUGUCGGCCCGGUCGUCGGCCUAGCACUGUCGCCCUCUAUGUUUAACAACAUAUCAAAACAUUUCUCGCCUCAAACUUCCUUUCGCAACAAAACAGAUUCGUUGUGAAGGAGUCUUCAACUUGUUUAGAGAAUAAUUUGGCAACAAACAUUUUUGUUGCGCUAAACAGUUUUACACAACAAACUAAUUUUGUUUCUAUAUAGUUAUUUACUACAAAACUAAUUUGUUGCUAAGAAAUAAAGUACAUUUUAUAAAAAAAACGUGUACCAACAAAGGUGUUUGUUAGCUAAGAUCAUUUUAGGCAACAAAACUACUUUGUUUCUUUAUGUUGAAAAUUUUACAAAUUUGCAAUAAAUAUUUAUAUAUUUUUAGAAACAAAUCAAUUUUGUCAUUAAAAAAUAGUACAAUUUUUUUUUAAUAAUAUCAUGGUAUAAAAGGAAGCAAACCAAGUUCGUUGGGAAAGAUACCAAUUUUUUCCCCCACCAUGACAAUAAUAAACUAGAAAUAUAUGUUGAGAAAUCUAACAAAAAAAUCAUUAAUGUCAUUGAACUAAUUUAAAAGUUAAAGGCCCAUUCAGUAUCCAAGCUAUAUAUAUAUAUAUACAAAACUGACUUUAAGAAUCACAUAUGAUAGUCAAAUACAAAAGUGGAUUGUCAUCUAUCCCAAAAAUGUAAUGAGCAAAAAUUAUAAACGAUCUCUAAUUACAACUACUCCAAACUCCAAAUACUUAAAGAUAUGACAUGCACCAGCAGUAACCAAAAAGAUCAAGUGAUGACCAAUUCAAAAUACUAACAAGUUCAAGAUACUCUAAGGACAUCAUUGAAAUGAGUAAUCAUUGAGUAGCUGAAUCUGUAAAGCAAAAAGUGGAUCCUUGAGAAGAAAAAAAUUGCUGCAUCAUACCCUCAAAUUGGGACAAUCUGGACUCCAAUUGAUCAAUAGUCUUCUUUUGUUCUUGAAGCUCAACAUCUUGUGAAUCCAAUCUACUUUGUUGUGAAGAUAUAAUACCAUGCAAUCUGUCAGCCUCAGAAGUAUCAACACCAUGGUUUGAAGUUGGGCGUGGUCCGUUGCCAAGUCCUCGAAAAUAGCCUGUUUUCUUUCCAAGUACUUCAAUGCAUAUUUCCUUUUGAGUUAGUGGUUUUGCUUCUUGAGGAUCUAUUUGUUGCUGUUGUUGUAUCUCUACCAUUUGGUCCUAUACAUAAAGCUUUGUUAGUAAAUGAAGGAAGAAAAAAAAGAAUUUUAUUAAUUAAAUAGUUGAAAUUUAAUCCAUUGGUCAUGGAAUUAAUUUGUAUUAAGGCAUAAAUUGAAAAAAAAAAAAAAGAAACUUGCUGUUAUACUUAUAAAUCUAAUUAUUUGAUAUUUCAAAUAAUAAAGUUAAUUAGAGCAUGAAAGAAAAAUUAAGAAAAAAAAACUCAAUGAGUAAACUUUCAUCAACAGUAUGUAGGUGAUAAGAAAUAAUAAAAUUAAAAAUUUUGUUUCCAACAAAGCAUCUUACAUGGUUUAAGUGUGCCAUCUCAUUCACCCAACCUUUUGUCUUGCUGAAAUGAUUGACGCGAAAUAAUUCUAUUUCACCAUCAACCAUGUCAUCCUCAAGAUAAUUAACAAAAGGUCUUGAUCCCCCACAAUGGACAUAUGGGAGCUUAGCACGAUUAGCUUUGUUUUUGGUAGAUUGAGUCUACAUUAAAAAAAUAUAACAGUGGAAAAUAAGAUACAUAUACAAGCAUAUUGACAACUAGUUGGACAAUUUAAAGUUCAUAAUAUGAAUAUCAUUGGACCUGGAAACUUGCGGAAUUGUAAAUGUUAUGACAAAGCCAAGCCCAAUCAUCUGGACAUAUGCCUGGAUAUGAAUGCUUAAGUGCCUCUUCAAAGGAUGGAUAAUCCAAGUAAUGAUCAUACAUCCAAUGUCUCAUAUCAUGAUAUCUCCCACCCAUAAUGUUAUUCACACAUCGACGAACAUGUGGUACGUUCAAAUCAAUCUCAAACUUUGACUGAAUUUAGGAAAAAAAAGAUAUCUCAGUUUAUAAUUAAAAAAAAUGACAUAUGAAGAAUAUUAAUAAUCAUAAGUACUUACUAAUAGUCGAUCAAACAAAACCUACCAAUUAAACUCUUUAAAUACCAAAUUCUAGAGUUGUAACAACACCUUGCACAAACUCUUGGCUGGGCAUAACAGGCUAAGAUUGGGGAAUUGUAGAUGCGACAACAAUUUCUGCUCUUACACGUUUGGUAACUCUAUGUCCAGGACCCAUCUAGUAAUUAUUAAAAAUAUACAUUAGAGUUUAUUAAUAAUCAACAUAAAAAUAAAUCAAGAUAACUAUAAUUUUGUCAAAGAAAUUAUAACAUGAAAGAUCCUAUUACUGGGCAUAGAUCCUAAAUUCAUUUGACUAUUGUCCACAAACUCAGGUUCUUCACCAUGAAAAACCCAUGAAAAAUCCAUUAACUUUAAUUUAACAAAUUAAAAAUUGAAACAAAGACCCACUUAAUAAAUAAUUAAAGCAAAACCCACUAAACAAAAUCAAACUCAACAGGCCAAUAUAUAAAAUAAAACUAAAUUUACUUGAAGAAAUCGUUGUCUUGAGUGGUGCCUUCCAAGUACAACUCUUCAAUGGCUUAAAGCUUGGGCAGAGAGAAUGACUCCAAGGCAGGGCAAAAGAAACAAGCGAAGAGUAAAGUGGAAAUAUUCUAGAAGCAAUAUUUUAAUUAAGAAAAAAUUGGAGAUGGAAACUUUACUUCGGUUAGCACGCGGUUUAUUAAAUAAAGGGCGCGGAAAUAAAAAAUUAAAAAGCCUCCCACAAAGUCAUGUUUGCUUUUAUAUUAUCUUUAUAUUUUCAUUUAUUAAUUUAAUAUUUUUGUUAACCUUUGCGCAACAAAAUUAAUCUCGUUGCAAAAAACUCUGAGAGUACAAAACAAAUUUUCUCGCUAAUCACAACCUUUUGCAAUAUUUCAUUUGUUGCAACUGAUUUAAGUGUUUGUUGUGGAAAAACUUGAGCAACGAAACAUAUUUUGCCUUCAUUAAGCUUGUUAGGCAACAAGAACACUUUUGUUGCCAAACAUAGCGUAGGGCAAGAAAAUAUUUUGUUGCCAUAUAUUCUAAUUUUCUUGCCUAUUCCACAUCAUUAAGAAGAAUAAAAUCUGUUUAGCUAUAGCGAUAAAGACUAAUUUUUGUUGCAAGAUAUGAAUUUUAGCAAUAAAGUAAGUUUUGUUGCAAUAGAAUUUGUAGCCAAUACUCUAUUUUCUUGUGGUGUAGGUUCAAAGUAUGUUUAAUCAUACAAUUAUACGUUUUAUAAACAUAACAAACCAUGAAAUGUCUACUAGAUAAUUUUUUGUUAAACAAAAAAAGCAACAAGAUAAAUAAAUAAAUAAAAGCCAGAUAAACAAAGAUAAUAAAAAUGCAUUUACACUAUUUACUAUUAGGAAUGUAGAAAGAAUUUAAGGCAAUUUCUAAAUAUUUUAGACUUAUUUUGCAUCUUGAUAUCAGUUUUUAAGCAUAAAUUUGCAAAUUUCAACUAUUCCUUUUGGGGAAAAAAAAAUCAACCAAAAUGCCGCUUUUUCCCUUUUCCUUGGUCCCUUUUUUUUAUGUACAUUUAAAAAUGGGAAAAAAAAUUGGAAAAGACUUCCCAAUAUUGUCAACAAGGGACUGCUGCUGUAAAGUGGAUCUUUAUUAAGUACUUCCAGACUCAAGGAAAUUUCUUUACAAUCACGGGUCAGUUGUAAAUAAUCAUCAAUUUGUGGUUAAUUAAUGGCAUAAUCAAUUCGUAACUAAACAAGAGAUAUUAAUUAAAUUUGAAGACUUUUAUUUUCUUUUUUUUCUUUUUCCAAUCGAAAUGUGAAGAAUUAAGGAAAAGAGAAAUAUAUAGAUGAAUUUAUGAACCUAUAAGAUGAGUGACUAUCCUUUAAUUUUUGAAAAUCGUACUUUUUAAGAUAUGAGCAAAAACUAUUUAAUUGAAUUAUAUUAUGCUGUUGAAUCGUGUUUGAAAAAUUUAUAUUGUUAAUUCUAAUGCUGACGAACCUAAAAACCGGACUUAAAACGUAGAUUUCAGGGUGGUGGUUCGAAGUACGAUACUUGAAAUAAAUAAUCAGUGGCUGAAUAUCAUUUGUAAACAAAAAAUGGUUAAAAUAUUGUUGGAUGUAAUUUGAAAAAAAAAAAAAAGAUUCGAAAUGAAUACAGCGAACUUACCAAUGGAGGAAAAAUAUUCUUUAGGUUAUCACACCAAUUUAUCUCCAAAUUCUUCAAUUUGCUGAAAGACUCCGAAGCAAGCUGGUGGUGCCAUAUUCUUCUCAAAUUAUCCAUCCUCCCAAUAUCUAAUACCUCCAACCUAGGAAGUCGUACCUGGCAGUUAAAGAUUAAAUAACUAAUUGAUCAAUUAAUGGCAUAAUCAAUUGAUAACUAAAUUAGAGGCGGAUAUUAACUAAUUUUGAAGACUCAAGGAAAAGAAAAAUUAAGUAUUGUGACUAAAAUUAAUUUUUUUUAUUAAAAAAAAAACUUUUCGUCAAAGAGAGGAGGAGGUUGCAUUUCAGAAUGAUUGGUGUCUUCUGGUGAGCUCGUAGAGAUGAAUCUUAACAUAUUUCUGCAACCACGAAACUUGAGGUUUAGCAAAGAAGGGAAUUCAACAACUGAAUCUGAAUGAAUAUGUCCCGUAUUGGCAAAGCUUGUUAGUUUAUAAAGCCCAUAGAGCUGUAGGGAGUGUAGUUUAGGAAAAACCUUUAAUUCAAUCAACUUUCCUUCAUCUCUUUCUGACCACCCCGUGGUGUCGACUACCCUUUCCAUUGACCAACAAGUGGUUAUCUCAAGAUGUUGGAGUUUCGCAAGACUAUUAACCAUAGAAUAUGAAAACAGAUACUUCAUACGAUGACAACUGACCACGUGCAGCUUUGUUAGAUUUUGAUAACAGUACAUUCCUUGAUUAUGAUCGGCCCAUAAUUUUUUCAUGUUUCUUAAGUCCCUGAGAUUCAAUUCCUCUAAGCUCGGAAGAAUAACCUGCAAAGAAAACCCGUACAUUUUUGUUCCUUCAAGUACAACCGUCUAGUAUAAUAUUUUUUUGAUGAUCGAAGAUUAAUGGUGAUAAUAAAUUAAUCAAUUAAUUAUUGAACAGAAAAUUAUCACCUUUGGAGCAGUAUCAUCAUCAGCAAUGAUUUCGUUGAAUCCCAAAGAAGUUGUUGGUUUCUCCCUGUCGGGUCCUAUAAACAAACAAAAACAAUAUAUACAUAAUUAAUCUUUGUUUUUUUUUGGUCCAAAAUAAUUGAGGAGAAGUCCAUAAUCACACCAACACUUACCAACAAUCAUUUCCAGAUCAUCGCAAGAAGCCACUUCUACCUUUUGAAGCUGCAGUAGGUUUUUGGCUAUGGAGAAUGAGAAAAGAUGCUUCAAUUCGCGACAGGAUUUUACUUCGAUAAUCCUUAAGUUGCUGAAAGAUUGAUCUUCUGUGAGUUGGCUGUCACAUAUUGUCUCCAAAUUAUUCAAAUAGCUAAGAGACAAUGACUCCAGCAAGGGAAAGACUGUCCAAUGAACCCGUCCAACUGAACCAACAAUAUGCGAAAUAUCAUAACAAUAUUCUACACGAAGAUGCUUCAAUCGUGGAAAACCUUCCCCAUCAUCUAAUUCAUGAACAACAUUCUGAACACCCUUCAGUUCGAUUAGAUGGAUCUCUUCAGUUAACUUCAGCAACAUUUUCGUCCCAUAAUUCUCCCAAAGAGUGCUAACAUUUUCUAACCCAUGGAGCUCCACCAAUCUUGAUGUUUCAGAAUUAACGCGCCACCACGCUUCUCCUAUACAUAUCUUAUAUCUUUGCAAUUCCACAGGGACCCAAUCCUGCGGCAGAAUUUGGGCAUCCCGAACGUGUAUCUCCAAGGUACUUAGCUUUGACAACCCCUUCAAUUCAGCAAGACUGGCGUUACUUCCUCCUUCAACCUUAUCCCACUGCGAAAAACUGUCACCCAUAUAUAGUUCUUCCAAUCGAGAAAAAUUUGAUAUGACAUUUGGUGCUAUCACUACAAGGCUCCUACAAUGUUGGGUGCAAGCGGAAGUGCAGAAAAAUUUUUAUUUAAGAACAGAGUAUUUUGCUGGAAAUUUCUGAAACUUUAUUGCUUAAUUCAUUUUUUUCGUUUCUCUCUUCCUUUUCAUACAACCAGAGUUCUAUAUUUAUAUGCAUUAUAGACAACUCUAGAGAUUACAUUAAUCAUGCUUUACAUUUCCAAAGCUACAUUGCAAACAUCAAUUCUACCCUUUACUUCAUGUUGAAAAACAAACCAAAUAACCCUUCAAACUUCUUGCUCAAUUUACUAGAUUAUUAAUUAUAUCUCAACACCCCCUCUUAAUUAGUAAUCUUCAAUUGCUUCUUGAAUUUUUCAAACUUCUCAAUGUUGAUUGCUUUGGUCAGAAAAUCUGCUGGCUGCUCAUUAGUGCUGAUAAACUCCAUAUUAACUUCUCCUUUGUUUACUAAGUCACGGAUGUAGUGAUAACGCAGCUCAAUGUGCUUAGAUUUAGCAUGAAAUACGGGGUUCUUUGUUAGAGCAAUGGCUGACAUGUUGUCACAAUAAAUUGUUGUUGCAGCAUCUUGAUUGAAUUGCAAAUCCUUGAGAAUUCUUCUAAGCCAAACGGCUUCACAAGCUGAUUCAGUUGCUGCAAUGUACUCUGCCUCGGCUGAGGAUAAAGCUACUGACUUCUGCUUCCUUGAGCUCCAUGAAAUCACAUUUGUACCAAGACAAAAUAAAUAACCUGAUGUGCUUUUUCUGUUAUCAAGGGAACCAGCCCAGUCACUGUCAGUAAAACCAACAAGCUUGCAAUUGUCUUCUUUUUCAUACAUGAUCCCCUGCUUUUUUGUUCCUUGAAGAUACCUUAAGAUUCUCUUUGCUGCAAUAUAAUGGGACUUCCUUGGAUCAUUCAUAAAUCUAGAAAGAACACUAACUGAGUGCAAAAUGUCAGGUCUUGAGUUGGUUAGAUAAAUCAAUGAACCAACCAAGCUUCUAUAGAUUCUUGCGUCAGCCUUUUCUUCUUUUUCAUCAUGUUUCAAUUUUUCAUUCAAACCCAUAGGAGUAGGUGCUGGUUUGCAUUUGAACAUGUGGAAUUUCUUCAACAAAUCUUCUACGUAUUUUUCUUGACAAAAGAAGAUUUUACCUCUGGCUUGCUUCACUUGAAUGCCAAGAAAAUACAUCAUUAAGCCCAAGUCAGUCAUCUCAAAUUCAUCUAGCAUGCUUUUUUUAAACUCUUCCACCAUUUUCAGAUUAGUGCCACAAUAAAUUAGAUCAUCAACAUAAAGGCAAACAAUAAGGAAAUCAGUACCUUCCUUUUUGACAUAAAGAGAAGGUUCACUUGAGCUUCUGUCAAAUCCAUUUUUAACAAAAUAUCUAUCAAUUCUACUAUUCCACGCUCGAGGGGCUUGCUUCAAGCCAUACAAGGCUUUUCGGAGUCGAUAAACUUUGUUUUCUUCACCUUUUACUUCAUAUCCUUUAGGCUGCUCAACAUAAACCUCUUCUUCAAUUUCACCAUUUAGAAAUGCCGAUUUUACAUCUAGCUGAAACACAUUUAAUUCCAUUUGGGCUGCCAAGGCAAGAACAGUUCGAAUAGUCUCCAUUCGAGCUACGGGAGCAAACGUUUCUGUAAAAUCAACUCCAGGCAGCUGAGAGUAUCCUUUGGCAACGAGCCGCGCCUUAUAUUUUUGAACUGAACCAUCUUCAUUGUACUUGAUUUUGAAGAUCCAUUUCAGCCCAAUUGUUUCUUUUCCAUUUGGCAAAUUAACCAUCUCCCAAGUUUUAUUUUUCACAAUGGUGGCCAUUUCCUCGUUCAUUGCUUUGAUCCAAUCUUCAUUUCUUGAGGCCUCCUCAAAGUCUUGAGGCUCACAAGAAAAUAAAGCAAGUUCACAUGACUCAUAAAUUUCUCUCAUUGACUUUAUCUUCCUUGGAGGGCUUUCAUCAUCCGAAGAAACUUUCUGCUGCUGAAUUUNNNNNNNNNNNNNNNNNNNNNNNNNNNNNNNNNNNNNNNNNNNNNNNNNNNNNNNNNNNNNNNNNNNNNNNNNNNNNNNNNNNNNNNNNNNNNNNNNNNNNNNNNNNNNNNNNNNNNNNNNNNNNNNNNNNNNNNNNNNNNNNNNNNNNNNNNNNNNNNNNNNNNNNNNNNNNNNNNNNNNNNNNNNNNNNNNNNNNNNNNNNNNNNNNNNNNNNNNNNNNNNNNNNNNNNNNNNNNNNNNNNNNNNNNNNNNNNNNNNNNNNNNNNNNNNNNNNNNNNNNNNNNNNNNNNNNNNNNNNNNNNNNNNNNNNNNNNNNNNNNNNNNNNNNNNNNNNNNNNNNNNNNNNNNNNNNNNNNNNNNNNNNNNNNNNNNNNNNNNNNNNNNNNNNNNNNNNNNNNNNNNNNNNNNNNNNNNNNNNNNNNNNNNNNNNNNNNNNNNNNNNNNNNNNNNNNNNNNNNNNNNNNNNNNNNNNNNNNNNNNNNNNNNNNNNNNNNNNNNNNNNNNNNNNNNNNNNNNNNNNNNNNNNNNNNNNNNNNNNNNNNNNNNNNNNNNNNNNNNNNNNNNNNNNNNNNNNNNNNNNNNNNNNNNNNNNNNNNNNNNNNNNNNNNNNNNNNNNNNNNNNNNNNNNNNNNNNNNNNNNNNNNNNNNNNNNNNNNNNNNNNNNNNNNNNNNNNNNNNNNNNNNNNNNNNNNNNNNNNNNNNNNNNNNNNNNNNNNNNNNNNNNNNNNNNNNNNNNNNNNNNNNNNNNNNNNNNNNNNNNNNNNNNNNNNNNNNNNNNNNNNNNNNNNNNNNNNNNNNNNNNNNNNNNNNNNNNNNNNNNNNNNNNNNNNNNNNNNNNNNNNNNNNNNNNNNNNNNNNNNNNNNNNNNNNNNNNNNNNNNNNNNNNNNNNNNNNNNNNNNNNNNNNNNNNNNNNNNNNNNNNNNNNNNNNNNNNNNNNNNNNNNNNNNNNNNNNNNNNNNNNNNNNNNNNNNNNNNNNNNNNNNNNNNNNNNNNNNNNNNNNNNNNNNNNNNNNNNNNNNNNNNNNNNNNNNNNNNNNNNNNNNNNNNNNNNNNNNNNNNNNNNNNNNNNNNNNNNNNNNNNNNNNNNNNNNNNNNNNNNNNNNNNNNNNNNNNNNNNNNNNNNNNNNNNNNNNNNNNNAACUUGAUGGUGACUGCCUUUUCGGACCUUGAAAUUCUUGUUUUAGGAUUUCCCAAGCAUUUUUGGCCUUUUUGACACCAAAUAUUCUGGGGAAAAUUGACUUACUAACACCUUGCUGGAUAUAUCGAAGUGCCGUGGCAUUUCUCUGUAUGUUUUCUUUGUACUGCUGUUGAUGUGCUGGAGUCCAAUCUGAAGAACUUGCUGAUUCUGGUGGUUCAGCAUAUCCAUCUUCAACAACAAGGUGUUGGGUGCAAGCGGAAGUGCAGAAAAAUUUUUAUUUAAGAACAGAGUAUUUUGCUGGAAAUUUUUAUUUACAAUUGCUCAAAUCUAGCAAUUGUAACCCCGUCAAUUGUCCAAUUUCAAGUGGUAACUGCUUAAUGUCGGAAUAUCGAAAGCUAAGAAUCUCCAAUUUCUUUAGUUGUCCAAUUGCCGCUACAUCUUCUAGUUGGCACCAGUCUAAACACAAUGUUUGAAGGUUAAUGAGGCGACCGAGUGACGAAGGUAAUGAAGAGAAAGGAAUUCUAGUAAGACUUAAAACUUUGAGUUCUUCUGUCCCUUCAAAAAAGAGAUCUGAAAUUUGCAUAGGGCCAUUACCCUUUCUAAACAACAAAAAUAACUGGAGAUUGGGACAUUGCAACCUUUCAGGGAGCUCUUGAAUAUUUCUCUGGGGUAAUGAAAUGGCAAUUGGAUCUUUCCGUAUUGUCUCUUCCAUCUUUUUCUCUAAGUCGGCAACAUUUGGAAUAUUAAACAUGCGCUUCUCUGCGGCAAUUGAUACGGCAACAACAUGAGUGACGUCAUGCAUUUUAACUUCAUCUUUAGCAUCACCGUCCAACAAUAAGCAUGAAGAUUUGAGGUUGUCGAUCAACCGAUGCACUCUACUCCUUGCUUCUUCCGAUGUGUAAACAUUUUCAAAUAAACGCCAACCCACACCAUAUCUCAAUAAGUUAGAAACUUGUAUGACAUAACCUUCACUGUAUAGACCACAAAGACGGAACAGAGAUUUUGCCUCCUCACUUUCCAAGAAGUCAUAACUCAAUUUUAUGGAGGUGUAAACAUUUGCUUGCAUGCCAUGAAUUUCUCUUGCAUCCGAUCUUCUUAGCUGAUUCAAUGCAUCUUUCCAAAAGUCAAGCUCCUUAGUUUUCAGAGCAUUUGCAACUGUACUCAGUGCAACAGGCAAACCUCCGCA
RNAcentral lists this long non-coding RNA (123327 nucleotides) under Citrus x clementina. Lineage: Eukaryota; Viridiplantae; Streptophyta; Magnoliopsida; Sapindales; Rutaceae. The record is from RNAcentral.